Molecule: long non-coding RNA, 104201 nt
Filed under: Sorghum bicolor (sorghum)
Lineage: Eukaryota; Viridiplantae; Streptophyta; Magnoliopsida; Poales; Poaceae
Description: long non-coding RNA (SBIC_LNC010682)
Source: RNAcentral
GCUCAUGGGAUGACUCUGGUAAUCUACUUCUAAUUCAUUAUGCAAUUACUAAUUAUCGAUGUUCUGGUUCACAACUCUUUUGAGUAAUCUAAUCUAUAGAACGCUAUAGGUGAGAGUUGUAGUAUAGGUGUAAGCGUGGUGCUUAGACCUAGAUUACUUGUGGAUAUCCCCUGUCUAGCUGGAUCGUGUGGUAGGCCGUGUAGGUGACAGUUACGUUGGUCCUCUGUAGUCCACCUCUCGUUAGCAGGACGGGUAGGGUUUAUCGGCCUAAGGAUAAGCAUCCUUUGUGGUGUACUCUUAUCACGUGGUUCGUCUCAGACAUAGACAUACCCCAUUGAAGUAUAGAAACCAUAGUUAUACUCUCUAUUCUGCUACCAUCGCCCAUAUACUAGAAUUGCUCUACUCUCUAUUCCCAUAUUAUCACUCACUGUUAUCUUACCUUUAGUAUUGUUCUUAUUCGAUUCUACCAUCUUUCCUAUUUACACUUAUUUACUUAUCUUGGUUAAGUUAGAACGUAGAUCAGUUCUCCCGUUUCCCUGUGGAUACGAUAAAACCUUUAAUCGGGUAAAAGCUUCAACGGUAUCCGUGCGCUUGCGGAUUAUCUGUGUGCAUAUAAAUACCAUAGUACACUCUAGUGCCAUGCUAGGGAUGACAACCUAGUAUUCAAGUGUUGUUAGCAAGUGUCAACAUUUAUGUGUUCCUAGAGAUGCUAGAAUUCUGGAGAAUUUUAUCUUUGAAAAUCUUUAAAAUGUUGCAUGAUGAGUUCCUGUAUGAUGAGAGUUUAAAUUCCUACCACAACCAUAUAUACAUGCUUGCUAGACUUUGAGCCACACAUUUACUUUUUACUCCUUAUGAGCAUUGAGUGUGGUCAAGCUGUUUAGACCUUUAGGAGUUUGUCAUGUGGUUAAAUCAAGAUUCACUUGCACGUUCACUCACACAUGCUGCUUCUACUCCGGAAGUUUGCAUCCUCAUAUAUCCACCCAUUUCUAUCUCCAGAACCACCCAAAAAUAUUCUACUCCUAAUCUGGGAGAGAAUAGCCAAAAAUAUUUCUAUUUUUCCCUGUGAAAUAAAUGCUCAAGUUAUCUUGGUUACUACCACUUGCUAUAUUAUUUCGAAAGAUGAGUGCUCUAAUUUGAAAAAGAGAGAAAAAAAGAGAGAUACAAGGAAAUAAAAAGGGGCAAGUGCCCAGAACCUCGAAGAAAAGAAAAAGUGAGAUGAGAGGUAAAAAUGGACAAGUGUCCGACAGUAGAAUUAGGGGUACAAGAUACCCACCUGAGAGAAAAGAAAAAAAAAGAAAAUAUAGAGCAACUCAUUCCUCUCAAAAAGCUUCAAAGUGCAAGAAAGGUAUGUAUCCCCUCAAAAGAGCAUAAGUAGAAUUAGACCUUCACCAUUGUUAUCACCAUCAUCACCAUACACCAUUCAUUCGCCACACAUGCACAUCUUGAUUUGACUUAUUGACUUGUUCUUCUGGAUCCAUGGUUUGACUAUGCAAUAAAUGUCUUGCAAGUAUGUAUUAGCUGUCUCCUACCUAUGAGCUCCAGAUAUCAAAACCUUAUUAGAGUAGGGUGAGAGAGAAGGCAAUGUCACUAUGCCUUAUACCACAAAUACCACAUACUUUGAGAGAAGGCAUAUACCAUUACUGCCUUGGUAAGGAUCCAGAAAUACCACAAAAGAGAGACUAGAGAGAGUCAUACAAGGAAUCUCUUAGUUUUAUUUGAAAAUCUGCAAAAACUCCAAAGCUAUAGUUAAUCGAAGAACAAGAGACAUGACGCUUGACUAGACCGUUCUAUCUUUUAACUGCUCAAGACACAAGUGACGGUUGCAAGCCCCAUGGUGAAAGGUAAUAUGAGUAAGUUUAAAUCCUAACAGUUUACCCUAAUCCAGAGAUGAGAUCUUGUUUGAACGCAUGUGUAUCUUUAAGGUAUGAAACCACUACAGAAACUCUUGAGUCCAUCUUUGCUCAAGGUCGAGCAAAGGUUAAGCUUGGGGGAGCUUGUUGACGGUCCUUAAUUCUUACAUUUAACUGUCAACUAAUCAUAGAAAAGGAUCCAAAUGCAACCAACACCUAGACUUAGGGUUUUAUCUGACAGAAUUCCACGAGUUUUGGUGUUUGUCUAUUUCUGCAGGGGGUUAUCAGGAAAUACGGAAGAAAGGCCCACACGUCGGAUUUACAUAGAGAUAUUAACGUGCCGUGCAAUUUUCUACCAUCUAGAAGACUCCAGAAGCCACGGGAAGGAAGCGGAGGCCGAACGGGGCCAGGGACUGGGCGCCCGCCCAGUUGACCUAGGCGCCCGCCCCCUCCUAGAGUCUAAAGAGGACUCUCUUUCGGGAUCAAUCUCCACCGACCUAAAAGAUCAAGGAUAACCGUUCAAUCAAUGUCGGUUUGAUCCAACGGCCCAUAUUCACUUGAAGAGACUAUAAAACCAGACCCCCUGGCCCCUAGAGAUCAUACCUCUUCUACAGAAUCAAAGCUAGGGUUUCAAUUCUUCAUCCAAGUAAAGACGAUCCCUCUAGUUCUUCUAGUUCUACCUCUAGUUCAUCUAGUUCUAGUUCUAGUUCAUCUAGUUCUAGUUCUAGUUCCUCUAGUUCUAGUUCUAGUUAGUUCUAGUUGUAAUCUAGAAAAUAGGGAGAGAGAAGAGGAGAGCGGAGGAAGAGGAGCCGGAUCUGUCGGAUCUUCCUCAACAUUGUACUUUUGCAGCAACUGGUUCGUUCUUCAUCGUUCUCUAGGUUCUUCAAUUCAUAAUUCCUGAGUUCUUUAAUUACUUUUAUUUACAUUCAAGUUAUUUAUUGGAUUCCCGCUUGCAUCAAGUGCUCUAAUCUUUGAAACAUUAGAGUAGUAAUUAAUAGAUUAGACGUGGUGUUUAGUCUUGCAAUUACCUGGAAUUGCACCCAAUCCUAUGCAUUGUUGUGGUAGCCCUAGGGUAGUGACAGCCCUAACGGUCGAUGUAUUCCACCUCGUUCGGAUCGGUGUUUGUAGGACCGUAGUCAGAGCUUCCUAGCCCCCUUCUCAUAUCUUUCUGUGGUUAGUGUUCUGAUGUCCCGAAAUAGAUAAUCUUGAAGUAAUUCUUGAUUCUUAGAUCAACUAGAGAACUCUUAGAAAACUUCCUCUCUUCCCACCAAAAAUAAUUAUAUAGUUAUCCUUGGGUGAUCUUGAUUCUUAAUUAGUACACUCACGUUCCCUGUGGAAAAUCAAUACUUUGGAAUACUCCCGGGUGAAGGCUACAUCGGUAUUCGUGCGCUUGUGGAUUUUCUACUUGCGUUUAAAAUACCCAACAAAUUGUUAGUUAAAACCCCCUAUCUUCUAUGUGUAGUGUUCGUAUCUCGUGUUUAUUUCACCAUAAAAAGUUGACACUAUCCACUGUCAACAUAGGACAUCCAUGGGAAUUUGAUAAUGAUGCUUUAUAUCAUGGUAGUACUAAUAAAUACACUCUCAUGCAUAAGGAUAAGAAAAUUACUUUGCUGCCUUUGUCACCAUUAAAUAUUGUUAAACAUGCUAAAGAGAUUAACAAUGAACCUCCAAUAGACUUUGAUAAAAAUAAUGAGAUUAAGUUACAAGGAGGUGCUUUACUUGCUACAACUUCUGCUACUACUGAGUUAUGUGAUAAUCUAGAUGCACCAUGUUUACUAUGUUUUGUCAACCUAUUAUGUCGUGUGCAUUGCCUGUUAUCACUAACCUUUUGUAGGAGUUCGUUGAUGGAGAAGAUUCGUGGACGACUCUGAUUCUAGAAGGAGGGGAUGAUGAGAACAUCACCAAGAUGGAGUCGAGGAUGACUCCAAUUCAAGAAGGGGAGGAUGAUGAGGACAUUGCCACGCUAGACACAUCGACACCAUCGUCUUUCUCAAGUUGCAAUUUAUCUCCAACUCAGCUACCACGUCACUCUGAGAUUCAGCAGACAUAUUGUCAGUGUUUCAAUCAUAACUUCUUCAUACGACAUCAAAACAGGAUGAUCUUAGACUCUUUGGAAAGAGGACGAUGAUGCCAUCAUUUUGGAUCUGGUCCCAGCUCCAGAUAGUUCGUGGAUUGAUCUAUAUGACCCUAACAAGGUGCUGCAUCACCUAUUUUUGGGCCAACUUGGCCAUGUAUCGUGUCGGGACUUAAGCCCAAGUUGUGGGUGCCUCUCCUUGGUCGCCUCCAACCCUAGGACGCCUCUCUUUUAUAUUCUAUGCAGCCGCUGCUGCUUAGAGUUAGGUUUUGUUUAGAGAUUAGUUUUCCAUCGAGAAACUGAAUUGUUCAUUGUAACUAUGGUGACAAAUCCUUUUACAGUGAUCCAAGGCCCCCGUUCUUGAUGUCCUCCACUGUGUUGAUUAGUCCUUUGGAACUGAGUUCUCGAUCCCUCCAUUGAUAUUUGCUUCAUUCAUAUUUGCAAUUUCAGAUUGCGUGUUUAUACCUUCUUGCUUGUGUUCCUCGAUUCGCUUGUAGGAACAGCCUUCUUGGUGAGGUCAAUCAAGUUGUGCUCGGUUGAUAACCAAUGGAGCAGUGGUGUAAUGGAAGGAUUCAAAUCAUGUCUGAUUUAAAGCCGGAUCGCCAACGUCGAGAUCUCCACAAAUCGAACUUACCCGUUACCUCUCGGAAGAUCGGGCCUCGUCCUCAUCAGCAGGUAGCACAGUGGGCACCAUCCCCUACCACAGCAUGGGUGAAGAUGUGCCCUAUGUCCCAUCUGCGAUGUAGAUAUCAUGCACAAAAAGCCUAGGAACAAGUCAUCCGAGCCGAGGCUUAGGCUCGGGCGAGGCAUAGAUUUUGUCCGAGGCUAGGGCCUGGGCGAGGCGUAGAUUUCGUCUGGGGCCAGGGCUCGGGCAAGGCGGAGUAUCGUCUAAUGCCAAGGCUCUGGUGAGUCGUCGGUGACACGUUGCCCUACUAGAUUUGUUUGUUGGGCCAAGAAAGAAUAGUCUCGUCCCAACCUGAUGAUGUCCCAUGAAGCUUUUCGGGUUUUUGAGCGUUAAGCUUUGGCUUUUUUAUUCCCUUAGUUAGGGUACCCUGGUUUAUGGUACCCGACACCAGGUUUGGAGCAAAAAUAUUGAAGGAGUAACAAAUGCAAGGUUUGUCCAACCAAUCAUUAUGCAACAUUGAAUUACUUUUAACCAAUCUUGAUUUUUGUAAAAUUCAAGCUUGGGGAUAUACUUCCAUACAUAUAUCUUUUUCCAUGUUGCUAUACUGUCCUAGUUGCCUCUAGCUUUAAGACAUGCCCAAUUUGCUAAACACUUGUCAUGCUGUAUCAUCACUAUUGAGUAAAUCUCUAUAAUGCUCUCAUGCUACCUUUGUUUGCUAUAGUAUAUGUUUAGGUUUGGAGUAGUUUCAUACAUCUCUUAAAUAAAGCAUGGUGCCUAGUUUAGAAGUGGUGAUCUUACAUUCAAAGGCUUUUUAAAUUAAGCAUGGUGCUUAGGUUAAAAUGCCCUCUCAAAUCAAAUUAGACGUGGUGUCUAGGUUCAUUUUUGAGCCAAUAGUAUGUUGUAGUAGAUGUUGGAUAUUUUGUUAGAGUAACCCCUACAAGAAAACUUUUACACCAAAUUGGGAACGUCCUGAGACGAACUGACACUGGAGAUGAAGAGGGACACAAUAAUUUUGCAUAAGGGAGACACAACUCACUCCUAGCCAAGAAGAAAGAAGGGUGCCAUAAAACAUGAUCCACAAUCAAAACACUCACUCCAUGGAGUUGCAUUCUCUUGUCAACCACUAAAUAUCAGGAAUCAAGAAAAGGUUGACAAGAGAAGAGAAUGCAAUGUUCUGCACCCUCACCUCUGAGAUUGGGAAGCUAAGAAAUGAGGAAGAAAGGUCAACUCCUCUAGAUGAUCCAACCAAGUUCUUCCUCAUCUCAUGCUCCCAUCGCUCUACACGUGUCACACCCCAAAAUUUCUGAGUUUGGGUUGUGCAUAGAAAACACUAAACAAAUAAAAUAAAUUUAAUAUUUGCAUAGGAUUUGCUAAGUUUAGUUUGAGUUAGUGCAAAUUUAGUUAUAGGAAAAUGUGAAUUUUUAAAUUGAUCUGAAUUAACUUGAUGGGAUUUGUUGAUGUGAUGUGAUGCUUAUUUGUUGUUUGACUUUGCUUGGUAAGUGGGUACAGUAUUAGAGCGCGCUUAUUAAGUCAUUAAUCUAUAUCCGGCGUGUCCCUAUCUUUUUCUAUAAUUAAGUUUAUUCUUUUUUGAUCUUAAUCUUUUCAUUUGAAGUUUUUCCAUAUCUUCAUAUUCUACUCUAAAUCAUUCCUUUAAGUACAUAUUCCAUCAACCGACCUAUUAAAACUUAUCAGAAAUUAUUUCAGCAUUUUCUUGGAAUUUAUUUCCACUUGAAUCUAAAUAUAAUCUAUUUUUGAGAUACUCCUAGAUAUCUUUUUAUGAGCUCUAAAUACUUUAUUUGGGUUUCUCAUGUUUUAAAAUACCUCUAAGAAUUUUCUCAUAAUUUUUGGAGCCUUCGGGGUAUUUUUCGGAAUUUAAAUAUCAAAUUUUGGACUUUCUGGAAUUAUUUUUAUUCACAAAAUUAAUUAAAUUCGAAAAUAAUAAAAUAUUCAAUUUUUUCAUAACAUCAAACUCUAACAAUAUAUAUAUACCGUUUUGUGAGCCGCCACCAAACCAAGCCCCUAGGCCGAGCGCCCCACGCUCUGUCUCGCCUCACGUGAAGAUGUGUCCUUCCCCCGUUUCGCCCACGGUGGUUUGGUCCGCCGGCGCCUCUGCUGGUGCCGCCCAGGCAUGUGCCCAGCUUGGCCACACAGGCCUAGCGUGCCGCUCCGGCCGCUGCUGGUGCAGGGCCCAGCGCUACGGUGCUCUUACCGGCUUGCCAAGGUCCAGGCCGAGACCCCCCACGAGCUCAGCUGCAAUUUUCGAUGGCCAUCCUGUACCUACAGACAUCCAAGGUAGAAGAAGACAUAUUUAUGAUUUUGUCACUGCUCGUUUAAUCCGCCGUUUAUUCGUUUUAACUUCGGUUUGAGACAUUCCAGUUGCGUUCGUUGGUCAUAUUCUACGCAGUAGUGGUAACGGUCAUUAUGUCAGUCAAUUAUGAACUUAUUUUUUUUAAAUACAUUUCGAUUUAUAUUUAUUUAAUAGCGUUCUAAUUAAAAGCAACAUAGGUUUAUAAUUCUGGUUUUGUUGCGGCGCGAUUGUGCAGGCGUAAAGCUACGUAUUAUUAACAAUGUUUGUUAUGUUAUGAGUUUACGAAUUUAUAAUUUGAUUUAUGUUUAUAUAGUGUCUUCUUAAAUUAAAAGUGACUUAGGUUUAUAAUUUUAAUCUUUAUAAAUAAAUAAAUAAGUGUGAACGUAAUUAAUAAAAAAACAUAAAUGUUUAUUAUUUAGUUGUUUAGUUAAAUAUAAAAUGUGUAACUGAUAUGAUUAAUAUUUAUCUUCUGUCUUUUAAUUUAUCAAGAGCAACUUAAGUCUAGUAUUUCGUAAAUAAAUAUUAAUAUGGUUAAUAUCAAUAGAAAAAAACUUUAGUUAUGACCAGCUAAAUUUAAUCUUGAAUUAUAAAUGUUCUCAUUUAGCUUUUAUUCAUGUUCUAGGUUUUCUAAACUAUAAAUAUUUAUAUGGCUUAAAUGAUAUAUAAUUACAAUAUAAUUAAGUUUUGAUUAAUUUCACUUUAGAAUGUUUCUCUAAAAUAUCCAUCAAUUUGUUUUCCUAAAAUAAAAUAAAUACACUCUGUAGUCUUUCAUCUCUUUUUGUACCUAGUCACGAUAUUUGCAUCUUUUUUACUGAUAGUUCCGUUAUGAGCGUUUUUUGAGACCUUGUAGCAUUAGCUAUCUAAUCGUAUGCUCUUUUAUAUUUUAUGGUGUAUUAUUCUUAGUUGUUUCUAUCUGUUGCUUGUGUGUUUGUCUAUGUGUGGUGCUUGAUUCGAGUAGACGAGAAUUGUUUGUGGAUGCUGAAGAUCAGAAGGUGAUGACUAAAAGCUGAUGGUGUGAAAAAUAAGCAAGUGUUCAAGGCAAGAAUAAUUUCGGACCAUCCUUGUUACCUACACACUUAUAAUUAUACAUAUAUCAUAUGCAUGUGUCCACCUUGACAACCUUAGCAAGAUCAUAGAUGUUUGUUAUCUUGAAUUCCUUGAUAUACCUAUUUGGAUAUGCAUUUGGGUAGUUCUUGCUAGUGCUUGAUUAUUAAUCUAUGAUCUUGUAACAUGAAUAUUUGAAUAUACAAUAAACAAUAAAAUAAGCUUUCUAGCAACUUAAACAUAAAGGGUGGAAAGAACUCUAGCUUUUGCUGGAUUGAUCUUGACCCUCCAUAAGGACUUAUCCCUUAGCAAAAGCUGGGACAACUCGUACAACCAUCAGUGCUAUAUGUCUCUGGCUUUAGCUCAGUAUGAGGACCUUUUUCUAGCUUGUUAGCGGUUACAUUAAAUGGCGUAAGAAUGGCUAGACACGUUGGGUAUAGUGCGGCCUCUAUCCGUGUGUAUAGGCUGCGUGUUAUGUGCCAUGGAAGGGGGCUCUAAAUCUACCUGCCGAGUGAAUCUAAUGGUCCUAACUUGUUAGACGAAACUUUUGAAAGGCUUCAUAGUGAACCCUGCCGACCUCCCUUGGAAGGGGGUUAAGAGAUUAGCUACCUCGGGCGAAAGGGUAAAUCAUGACUCAUGGGUAAAGAUGUACAACCCCUGCAGAGUGUUAAAUCUGGUAUACAAGCCGUGCCCACGGAUACGGGCGUCCCGGAAAACUGACAGAAUAGAUGGACACUGAUGAACAUGAUUAAUGAUAAUAAAUGAUGGUUUAUUAUGUUGUUUAUAUGUGUUAUUCUUAAUUCUUGUAUACAUUGAUCAUGUGGUUAUGGGAUUUAAUUUUGCUACCUUGACAUUUGCUAUCUAAAUAUGAACAUGAUAUAUACAUAUAAAAGCUAAAUGCAGUUAAACCAGUGUCAGCUAAUUGAGCCUCAUGAACCUCUGGUUAUAAUUGUUGAGUACGAUAUGUGCUCACUCUUGCUAUUUCCCACCACUCCAGUCUACUAGAAAGAGAUGAUUAGAAGGAUGGUGGAGUCACGAAGGACGUUCUCAGAAUACAAGAAGUGCUAGGCAUAUGUUACCCCCAAUCAAUUGUCCCUGUGAAGAUUGAGCCUAAAGAUUAGUUAUUAUUCCGCGAUACUCUAAUGUAAGUGUUUAAUAUAACCAUGUUUCCGUUAUAUAACGCUGUUUCUGAUAUUGUUCCUUUUUGUUGUUGUAUGUGUGGAGUUCCUGGGCACACAUAUAGCUAACCUAGUUUUGUUCUUUAAAACCCGGUGUGACAGAGUGGUAUCAGAGCAAUGUUGACUGUAGGACGUAUGCCUAGUUAGCACUGGUCGAUUAGAAGAGUCUAAUUUACUAUAAAACUAAUUUUCCACCUCCGUGACCAUUGAUUUGACUAUUUCUUGUCCUUGUCAUAUUGUUUCUCCUCCUUGAAUAGCUUCUUUUGAGCUAUUUCUGUUUAUCACUUUGGCCUUUAUUUACUUGUUUUACUUUACUUUUCAAAACUUUCUUUAUACAAAAUUCGAUGGCCUUUCAUCAUCUCUAACAUGCCCUUUAGGAUGACCGCCAUUAUUGAAGAAACACGUAUAGAAUCGAUGAUGUGUUGUGUGCUUGUCUUGUUUGUGUGAUUGCCUCUGUGUUGUCUCUAUCUUGUGUUACAAAGGAGAUUUGGAAGGUACCGUUUUGAGAAGUAGCUCGUUCUUGUUAAGUGGGGUAACGUUCGCUACCGUCAUCUAUCUCAAGAUUCAAGACAUAAAAAUCUAAUGAUCAAUUUUAUUCUUCUUGUAUAUCUCUUUCUUGUACAUCAAACUUUAUCUUUUCUAUCAUCAAUCUUUGUGUUUCUUGUGAUCGAUCAUUAUUUUUGAAGCUAACCUUGUCAGUCUACAGUUAUUUUUAUCAACUCUCAUUAUAUAGCUCAAAAUAACGUUGAAGAACUUAUCAAUCCUUGCUAAUUUUAAUCUUAUAUCAUAAAUCUCAUAAUCUUGAAUUAAGGAAUUCUGAGCACUAUAAGAUGUAUCCUUAUCUUUUAUAUUAUCUCUUGUUGAUCUUCAGUCGACUUUAAACCUCAUAAUGUGAAGAUCCGUGAUCAACUUUUAUCUUUUUUUAACCUUCCUUGAUCUUUCUUUUCUACCUAUGCUAAUCUUCAAUCCUUUGAUCUCAUGUCAUAAAUCCUAAAUGAAUAUUGAGAACAAAUGUUUGACAUUUUUAUCAACUUUUGUGAAUCCUCAAUCCCUAAAUCGUACCUCAUCAAAAGUCUCAAAACAACCUUGAUGAUCAACUUUAUCAUUAUCUUUGGUCUCUACGAAUCUCGGGACGAGAUUCCUGUUAAGUGGGGUAGAAUUGUCACACCCCAAAAUUUCUGAUUAUGGGUUGUGCAUAGAAAACACUAAAUAAAUAAAAUAAAUUUAAUAUUUGCAUAGGAUUUGCUAAGUUUAGUUUGAGUUAGUGCAAAUUUAGUUAUAGGAAAAUGUGAAUUUUCAAAUUGAUCUGAAUUAACUUGAUGAUAUUUGUUGAUGUGAUGUGAUGUGAUGCUUGUUUAUUGUUUGACUUUGCUUGGUAAGUGGGUACAGUAUCAGAGCGCGCUUAGUAAGUCAUUAAUCUAUAGCUGGUGUGUCCCUAUCUUUUUCUAUAAUUAAGUUUAUUCCUUUUUGAUCUUAAUCUUUUCAUUUGAAGUUUUUCCAUAUCUUCAUAUUCUACUCUAAAUCAUUCUAAAGUAUGUGUUAUUAAUGUUUUUUCCAUAUCUUCAUAUCUUCAUCUUCAUACGGGCGGUCCGGAAAACUGACGGAAUAGAUGGACACUGAUGAACAUGAUUAAUGAUAAUAAAUGAUGGUUUAUUAUGUUGUUUAUAUGUGUUAUUCUUAAUUCUUGUAUACAUUGAUCAUGUGGUUAUGAGAUUUAAUUAUGCUACCUUGACAUUUGCUAUCUAAAUAUGAACAUGAUAUAUACAUAUAAAAGCUAAAUGCAGUUAAACCAGUGUCAGCUAAUUGAGCCUCAUGAACCCCUGGUUAUACGUGUUGAGUAUGAUAUAUGCUCACUCUUGCUAUUUCCCACCACUCCAGUCUACUAGAAAGAGAUGAUUAGGAGGAUGGUGGAGUCACGAAGGACGUUAUCAGGAUACAAGAAGUGCUAGGCAUAUGUUACCCCCAGUCAAUCGUCCCUAUGAAGAUUGAGCCAGAAGAUUAGUUAUCAUUCCACGAUACUCUGAUGUAAGUAUUUAUUAUAAGUAUGUUUCCGUUAUAUAACACUGUUUCUGAUAUUGUUCCUUUCUGUUCUUGUAUGUGUGGACUUCCUAGGCACACAUAUAGCUAGCCUGGUUUUGUUCUUUAAAACCGGGUGUGACAACACGCUGGUUUGCAAUCUCUAAAUUCACUAUUGCAUUAUUUCUAUGAGUUUGAGUUAAUUCAUAAUUCCUAUAUCUGAGAAUCAAAACAAAGACGUGAAAAUAAAUUCAAUCCUUUAGAAAGAAGUAAAUGUGAAUAAUAAAUGCACUAUGCUAAGUAUGUUAAAACAACUUCUUUUGUAGCAUAGAAAGUGAACCUUAUCUUUGUGACAACAUUGCCCUUGUCGUUGCUUGUAUAUUCCUCCCGGUAUGUGUUGUCCACUAAUGAUUUGUAGGGAUAAAAUAAUAAGAAGAGCUAAAGGUCCAAGAACAAACUAGACAGAGAACAAAUGAUGGCAUAAGGUAAGAAAGGAGUACAACAAAGGAGACAAGCUAUUCAUAAAUAAGACAUGUGACUAGCCAAGCAAGGAAAGCUUCCACAAGAUGUUGUGGCUUCAAUUCAACAUGCUUCAAUACUAAAGGUAACAUCUCUAGGUAAGUGAUCAUUACUUCCAAAAUAUCCUCCUUGAUUCUGGCAUGCACAUAAGUAGAGAGCCAAACAUGCUUUGAGUUACAACCUCAUUUGAUCCAAUCUAAUUAACUCAAGAUGUUCAGUUCUUUAUGCUUGUCUCUAGUAUCACUUUCUUGAUCACAUAGCCUUUAAUUCAAUGAUCUGAAAUGUUGCACAUCCUAUCUUUGGAAGAUGAUAGUCAUAAUCAUAAAAUGGUUACACAAUAUGCAUAGAUAUAUCAUACUUCCAUAAUGUUGAGUAAUCUGAUCUGCUAAAUGUUUUAAUGCUACAUGCUUGCUCAUCUUUUAUUCUUAUCACCCAUGUUUAGAUUGAGCAAAACACAUAAACAUCAUCUUUAUCUUGUUCAAUGUGCCAAAGCCUAGAGUAUAAUGAACAAGCGUUUUGGUUCUAUUGGUGUUUUCCCACCAACAGAGCCUGUGCACUUGAUAUCUGCCUUGUCUGUAUCAGCAGGACACACCUUGAGCAAAAUUAAGGAAUCUUCCCCAGUUCCUACAAGUGAAGAUCCUUGACCUAUGAAUAUGCACAGUGAGUAAAGAUGCUGCCAACUCCCAAAACUAGUACUUGACUCCAACCCAUUGGAAGAGCAAUAAACAUGGGUGACACCAUCUUAAGAGGUGCAACUAUCAUGGUCUCCAUCUUUGGGACUAGAUAUAACACCUAAGAAAUUAACAUGGUAAGAGGUUCUGUUCGGAAGACCUAAAUCAUCGAACACCAUCCCAAGAGGUAACUUGGUAGUUAUCAAUAUUUCUGUUUUUUUCACUACAUAAUUUUACUUCAGCAUAUUUACUUUCCCUUAAAUGCAUAAUUAGUUGCACAUCAACUUUAUCAAUUCUGCAUUAGAAAAAAUAUGUCACGCAUUGCAUCUAGAAAAUGCUAAGCCCUAUGUGAAUAAUUUUGUGGUGCGACAGCUCACAAAGAUAUCCAUGAUGGUGGCAUAAAAAUAAGUUUUCAUCUUAGUGCAUUUUUUGCGUAUCAUAAAAUAUAAAAGAUCAGCAAUAUUAAAGAUCCUGCUAAAAGGUAUAUGAAUUAAGAAGGUUAUAGACAUCCAAGGCUUAGAGGUUUAUCACUAACACUUAAAUUAGUUCCACAAGCUUUGUUGCCUAUUUGAGCUUCACGUAAUUCAAAGGAUCAAGAAGAGCUAAUAUGAAGAAGGAAGUUAUGUCCCUGACACAGAGUGUUGUCUUCAACAAUCAGAGUGUUGUCUCAACAAAAAUCAUCCCUAACACUCCAUGAGAACUAGUAUGCCAACAGACUACCUCAACAUCCAGCAUGGGGGAGAGCACCCCUAGUAUAUCCAGCUAAGUAUCACUAGCUUAUUUAUUAAGUGUGCUAUGUAAAUCCAAAACAAAUUAAAAGAAGCAUACCAUAGAAAACCCAAAUAAACAUUUCUCUAUCUAUUUUUACCUUUCUGUUUGAUAUUAAGUUUGCUAAAUAAAAUAUAGGAGAGUAUGUGAAGAGUUUGCCUACUAAAAUGAAUCCCACAGAAUAAACUCUUAUAUGGACAUGAUGAAUAGUUGGUCUACCAUAAUUCCUUUCAAGUACCUAGUUUUCAAUCUUGAACUCUCCCGAGUUUUGGACACAACUGUUUUUAUUUGAGGUCUGCUUUGAACCUGAAACUUGUCGGUAGCGAAUGCUUGAUCUAAGUAUAGGUAGUUGAUGGAUAUGAUAUGGGAAGGUGUUGAGCUAUUGUCCAUCUUGUUCCUAUAUAUACUAGAGUUGUGGAGAAUUUAUCUUUGAAAAUCUUAAAUUUAUGCAUGAUGAGCUCCUGUAUGACGAGAAUUCAAAAUUCCUACCAUAGCCAAAUAUACAUGCUUACUAGAUUAGGGAAGUCAUCCACUUCCAUAUAUCGCUUGUAGGCAUUGCAGGUAGUUAAGCUAUGUUGAUCCUUAGGAAUUAGUAAUGCAGUUAAAGUCAUGUUGACACCGUUUUUGGACACGUACCCAGAGACCAAGAUCGGCAGGUGGAGCAACGGUAACUAGCCUGCAGAAGAGUUACUGAUGAGGAUAGUUGCCGAUGAAGAGACGAUUGAAUAUGACUAAGUCCAGAGGUGGUGACGUGUUCUUGCCGAUGCUCAAUAUUGGUGUUUGCCGAUGGCUAUAACAGGAAGACUGCCGAUGACUCUGAAGGGAAGCGUGGAGGUUGCCGAUUGAUCUGUGGCGGUGUCCCAAUCGGUUGCGAGGGGAUGGUUCUAUGUUUUCCUUAGUUAUUUAAAAUCGUUUUGUAUACGGAUUCUGUUUAAUUUGGAAUUCGAGUCCUAGUCAUGUCUGAUUGUAGCUCUUUGAGCAGGGUAUAAAUGUAGACCCUAGGGCCUUGUAAUGAGAUAUCUAUCGAUCAAUCAAAUACAAGUUUUUACUCAUAUUCCAGCAUCUACUUUUUCGACGACUUCGUCAUAUUUUUCUUUUUAUUACGAGUUCUUAGGAGUUCGUCAACUUAAGCUCGGCGUAUUCUCGAGUUCUGCGUGAAUACCUCUUGGCCAUGACAUCCGGGCGCAUCGCUGUUGUCGGGACCAAAGUAUUCGAAUUAUCACCUUUGCCGAUAGUAAGGUCAAAUCGGCUGGCACGCAACGUUUAACUACAAGAAUGCUGGGCUUCUGUGACAGUUAGAUUAUGACGAUAACAGCCAGUUUUUUGUCACUGACUGCGUACAGUGAUGAAGUGGCUAUCGUCAUAGAAGGUGGGUCACUAGAGAGCUUCUGUGACCACAAGAGGACAUCGUCAUUGAUAUAGUGAUGAUAGUUCUCUCGUCAUUGAUGCAAUGACAAGACUAAAUUUGUCAUAACAAAUUGAACCAAAUAAUGUCACAUAUAUGAUGACAUGGCGGGUGACAUACCAAUUCACAUUCAGCGCAUAUAAGAUGGGCCUUUUAUUUUAUUAUCAUUUACAUUCAGCCCAAUUAGUCUAAUUUUCUUUUUUGGCCCAGCUUCAAAUUGGUAUUUUUUUCCUUUACAGCCCAACAGUACAAUCAAGGCCCAUAUUAUAGGCCAACCCAAUUAAAGAAAUAAUUGCAGAUUAUAAACCACAUAAGGAAUUGCACAAUAAUUAUAGUAAGCCCAUAGAAUAGAAUAUAUUGUUGCCAUAAAUAUAACAAUCAACUCAUACAAUUUCAACUCCAGAAUACAUGAUUUGCAUACAUAAAAAUAUUUCAGCCACAUUCCAGGCUUUCAGCAACCAAACUACAACACCAUACUACACAAGACAGAAGUACCAAGAAUGUUUGGCUGCAUCCAUCCUCCAAGUUCAACUACUGCAUAAAAGUACCAGCCAGCAGCCAACAACACAUUCCAGCAACCAAAAUCUCAUACAAAGAAGUACGAGCACAAAAAUCCACUCCUGCACGCAUUCAAGCAGUAUAACCCAAAAGAGAUCGCAGCUCCAAGUUCAACUAAACUAAAAUUAUCAGCCUUCAAAUUAGGUUCAGCCACCAAAUUCCUGUUCAAGACACCAUGAACAAAAAAAUCAACCACCAAAGAAACAAUAAAAACAAUCUUGAUUUGGAUGCAAAGGCACAAGAGACAAGUUAAAGCUAUGUACCUAAGCAUACAACUAGCUUAGGGGGGACUGAUCUGCCCCACACCAAAUGCUACCAUUUGUCGAAGAAGGCUUUGGGUAUCUGCUGCCAUCUUCCUCAAGCUCUCAAUCUCCUCAGCUUGUUUGUCCACUUUUGUAUUAGAUUCUUGUGCUUGCGCCUUUAAUCUUUCAAGCUCCUGCUGAAGUCCUACAGACUCUAACUUCUUUGCAUCCAAUUUAGCUUGUAGCUCUUUCAUCAUAUUGGUUGUCUUGGUAGCAGGAUGCUGAAUUCCGACAUUGCGAAGAAAUGUAUUUGACUUUGGCAGCACUUUGGAAACAACUUCAAUAGAAGUCUGGGCUUGCUGCCCGUCUUCAGCUGAUGGUGAAGUGAGGGCUUCCCGAGCAUGCAUGUCGUCCUAGCUAUCAAAGAAAGCUUUUAGUUUUGCAUCAUUAUAUAAAUAAAGGUUUAUUGCACAAUGUACUUAAUAAAAAAAAGGAAACAAGGUUUAGUACAUACUAUAGCUUUCUUCACAGGUUCACUAAAACCUUUAGUUUUGCUGCAGUGCAACUCCUCGAAUAGAUCAAUUGCAGUGGGCUCACUAUCCUUGUAUUUUUCUUGUUUCUGCAAUGUUGAGAGAAAAAAUGAUGGCAUGAGCAAUGGUUAUGUUAAAGUACACACUAAUGCAAAAAACAUGUCCUCUAGCACAAGCAUUCUAGUUGACAUUGAUUCUUUUUGUUAAACAUUGACAGUGGUUGCUAUGUAAAAACUUAAUUGAUGUCACCCCAAAUAAGCAUAAGCAUAAGCAUGGCAAGAGCAGAAUAAUCAAAUCAAACCGAUACAAAUUUCUAGAUAAAAUAUUAGCAUAUUUUUACAUGUUUGAUGUGUGAGAUAAUCUGCUACUCUCCCUCCAUGUUUUGCUGCAGCAAGGGUUAGAGCUUUGGUCACCUCUUGUUAUCGUUAUCUUGCACUAUAGAGGUAUGCCACUACAAGAAUGGCAUAUUGCCAUACCUCCACAAUGCAAAACAAGGGCAGCAAGAGCUGAAUAAUAGGCCAACCCCUGCUACUACAGCAAAACAUGGAGGAGAGCAGCACGUUAUCUCAUAUGAAGAAGAGAGCCUACUACAAGAUUAGAUCAUAUAGCAUUAUGCAGAGCCACUAUCAAUAUGCAGAUAUAGAUCUUCACUAGGACUAAACACCUCCACCAGGAAACACAAGAAGAACAUCCAACUAGAUGACAUCAUAAUUAUUUCUUACCACGACAUAGGCUUGUGCAAUGUAAGACCGAGAUCCUGUACGCUGCUGAAACUUCACUUUUUUACGAUUCAAUUGGUUUUUAGCACAUUUGUCCUGCACAUGACACAACUACAUAACAUAAGUAAUAGAACUAUGCAUCUAUUAUUUCCAUGCAACCUCAUUUUCACUUGUUUUCACGUGCCACUAUUACAUCAAAAAUGCAAAUAUAGCUGAUCCAAAUAGAGCUAUAAUCUUGACUAUGGAAUAAUUAGUUUGCCACCUGAGGCAAUCAAAUUUUAUGCUGAUGUAUCUUAGGAAGCUAAGUGGUUAAAAAACUCAGGAAGUUUACAUGAAUUAUCUUAUCAGGUAAUCUAAAAACUGCUAUAAUAAAUCUAAAAUUAUCAUAUGUAGUUGGCGUGUUCCAAUUCCUACUAAUAGAUUCAAAAGAUCUCAAAUCUACCGCGUAUCAAAUAUGUAUAUACCUAGCCAAACAUGAAUUCAUGCUCGUAUUCACACAAAAUGAAAAAUAUGCUAAACAUUACUUUGUGCUCUGGGCUUGACCACAUGUCAACCAAUUGUCUCCAUUCUUCAUCAGUCAUACACUUCAAGGGCGAUGUAGUCCUUACUUGAUUAGCUGGCACCCCAUCAAAGUACUUUUUUUAAGCCUAUACCUCAUCUGGCGUACUCCACCCUUUAGGAUGUCUUCACAUGCAGCUUUUACAGGGUCGCUAUUGGUGUUAAUAGUGAAUUUUAUCUAUUCAUCAAAUAGCAUAACAGUAAGCUUUGACAAAAGUUGAAAGUAGAAUGUAGAAAGUAACUACAAUAAUUUAUAUGUACUAUUCAGUUUGAAUAGUAGGAACAACAUGCAUAGAUGAUAUAUGGUUCUCCAAAAGAGGCUUAGCAAAAACAAGCAUUUGAAUAGUAUGAGCAGAAUGAAUAGUAUGAACAGCAUGCAUAGACGUUAGUGACCACCACAUACCAAGAGAGAUGUAUAUAUGCAUAGCAAGACUAUGCUACAUGUACUUUUACUUGUAUUUCAGUUCAGACAUCAGGUAGAGUUCUCCAUUUUAGUGCCAAAUGCAAGCUAAUUAUCAAGCAUGUAAUGUUAAUAGCACAUACAGAAAAUUUGAAAGCUUACACUAGACAAAACUUCUAACAUAGCAUGGAUUUAAUUAGUUGAAUAGACUCUUACCUUGAGUUUGCCCUUGAAGUUUUCAAGUUGAUGCCCAUCUUUCUUGUACUUUGUCCAGUUUGGAUAUAUUGGUACAUGCUGCCUGAUGAUGAUCCCACUCUCUGAGGCCAGCUUUGCAGCUUGCAUAGGAGCCUCUGGCCUUCUUUUCCCUUCCUUGAUAACGAUCGGUAUCAUAGUCCCUAAACCUCUGCUUAUGGAAUCAAUCUCUUUGCCCAUGCUCUUCCCCCUUGGCACCAUUUGUCUAUUGUCAGUGAGCGUGCCUAACAUAAAACAUUUAUAAGUGUCAAAAAAAAGAAGAUCUUGCACUUGAUACAAAUGAAGCAUACCACAUAUAUGGACAAUAAAACACAACAAUCGCAGUCACUUGCCUUGUUCAGUAAUGCUCAAUUCCAUUGGCUCCACUUCUGUACUUAAAGUGAGGUUGCCUAACAAAAUACAUUUUGAGACAUGUGUUAAAAAAAUGAUCCCUGCACUUAAUAUGAAUGCAGCAUACCACACAUAUUGACAAUAAAACACAACAAUCUAAGUCACUUGCCAUGUUUAGUAUUGUUCAAUCCCAUAGCAGCUUGUACUUCUGUACUUGCAUUAAGGUUGGCUACAAAACAUAGUUUGAAAAGUAAGUGUUUGUUGCAAUGAACCCUGCACUUAAUACAAAUCAGUAGUUGGUAGUGACUUGCCUUGUUCAGUAUUAUUGGUGUCACCCUGAAUCUGGUUUGCAAACAAAUCAGGUUUGAGUCCAACCUCUGUGGCUUCAAUCAGGCUAGUGGUGGACAAUUGUCUCGCGGCCCUUUGCCUAGUGCAUCUCAUUGUUUCUUCCAAAUUUUCAGGUGCUCGCACUCGCUUAGAUGUUCUUCCUGUUAUAGCUUUGACAAUAUCACCAUUGUUGCCCACAUCUUGCCCUAGUAACAAAGCCUCACAAAGCAAACAAAGACAUGUCAAAAUCAGUUGCAGAAACAAAGUCACAAAAGACUUCCUUAAAUAUCCACUGUGAAUAAAUAUGUCAUUUUCUGAAACUAGGAUCACUUUUAUAAAUAGCAAAAAGUGGGAGUGAAAACUGAAUUAAAUACUCAAUUGCUCAGCAGCAUCAAUGCCACAAUGUUGUUACUAUGAUCUAGAUUAAUGGUGCACAAACUACAUGAGCAUAGCUCAGCCAACUAGAGAUAUUGAUUAGUACAAGAGUUUAUUACAAGAAUUGGUACCUUAGAUUUAUUGUCAAUACUCUUUCCAACAGCUUUCUUCUUUGCCACGGAACUUUGGAGUAAUUCUGCUAGUCUACGGACACCCAGCCGAUGAGCAAAUUGAUUGUUCCUCAAGAUAUUCCGAGCCCUCAGUGAGCUUAAGUCCCUGUCUUCCUCUUCUGCACAUACAUUGCAAUUAUAUUCAGUGGGUAUGAAAGCAUACAUUGCUUGUUAUACAUUGCAAUUAUAUUCUUCCUCUUCUGCACAUACAUUGCUUGUUAUCUUCCAUAUAGAAAACCUUUGUUGCCUGUGUGGCACAGAUGAAAGCAUCAUCCUUGUACCAGCAACUGCCAUGGCUGAUGCUUUUGAAAUGUCCAUCAUAUUUAAUCCUAGACUUCUUGCUACAAGUGUCAAACCAAUUACACUGAAAUAAAACUACUGUUCUUGGACUGUUCAAAUCAGAGUUGUACUGCAACUGAACUAUUUCCUUCAGCUGACCAUAAAAGUCUAUAUCUUCUCCAUUAUGUGAGCCCUCAACCAUGACACCGCUGUUCUAUGUUUUUCUACUUCUCUCACGGUCCAAUGUAUGAUAGCGAACUCCAUUAACAAGACACCCCGAAAAUAAAUGAACUCUAAAAUUUGGUUCACUUGCUAAUGCAUAUAGGUCAUCAUUGACUUCUUCUCCAUGCACAAAUUUUCUGGUUGCAAGCUGUAACAAUAUGUUCAGAGAAUAAGGUCAGAACCAAAACUAAUAAUUCUUAAAUUCAACUAAGAGCUACAUGACUCACAUGUUUCUUAAACCAUCCUGCAAAUUCCUUAGCAAGAGCCCUAUCAACGUCAACAUUGCCAGCACUCCUGCAUAUCCUGCAAAUAGUGCAAAACUGUCAUGUGAGGCGUAAAAAAUUACAGCAUAGGAAAAAUAUUGGUUGCUCUAAUAAAAGACAUACUCUAUAAAUGGCUCAACCUCCGGAGUAUUGUUGAGGACAUACCAAACCAUCUUGUUCCUUAAUCUUCUGAAGCAAGGAUUUUUGUCACAACGAACACAGGCAUAGUAACCUCUAGUGACUCUGCCUGAAAGUGUGCUCAGUGCUGGAUAGUCAUGAAUGCACCAUAUAACUGCAGCAUGAAGAUCAAAUGAUUUCCUUGUCAGAGCUUCAUAGGUAGGCACACCUUUCCAAAGAUCUAACAGUUCUUCAAUCAGUGGUUGCAAGAACAGAUCCAUAUCCUUUCCUGGGCAUGUCGGACCAGGAAUGAGUAGGCCCAUCAUGAAGUUGGAUUGCUCCAUACAUUCCCAUGGAGGAAAAUUAUAAGGGAUAAGAAAUACUGGCCACAUGCUAUACGAAGCGCUCAUCUUCCCAAAUGGAUUGAACCCAUCUGUAGCGAGGCCAAGCCGAAUAUUCCUAGCAUCUUUUGCAAACCAAUCAUAUUUCCUAUCAAAAUCCUUCCAUGCCUCGCCAUCAGCUGGAUGGCUAAGCUCAUUGUCCACUGGUUUUCUCUUUAACUUGUGCCAUUGUGCCUGCUUUGAAAGUUUUUUGGAUGCAAACAUCCUCUGCAACCUUGGAACCACAGGAAAAUGCCUCAAAACCUUGUUUGGAAUUUGCUUUCUUGUAUCUUCAUCCUUCCAUCAUGAAGCACCACAUACUGGGCAUUUAUCCAUUUUAGCCAACUUCUUUCUGAACAAAACACAGUUAUUCGGGCAAACAUGUAUUGAGUCAUAUCCAAGUCCCAAUGCACGGAUAACUUUCUUCGCUUCAUCAUAAGAUGCAGGGAUAGGACAUUUUGGAAACGCUAAACUUAACAACUUCAAGAAAGCACUGAACCCAGCAUUGCUGAUUCUGUAAAAUGACUUGAUGUGUAGCAACUUCACAACAAAAGAAAAUCUGGUAUAGGGACCAUCAGGGUGUAGUUCCUGUUUCAUCUCUUCUAAUAUGGCUGCAAACUUGGACUGUGUUGCUGGUCCACGAUCUUCAGCUGUGUACAACUCUUGUACUAUCUCAUGGAUUUUAUCAUCAUCUGGUUCAUCUUCAGGCUCUCUCAUCUCAGUUUCAACAUGGCAGUCAAUAUCCCUAGUUUCAACACUGCAGCCAACAUCCCCAGUUUCAGAAUUCUCAUUUAAUCCGACUUCCAAUGCUUCUCCAUGAUGUAUCCACCUAGUGUAUGUGUUAGUCAUCCCAUAAAUAUAUAAGUGAUCCUCCACUUCUCCUUUAUGUUUAUGUAACUGAUUCAAACACUUACGGCAUGGACAUAAUAUUUCUUGACUGUCAUCCAAAUUAUGAGAAACAAAGUUCAUAAACUCAGUGACCCCAUCUCGAUGUUCCUUGCUAAAUAGCCUAGUAUUCAUCCAACUUCUAGCCAUCUGUGACACACUAAAAUAAGACAAUAAUCAAGGAAUCAACAACCAACCAUUCACCAUAACAGACUGCUAUUCCUUCUAGCUUUCUAACACUGCCAUGACUCACUACAAAUCUAAUUAAAAAAGACUCACUACAAAUCUAUGCAUUUGCUAUCAUGAGUUUCAUGAAUCUAAACUGAACUAUGCAGUACCGCAUCAAUUCAACUGAUAAAACAAAAAAUGGGGUCAUAUCUACCUUUUCUAGCUGUUUUAUGGGGAUGAAGCCGUCAACAGAAUGGAGACAGCAAUGCUGGAUUGGAAUAGCAGCAGCCGGCGUGUAGACACUGGCGGACGACAGCUUUGGCGAGCGAUUUGGAACAGUCGGAGAUGGCACCGGCGGCACCGGCCGGUGGACAGACAGCAGCGUCUGCCGUGGAGAAAGCGGCAGCCCGCGCGGCCGCACGCGGCUUUGGCCAGUGGUCGGGGCCUGCACCUGGGGGUGUGGAUCUCCGGCCGACGGCGUCCACCGUGGAGAAAGCGAUGCGAUUUUGGCCGGCGGCAGGGUCCUGCAGAAGGGCGUGGAUUUGCAGCCGGCGGCGGACCUGCAGCCUGAUGCGUGCGUACGUGUUCAGCAGACUGAGAUGCCUAAUUUCGGAUCUGUUUUUGCCAGCAUCCAAACUUCAGAGUACAAAAACUGUCGAACACUCCCCUCUAGCAACAAAAGAGAGUGGUCUUCAGUGGUUGGCUGAGGACUAAAUGGUUGCAGGUCCCAGGUUCAAACCGUGUGGUUGCUGACAUUUUGGUGUUUUUUUUAUUUUCUUUUAUCCAAUCCUAUAUGGGGCUAUAACUUGGGUGUUUUUUUUUUGAAUUUUUUUUUUCAAUCCUACAUGGGGCUCUAACUAGGACAUACGGUAGUGUGCACCAACGACUAAAUAGGAUAAUAUAAUUUUUAAAAAUAAUUAUAAUAUAUUAAUAUUUAUAAUGAUCAAUUAUUGUUACAAUCUAUCAUGACAAAUACCAACAUUUUGGUGUUUUCUUUUGAAAAUUUUUUCCUCCAAUCCUACGUGGGACUAGGAGUUAACUAGGACGGAAAUAAUUCAUCUAGGACAUAUGAUAGUGUGCACCAAUAGCCAUGUGGGAUAACAAGAUAUUUUAAAAAUAAUUAUAUAAUAGAUUUAUAUUUUAUGACAAUUAACUAUUGUCACAAUCUAUCGUCAUAAAUCCCAUGCAACUAGAUGCUAUGACGUUGUUUAUGACGAAGACACAAUUUGGUCAUAAACAGUUGUCAUCCACUAAACAGUCGUCAUAAACAACCUGUGUUUAUGACAGAUAGGUGUUCUGUCAUCUGGUAAUCGUCAUAGAAGCCCAGAUUUCUUGUAGUUAUAAAUCGGGUAUUAGCCUUUUAUGUUUGCAGAUCAGCUUUUGCAUCAACACAUCUUUUGGCACGCCCAGUGGGACAUAUUCAAGAGCAAGAUCGACAUUUCGACUACCGAAUUCGAUUUAGAGAACAUCAUCCCCGUGACAGAAGCCAAUCUCAGAGAUGAGCAGAAGCAAGCUAUUGCAAAAGCUAUGGAGGAUUACAAGCAGCAAUGUUUGAAGUCCUUCAGUAUCAACAGGAGUGGCGAGGUGAUCCAGAAGGAAGCACUAUCGGCACCUCGGCAGGUUACUUUUGAAGCCAAUCCUGGUAAACUUCAAGACAUGGUUGAUAGUGCUAUUAACCGUGCCUUGAUCAAUCAAGCUGGUGUGCUGUCCAAUACGGUUUUCAACACCGUGGCUAGAACUCUCAGAGAAGGACAAAUGCCACCAAACUAUGUGGGCCCUGUCUAUCAUCAGCCAGGAUCACCAGUUGUCACGGCUCCAUCGGCUGCUACGGCCGCUACGGGUACGGAAACUACCGUUCCUUCAAGCAUGUUAGGAGUCACUAACGCGCAAUCUACGCCGAUGACAACUAAUCCAUCAACGUCAGAUGAGCCGAUCAAGCUUACUACAGAUCUAUUGGCAUCGGCAAUGUCGGGGUCAAUUCCUCCCAACUGGUGGGGUUAUGGUACGCCCCCAGAGAUGAUGUUGAAGACUCCUGGAACAUCUCAGACGGCUGACACGAGAGGCAAGGCUCCUAUGGCAUCGGCACCUCCAAAUUUGCCGAUGAAUCAGAGUCCCCAGUAUACUACAACUACUACUGCAAGACCUUACACUAGGAAUUCUCAAGUUCCAAUGUUUCAGAUGCCUAAUGCAUCGGCAGAUUCAAUGCUGAUGCAGCAGAGGUUCAUGACACAACCAGGGUUUGGCAAUUCAAUGAUGAUGCCCAAUCUUCAGUCACCGGCAAGGUUCGUGUCAAUGAAUGCUGAUAAUGGAUGGACAGGGCAGCUAGUCUUUCCACAGAUGCCUCAGCAGAAUCAUCAGGCUGUUGGAUUCCAACAAGGACAGGUCCAACCUAGGUUUCAGAAUCAAGGAUUGAUCAACCAGCCGGUGAAUCUGGGACAGCAGAUUGGUGGUCAUAUGGUUAACCCCAUGUUCCAUGCAGAUCGUGUGCCUCAGUGACACGUGGAAGCUUACCAACAGGCGCCAGAUCCACAACCACCCCAUCGGCAAGAUGCCGAUGCUUAUUGGGCCGAUAAGAUCGCUGAAGUAAUGAGAGACCAGUUCGGGAUAAAACCCAAAGUCAACACUUACUCUUAUUAGACACCGUAUCCUCCUGCAUAUGAUUUAAUCCCGCUUCCAAAUCUGUACGAGGUGCCGGAUUUCACUAAGUUUUUGGGUAGGAUGAUACAUCGACCAAGGAGCAUGCCAACAGGUUCAUCAUCCAGUGUGGGGAAGCUGCUAAUAGGGAUGAAUUGAGGGUUCGACUGUUUUCAUCAUCUUUAUCUGGAUCGGCUUUCACCUGGUUUAUAUCAUUACCUCCUAAUUCAGUGAUUACUUGGGCUGAUCUGGAGAAGCAGUUCCACAAGUACUUCUUUUCUGGAGUCCAUGAGAAGAAGAUUACCGAUUUGGUCAGAUUGAAGCAGCGCAAUGAUGAAUCGGUUGAAAGUUUUGUGCAGAGGUUGCGGGAAGUCAAGAACAAAUGCUAUAGUCUGGUUUUGGACGAUCGGCAGCUAGCUGAUUUGGCUUUCCAGGGUUUGUUGCCACAUAUGAGGGACAAAUAUGCUUCUCAAGAGUUCGAGAGCCUGAGUCACUUGGUCCAGAGGAUUUCCGACCAGGAUAUCAAACCCUUUGAACCCAAGAGAGCUUGGAACAAAAAGGUGUCAUUUGUUGACGAGGUAGCAAGCUCAAAUUCUGAUGAAGAGCCGGUCAUCGGCUUGGCAGAGUGGGUGAAGAACAAGAAGCCGAUGUCUUGUCCUUUUGGGCAUAAAGAGCCAGAGAAAUUCGCAUUUGAUAUCACGAAAGCUGAUAGGAUAUUUGACUUUCUACUUCAGGAAGGUCAGAUCCAAUUGUUGCCCAAUCAUGUAAUCCCAUCGGCUGAAGAACUAAAGAAGAUGAAAUACUACAAGUGGCACAAUGCAACUUCUCACAGCACCAAUGAAUGCAAGGUUUUUAGACAACAACUGCAAUCGGCUAUUGAAUCUGGAAGAAUCAAAUUUGAUAGUUCCAAAUCUCAGAAGCCGAUGAAGAUCGAUCAACAUCCUUUCCCAACAAAUAUGUUGGAUGCCAAGGGGAAAACCAAGGUUUUGACGUCGAAAGCAGCUGAAAGGAGUGCAUCGGCAGAUCCUGAGCAUCAAAUUACUGCUGCCGAUGCCAAAGGAAAAGGCUUGAUCCAAGAGGGAGCUAACUUAGGAAGGCCUCCCCGAUCUGGUAUUGUGAUAACUCAUAGAAGGCCUCGGGAGACUUGGCAGGAACGUGAGGAUCGGUAUCGGCGUCAGCAAGAAGACUAUCGUCGGGAAGAAGAAAGACGCUGUCAAGAGUGGAAUCGACACAAGGAUCACUGGAACCGCCCGUUCUUUAUCCAUUGCUAGGAGGAGAACGUCAAGUUGCCCACUGUUAGAGAUUGCCCUGAAUGCAAUGGUUAUGAUCGGUAUGACAGAUCCGAUCGCCGCUAUCACGAUAAUGAUCGGCGAUUUAAUGGGCCGAUUAGGGGGAGAGCGUCAGUUCAUGAUCGGCUUGGGGGCAGGCUCAGUGUGCAUGAUAGGCUUGGUGAUCGUGUUGAAUAUUUUCCUAGGAACCAGGAAGAGCUUGAAGAGAUGGCUAAUGCGCGUGUUCCGGAUGAGUUCAUAUUUUGCAGAGAUGCCAAUACUCAUCGGAUGGAGUCAAGGGAACAUCGUCGUCCAUCAGCAAGGCAGUCACCACUUCCCCCAUGGUGUCCAGAAGGGUUGACCAAGACACAGAAGAGGAGACUGCAACGCGAAAGACGAGAAGAGCUAAGCAAGGGUGAAAACUCUGGCCAGUCUGGGAUCAGCACCAACCAGAUCCUAAGGGGAAAGGGCCAUCGGCAGAUGUUAACAUGGUAUUUACGUUGCCGAUGGAGUUCCUUGUGCCAUCCAGUGAUGAUGAGGAGUUGGAGUUUUCCGACCAAAUAGCUCAGUUGGCUCUGGAUCCGAUGACAUCUAUUUUUGAAAAGCCUGCCGACAAUGAAAGGCAGCAUCUUAAAGCUCUGUUUGUCAAAGGAAGAGUUGAUGGUCAGCCAAUGACCAAGAUAUUAAUUGAUGGUGGGGCUGCUAUCAACAUCAUGCCGUAUGCAGUCUAACGGAAGCUUGGGAAAGGAGAUCAAGAUUUGACCAAGACCGAUAUGAUGCUGAAAGACUUUGACGGAAAUGUGUCUUCGGUUAAGGGGGCAAUUUGCGUCGAGUUGACCAUCGGCAGCAAAACUUUGCCGACAACCUUCUUUGCGAUCAGUGGAAAAGGUGCUUAUAACUUGCUGUUGGGGAGAGAUUGGAUUCACGCUAAUUGUUGCAUCCCAUCUACAAUGCACCAGUGCUUGGUUCAGUGGGUAGGUGACAAAAUCGAGAUUGUCCUGGGGGAUUCUUCUUAUGUCAUUGCAUCGGCAGAAGCAGACACCUAUGAAAGGACUAGGUGUAUCUCGAGAGAAAUUUGGGAGAAGGAUUUCCUUAAAGUUGCCGAUUUUGAAAUUCCACUGAUCCAAGCAGUCGGUUCUGAUGAGGAGUUUUAAUGGAUAGAUUCGCCGAUGAUGGAAAAUUAGGCCAGGGAUUCAGAUCGGCCGAUGAUUUGGUAGAAGUAGAUAUAGGUAGUGGUGAUAAGCCUAGACCUACUUUUAUUAGUGCUAAGUUAAAUUCUGAGUGUAAGCAGCAGUUAACCGAUUUGUUAAAGGAAUAUAAAGAUUGCUUUGCUUGGGAUUAUACUGAGAUGCCUGGUUUGGACCGUUCGUUUGUUGAACAUCGGUUACCCAUCAAGUCUGGAUUUCGGCCACAUCAACAGCCAGCUCAUUGAAGCUAAAAUCCUAAUAUUCUUCCUGAUAUUAAGGCCGAAAUAACCAAACUCAUUGAAGCUAAAUUUAUUUGGCAAUGUCGGUAUGCCGAGUGGAUUUCCAAUGUUGUUCCAGUCUACAAGAAAAAUGGGAAGCUUCGGGUUUGCAUUGAUUUCGGGAACCUUAAUAAAGCUACACCGAUGGAUGGCUACCCAAUGCGAGUUGCCGAUCUGCUAGUUGAUGCUGCGGCUGGGCAUCGGAUCAUCAGCUUUAUGGAUGGCAAUGCAGGGUACAAUUAGAUAUUCAUGGCUGAAUAAGAUAUUCCAAAGACUGCAUUUAGAUGUCCUGGUCAUGUUGGGUUGUUUGAAUGGAUAGUCAUGACCUUUGGUUUGAAAAAUGCUGGUGCUACUUAUCAGAGGGCUAUGGAUUUUAUUUUUCACGAGUUCAUCGGCAAGCUGGUGGAAAUUUAUAUUGAUGAUGUGGUGGUUAAGUCUGGAGAUUUCACAAAGCAUCUUGCCGAUUUGCGAAAGGUGUUGGAAUGCACGAGGAAGCGUGGUUUAAAGAUGAAUCCCAAUAAGUGUGCAUUUGGUGUAUCGGCAGGACAAUUCCUUGGGUUCAUAGUGCAUCAAAGGGGGAUUGAAAUUAGUAGGAGAUCCAUUGAUGCUAUCAAUAAAAUAGUCGCUCCUACCAACAAAACUGAGCUCCAGUCCUUGAUCGGCAAGUUAAAUUUUAUCAGAAGGUUUAUAUCUAAUUUGUCUCGUAAAAUUCGUGCUUUCAGUCCUUUGCUCAAGUUGAAAGCCGAUCAAGAGUUCAUAUGGGGGAAAGAGCAACAGUUGGCUUUCUAUGAAAUCAAGAACUAUUUGAUAAAUCCUCCACUUCUGAUUCCACCUCAGCAAGGAAAGCCCUUCAGAUUAUAUUUAUCUACCGAUGGGAUGGUCAUCGGUUCGGCUUUGAUUCAAGAAUUUGAAGGAAAGGAGGGUGUGAUUUACUAUUUAAGUAGGAAGUUGGUUGAUGCUGAGACCAGGUAUUCGGCCAUUGAAAAGUUGUGUUUAUGCCUAUAUUUCUCAUGUAUUAAAUUGAUGCACUAUUUAUUAUCGGCUGAAUGCACUGUUAUAUGCAAAGAUGACGUGGUCCGAUAUAUGUUGUCUAUGUCGAUUAUGAGUGGCAGGAUCGGUAAGUGGAUUUUGGCACUGUCGGAAUUCGAUCUGCGUUACGAAUUGGCAAAAGCGUUUAAAGGACAGAUUAUGGCCGGUUUUGUAACUCAACAUUGCAGUGCAGUGGAGGCUUUGGAAAUUGUACCGUGGACGCUCUUCUUUGAUGGAUCCACGUGUGACCGGGGGGGCAGGAAUCGGCAUAGUGUUAAUUUCCCCUCGGGGAAGGAAAUAUGAGUUCUCCUUGCCGAUUGUUGCUACGUCAACGAAUAAUCAAGCCAAGUAUCAAGCUUUGAUAAAAGGGUUAGAAUUGUUAAGAGAAGUUCAUGCUGAUGCUGUUGAAGUCUUCAGGGAUUCUAUGCUGGUUAUAAAUCAAUUGGCUGGGAGCUAUGAAUGCCGAAGCGAAGUCCUGAUAAGUUAUCACGAAAGGAGUAUGCAAUUAUUAAAGGAAUUCAAAGAUUUUUGGUUAGAGCAUGUUCCUCGAUUGCAUAAUGAGGAGGCUAAUCGGUUGACUCAGCAUGCUUCAGGGUAUCAACCUAUGGUUAACAUGUUAUCGGCAAUCGGUGCCGAUGAUUGGAGGAAAGAAAUCAUUGAUUAUUUAAAGGAUCCAUCCAAGAAAAUUGAGAGGCGUGUUCGGUUUCAAGCUACCAAGUAUGUGCUCCUCGAGGAUGAAUUAUAUUAUCGAACCAUUUAUGGGAUUCUUCUCAGGUGCUUAGGUGUUGAUGAGGCUAAAAGUUUAAUGGGAGAAAUCCAUUAAGGAGUAUGUGGAGCACAUCAAUCGGCUUUUAAGAUGAAGUGGAUGAUUAGGAGGAAUGGGUAUUAUUGGCCGACCAUACUUGAAGAUUGCUUUAAAUAUUUCAAGGGGUGUCAAGAAUGUCAGAAAUUUGGCAAUAUUCAAAGAGCACCCGCACCGGCCAUGAAUCCUAAUAUCAAACCUUGGCCGUUCCGAGGAUGGGCUAUUGACUUGAUCGGCCAGAUUUAUCCGCCAUCUAGCAAAGGACAUAAGUUUAUCUUGGUUGCCACCGAUUAUUUCACCAAAUGGGUUGAAGCUAUUCCUUUGAAGAAAGUUACAUCGGCCAAUAUGAUUCAUUUUGUGAAUGAGCAUAUUAUUUACCGAUUUGGAAUUCCUCAAACAAUUACUACCGAUCAGGGUACUAUGUUUACAUCAGGGGAGUUGGAUGAGUUCUCAAUCGGUAUGAGAAUUAAGGUGUUGAAUUUUCUCCUUAUUAUGCUCAAGCUAAUGGGCAGGCCGAGGCAUCUAACAAAGGAAUUAUUAAACUUAUUAAGCGAAAGAUUGAGGAGAAUCCUAGAAAGUGGCAUACAUUGUUGAAUGAAGCUUUAUGGUCAUAUCGGAUGGCUUGUCAUGGGUCGACCAAAGUUUCACCUUAUCAGUUGGUGUAUGGACAUGAUGUAGUGCUACUUUGGCAGAUUAAGACUGGGUCUAGGCGACUAUCUUUUCAAGAUCAAUUGGCUGCCGAUGAUUAUGCUACCCUGAUGACAGAUGAAUUGGAUGAUUUAGCAGGGCAUCGGCUGAAAGCUUUGAUAAGUAUAGAAGAAAAUAAGAAAAGAGUUGCCAGAUGGUAUGAUAAGAAAGUAAAGGCUAAGGAGUUUGCCGAUGGAGACUUAGUAUGGAAGCUAAUCUUACCGAUUGGGACUAAAGAUUCAAAAUUUGGGAAGUGGUCUCCCAAUUGGGAAGGUGCCUAUCAGAUAAAUCGAUCUGCUCCUGGCAACGCCUAUAUCUUAGAAACUCUCGAAGGAGUUGAAUUUCCUAGAGCAUUGAACGACAAAUAUUUAAAGAGAUAUUAUCCCAUCGUGUGGCUUGAUGCAUGAAAGUUUAAGUGCCGAUAACAUUCCUAUCGGCUGGAUUAAAAGUGUAUCUGGGGCUGGACUUAAUGUUUUAAAAGGAUGCCGAUAACAGUCCUAUCGGCUGGACUAAAAUGAUUAGAAGAAGGAAGCAAAGAAUGCCACCGAUGAAGAGUUCACAUAUUUAGCAGAGCCUGGAUCAUCGAUAUGGCGCGCAGACAGAUCUGAUUGGCUUCUUCUAUCUCCUUUACGUCAUAAUCGGCAGAGCCCUCCACUGGCUUCAGCUUCUUCUUCAUUUGCAGUGCUUUGCAGGCUUGGACAUUUCGCUCUUGUUCAAGAAUCUUGAUCGCCUCAGGCAGCUGGCUUUCUUCCUAUUGAGCUUGGGACAAAGCUUCUUCUACCUGUUUGAGUUUUGCCAAUAGGGCUUCUCUCUUUGCCAAUAGAUCAGAGAUCUUAUGCUUCAGUACAUCUCCCGAGGUUUUCAAAACGCCAAUGCUCUUAUGCUUCUCAUCGGCAAGGAGUUUCACUUUCAUCAUCUCCUCUGAGAGCUGAGCGUGAGCAGCUCUAUCGGCAAGACGCUGAGCAGCCUUUUGAUUCUGCAGCUGACGACUCUCUAAAUGUGCAGCCUGGAAAAGAACCUCCUCGCCAUCGGCAGGGAUUUGACCUCUGAGAGCCUUGAAUAGAACUUUGGCUGGGUCAGAAUCAUCGACCAAUUGCGUUGUAUCUUGAUGGAGGAGGGCUGACAGCUCCGCCAGCUUUGCUUUAAUCUCUGCCGAUGAGAUUCCGAUUGCUCGAGAAGAACUUGCUUCCUCGCCUUCGUCCUCAGAAAUUUCGAUGGCAAAGGAGAACAGACUGUCGAGAGAAUCCUGUUCCUGAAAGAGAGGACGCAAUAAGUUAUUUUAUGAUCAAGUACUGAUAACAAUAAAAAUGAAGAUCAGGUAACUCACUUGCUUUAGAGCUAUCUCUCGCCUUUGGUUAGUUGAAGCCGAUGGAACCACUGGCUGAUCGGCUGGGAUUGCCGAUGAGACCAUGUCAGCUGCAAGAUUGACAGAAGUUAUUAACAAAGUGGAAAAAAAGGUUCAUCGGCAAUAAAUGGAAAGUAUGUUACCUUGAGGGGACGCGGUACUUGUCUCAAUCGAGGAGACUACCGAUGCUAUGGUUAGGCUUGCUGGAUCGGCGGUCUGCUCAUGUACGUCAGCCGGUGUUUCUUCUGGCUGAGGUUCCUCUGGUUGGAGCUCUUCCACUUGGGGUUUUUCUUGUGGCUGAGGAGGAGAUGGUAUCUGCUGUGUCUGGGCUUCUGGAGAAGAAGGGGAUGAUUCUACUGGAAUCGGAGACACUGGGGGAGGAGAAGGCGUUACUGUUCUCUGAUGCUUUGCUUGUAAUCUGGUACUCUUGGACCCUUUUCUCUUCGGUUGACUGGACUGGGGGGCAUCGGCAGUCAUACUUCUGGUCUUUGCCGAUGUACCGGUGUGCUGAUACAACAGUGAGAAGAUUGUGGGUACAAGUGUAAUAAGUAUAAGAAUGGAAUCGGUAUAAGAACUUAAAAAUUUACCUUGAAGGCUUGUGCUAGGGUAGAGGCAGCUACCGAUGGGGAUAUCUUCGCCCGCUUGGUGGUAACUUUCUUGAGACGCACACCUCGAUGCAUUAUGGCAGCCAGGGUUGAAGCGUUGUUGCCGAUCAAAGAGAUCCGGCCUGAUGGAAGGAGCUCAAUCGGCUUGCCACUCCUGCUGACCAAUGGGGGGGUGUCAUCAACCUGCAUGUAACAAGGGGAGUAAGAUAUCGAUGAAAAGUGAAAGUGAAAGGAUUGAAGCAUCGGUUUAGAGUACUUACAGUAUUAUCAGGGACUUUGUACUGGGGGUCGAUCAUGCCACGGUAUGUGAGAGCCGAUCUGCAGAAUAGAUGAUCUUUCCAUUCUUCCCACCACUGUUUGUAUGUCUGAGUGAUGAAGAGAGCUGGAAUCCAAGCCGAUAAAUCUACAUUUGUAUCAGCAUUUGGUGGAAGUUGGGCUACUCUGAUCCACUCGAGAUGGCUGGUGAUAGUUUCCCUUGGCUUUAUCACAUCGGCAUAGCAGAGUGCAAUCGGCAGUUGAUCGAAAGCUAGUUGACGAGCUAGUGCCAAUGGAUUGUAGAAGUCAUAAGUUAGAUUAGAAACUUUCCCACUGCCAAAGAAGUUCACCGGUAUAGCUCUGGGAGUGAUAAUUGCCAUCAUCACCUCACGAUCCUUGUUGAGAGCAUCAUUGAAGGGGUGGAAAGUUAGAGGGAAUCUGGUGUCUGGAUCUUCAUAGGGCAUCCAUGCCCGCUGUUCCCAGGUCAAACCCACAUACAGGGUUUGGAAGAAUCGGCUGACCUGGUCUGCGUUGCCACCUGUGCCAAGCAAAGCUAUGACGCCUUAGCCAAAGUUCAGAGGGAAACGAGUUGUCGAUUCUUCUUCAUCCAGUUCAUAAUCCUCGGCUAUAUCUCUAGGGAAGCGCUGUGCAAAAAGGUCAAACUCAAAGCGCUUGUGCAUGUGAAGACUAAGCCACAUAUUGACGAACCACCAGGGACCCCCUAAGUUGCCGAUGGAUUGACCAAGCAGUAGUUUUUGGGCUACUUGAUGGAGGAGGUGAUAAGCAGAGCCGAGCAGGUAUCGGCCAAGAGGAAAUCGGCCACCAUUAGCUAACCUUUCUGCUGCCGUUAGGUAGACAGAGGUUGGUCCUGCCGAUCGACCACAGAAUACAAACUUAUCUAACCACAUGUUCAGGAAGGUGGUCUGUUCCUUUAUACUGACAGGUCCUGUUCGGCGGUACUUCUGAAUAUACCCUGACCAACCGCCGAUAGCACGGGUUUCUACCUUAGCACUGGGCUUGGUGUCGAACAGGUGGGUGGUAUCGGCAGUGGAUAUGUCUAAACCGGUGAGCAUAAGAACAUCGGCAAGUGUGGGGGAAGCAGGGCCAUGUCCGAACACGAAAGCAUUAAGUGUAUCUAACCAGAAGUAUGAGGCAGCUAUUAGUAGCGACUCAUUUCUCUCCAUAUCGGCAAGAGACAAUCUAAUGCACUGAUCUAAUUUCCGUUCACCCCAUUGGACUUCAUUUGAAUUACUGAUUCUUAGAAACCAAUCCUUCCAUCCCUUGGUAGGACAGGGCCAGGAACGGAAGGCGUCUUUCCAUAGAUCUAAAGAAAAAUUCUCGGCUCUGAAAGCGAUUUUAUUUGUCUCUGCAUUUAUGAGAUCGGUGGGAUCCAAGUUCCCUAGUGGACCAAGGCAUUGGAGAUGGGGUUGAUCGGUAGGAAUAACGAUCUUGUCAGCCAAAUCCUAGAAAUUUUUAGGAAUGAAAAGAAGAACAAAAAGAAAAAGGAUUCGGUAAGAAAGAUUGCGGAUGAACCGGGGUAUAGUAAAAGUACAGAAAAAGGGCAGUACGCUGACCUCACGAACGACGAAGUUGAUGGCCAUCUCCUCGCAGGGGACAAGAUCGAAAACUUAGGAGUUGUUGGAAGAAGUUCUUGUCGGAGUUCUUGGAGCUCUCAAAUAGUGUCGCCGCCUGGAAAGCAGAGUUGGGGCUGUAGAAUGAUGCGAUGGAGAAGGAGUACCCGAGAAGGAAGUAUUUAUAGGACAAAACGAUCAAGGGCAAAUUUGACUUAUCUCUUCGCCGUAUCUGUGAAAUCCGAGGAUACUCAGGUGGAUAUUGUAACAGAACCGCCCAAAUUAUAAGAGAUUAAGCCUAAUGGUGACUAUUUGCAUAGUCAUCCCAUCGAGCUUAAACCCAUGUAAUCCCGGUAGUCCGUGAAAUCUCGAAGGAUUUCAAACCACAUAACGUACAUACAGCCAAGAUCGUAAUAAGUUUAGCAGUCACCAUCCACAAUUACAUCCAGUUCAUAAACGACCAUCAAAUACAUCAGAGUGCUUAAAAUUAUUACAAACCAAGUUCUCAAGUAGCGGAAGCUUCAUAGUUCGAAAAUAACACACACAUACUUAGUCUGGUAUAGUGCCAUAGUUCAGUCAUUCCCACAAAAGCAAAAGAGGAGGUAGAGUGACCAUCACCCUUGGUCUAGUCAUCGCCCAUUGCUGGGUACAAGCAGAGGAUGCAAUAACUAUAGUAUAUUUGACCAUCUGCAAAACAACAUGGGAGUAGAACCCUGAGUACGAGAAUGUACUCAGCUAGACUUACCCGUCAUAAACCAAAAAUAAAGACUCUUCAAGGAUCAUGAAGGCUAUAUGGUGGGGGUAGCUGAUGACUUUUUUGGCGUAAAAGCACUAUUCUAUUAAACAUAUCCUAUAGGAAUCCUCUUUCUUUUAAUUAGCUCAGGUUGAAAGUAUCGUUACCUAUUAGCUAGGUUUGCUCCUGCACUAUGGCAAACAAAUAUAAUAAUAUGAUGGUACCUCAUCCUAGCAUUCAUGCAAUUUUUUCAUCAUAUAAGCCAAGUGUUCCAUAGUCCUUACUACGAGGACGAAGCUCAUGUCAAGUGCUCACUAUCCAAGAGCGAUGGCGAUUCGAAUCGAUUUCUAACCAGCUGGCGAGUUAUUCCCCGCACAAACCACACUCACUGAUCAACUGAGCUACAGAUCACCGUGUUGCACUAUCCAGGACCAAUUCGCGGGUUUGACAGGCACCGCCCGUACCCGAGGACCGUUCCGGCGACCGAGGUAUCCAAGGUAUACCAAGGUUGCGCGCCGCGCCCUCGUCGUUCUCCUCAACCCUCACCAAUACAGCGCGUACAUCGGGCCGAUUCCCGGCCCGGAUAGUGCUCAGGCUUCGCGGUAGGAACGACUUAUCCUUCCAGCUAAGUGUGGGGCAUGCGUUCAACAUGACAAGAGGGCCGUCAACGAUCGGUCCUUAAUCGACACAGGCAGGGGCACUACAGCCAACCCACCAUAAGACCCUGCCCGGUCUCAAAUUCCAUUCCACACUUGGUAAUCUUUCCCAAAGCAAUCACCGCUUAAUCAAGCAGGUAUCCACCUAUAUCUCGUAGGUGACAGGAAAUCACCCGACUUCUACCGGACUAAGCAAGCUAAGAAUAGACUCCGUGCCUAUAUACAUAGGACAAGGUAGAUAAACAAAUGGUGAUAUCAAGGAGAACAUAUGCAUCAACGGUAUCAAGCAAUUCCUAUCACUUAAAUGCAACAUAGUAAAACAAGCAUAAUAUAUCGUUUAUGUUAGUGAGAAUAGGGAGACUUAGAAUGCUCCGGGGCUUGCCUUUCUCAAACGUGCUCGGCUUGUGAUCCGGGCACUCUUGCAGCUCUUCUCCGGGUUCUGACACUCCCAGAGGUUCCUGCUCCUAUGCUUCCUCCUGCUCCUCGGGUCCCACCUCAUUCUCCUGUGAGCCUGUAUGAUGCAUGGAUGCUCAUUAGUGGAGUGCGAGAUGCCCGGGGUGCAAUGCUCAUACGAGAGGAUACCAAAUGACCAUGACAUGAUGCAUAGAUGAUUUAGGUGGUCAUUUUUACAAGGUAGUCAACAUCAUUCAAGAACAUGCAAUUACACUAAGCAUCUAUUUCCUUCUCUUCUACAAAUUGUCCUCAAGUGAAACCAGCAAACUCACAAGAUGCUUCAAAGAUACACCAAACCCCUUUUAGUCUACUUAAUCUAUAUAUAACAAUUCAUAAUUUCUUUAUCCAUUUUUAGGCCUACCAAACUAUCAUACAUUUCUAUUUAUCAAUAAAUUCCACAAAAAUUACAGUAGACUACCAGUCAAACGUAAAGUCUACCAUAAAUUUUUCAUAAUAUUUGGACACUUAUUUUGAGCUACAAAAAUCACAAGAUUAAUUCACAAAAGCAAGUAUAAAUACUCUACUGUGUUAUAAGUGUCAAACAGCAGAUUUCAUAUUUUUAUAAUUUGCUUAUUAUCCUCAGAAACACCCACAAAAAUUCCCAGAUUAAUUGCAUGAUCCAAUUAUUUAUUAAAAAUCAUAAACCACUGCCAUGCAAGCAUUUAAAUCACCAACAAUUAAUUCACACAACAAAUAAUGUGUAACAUAUUUUUCCUAGAGCCUAAUCAUCCAUGCAGAGCCAACAAAACAAAUUUCAUAUUUUUCUAAGCUUUAUUUUAAUUACUAUGCAUUUUCCAAUCCUAGCAAAAACAAGGAUUAAAUAUAUUUAUACACAAAAGUUGUUCAAACAUGACAUGCAACCACACCAGGCUAUAGAUCUGAGAAUAGGGAACACACCAAAAUUUGUUUCACCAAUUUUGGAGCUAUACAACUCAAGAUAUGGAUUUUACAUUAUUUAAAUCAAUUUCUGGAAAACCUUUAUUUAAGAAAACCGAUAGAAAACGUUAGAUUCACCCAGAUCCACACCCGCAGAGGCGCUGACAGGUGGGAUCCAGGGGUCGUGGCCCCACGGGUCAGCCAUGCAGCACUCCGGCUAACUUUGGCCGGCCGGCUCUUGCCGACGGCGAGGUCUCCGGCCACUGGGUGAGCACCAGCGUGCUCCCCACAGCGAGGCGCACCCAAGGGUGCCCUUAGAUCGGCCGGGGGAGCAUGCAUGGCGGCACGGCGACGCUGCUCGCCGUGGCCAGGCCGCUCCGGUGCGGUAGACCGCGCGCGAGUGCUCCUUCGAGCUUCCUCACCGAACUACGGACCUAACGCACCCAAAAACGAGCGAAAAGAUGCAGGGACUAGUGAGAUUCGACACGGCAGAGCUCUCCGUCGUGGUCGGAGCAACUCCGGCGAGCGAUUCACGGCGCACGACGGGCUCUCACCUCGGUAGAGCGUUCGCAGGGGCUUACCGCGGCGGCGACGAGUGCGCUGGUGGUCUUGGCGUCGAGGUUGGGGCACUGGCGUGGCCGGCGGUGAGCAGCGGAGCCCUCCGGCGAUGGCGCUGCGGCGGAGCUGCUACGGCUGCGACGCUCGCGAGCGGAGGAGGAGGAAGGAGAGAGGAGCGGGGCGACAGAGUGGAGCCUGGGGGCGGCGUCCCGACCAGGUUAUAGCCGGUCGGCCGCGGCGCGUCCAACGCCAGCGUACGGCCGCCACGUGGCCGGCGCCGAGUGGAGCGAGGUGGGCGCCGCGCGCGGGAGAGAGAGAGGGGAGGGGAAGUGGGCCGCGCUGUCUGGCUGGGCCGAAAGGGAGGCGGGUCGGCCCAGCAGCGCGUGUCCCCUUUUCUUUUUUUUGAUUUUUUUUUCUCCAAAAAGUUUAAAUGAGACUUUUGAAGCUUUUACAAAACUUUUCAGGGGUUGGAGUAAAAAGAAGAAUGGUUCCCCAUAAAAUUCCCUACAACUUUGCUUUAAGAAGUGAAGCCAAAUUCCAAUUAGAAUUUGAAUCACAAAUUAAAACUAGUUCUAGGUUUUUAAAUAAAUUCAUUUUAGGAAUUUUGUAUAAAUUCCAUUUCUCAAAUCCUAUGGCUCCAAAAAUUUCACAAAAUUACUCUUAAACCAUUUUAACACACAAUUCAACCUAAUUUGAAUAUUUCACAAUUUUAGAAGCAAGCAUAAUAUUUUUAAUCAUAUUUAAUCCACCUAAAUAAAGCACACAUAAAAUCACACUUGAAUUACUAUUAUGCUCAUGGGAUGUGAUGCUUAUGCCAUGCUUGAUGAGAAUGGUUAUGAAUGUUUUAUGAGACUAAGUGCAUGCGUAACACCUAGGGUGUUACAGCCCUUCCCCCCUUAGGGAAAUCUCGUCUCGAGAUUUGGGUUACUAACCAUUUCUUAUGAAAUUUUGGGUAAACUGUUUUUAGGUAAUCCUCGGUUUCCCAGGUGGCAUCCCUAUCAUCAUAAUGACUCCACACCACCUUGUAUGUUUUGACAAUUCUGUUCUAGGUUACCCGCUCCUUGGUAUCUACGAUACCCAAUGGCUGCUCCCUAUAUUCUAAGUCUGCUUUUAUUUUGAUUUCUCUGGGUUCAAUCCUUUGCUCGGGUACCUUCAAACAUUUCCGUAGCUGGGACACAUGGAAGUCUAGAAAGAUUGAACUCAACUCUUCAGGUAAUUGAAUCUUAUAAGCCACGAUUCCUUUUCUUUCUAGUAUCUGAUAUGGUCCCACAUAUCUGGGUGCAAGCUUGCUUCAAACUCGGAAACGCUGAACUUUCUUCAUUGGCGUAACUUUGAGGUAAACAUAGUCACCUACAUUGAACUCAAGUGGCCUUCUUUGCUUUUCAGCAUAACUCUUUUGUCGCGAUUGUGCCACCUUCAUGUGCUGUUGUAUGAUUUUCACUUUCUUCUCAGCUUCAUUCACGAAGUCGAUACCAUAGUAUCUCCUUUCACCAGGUUCAACCCAGUUUAACGGAGUCCUGCACCUUUGACCAUACAGAGCUUCGAACGGGGCCAUCUUGAUACUCUCCUGAUAACUAUUAUUGUAUGAGAACUCAACCAAUGGCAACCAUGAUUCCCAUGAUCCCUUGGACGAUAACACACAAGCCCUCAGCAUAUCUUCUAGUACUUGAUUGAGUCUUUCCGUUUGACCCGAGGUCUGGGGAUGAUACGUUGUGCUUCUUAUCAGACUAGUCCCCAAACUCUUAUGCAUUCGCUCCCAAAAGUGAUUGGUGAACUGUGGUCCUCUAUCUGAUAUGAUGGUCUUGGGAAUGCCAUGUAACUUGACGAUCUCAGCCAUAUAUAUAUCAGCAUACUCAGGACGUCUGUAUGUGCUCUUAACUGGAAUGAAAUGAGCCGACUUGGUCAACCGAUCUAUGAUUACCCAAAUCGAGUCAUUCCCCUUUCGUGUUGUCGGCAAACCUAUGAUAAAAUCAAUGCUGACCUCUUCCCAUUUCCACUCUGGAACUGAUAACAGUUGUUACAGACUUGCAGAUUUCAUAUGUAUAGCCUUGACUCUGCAACACGUGUCACAACGGGCCACAUACGUUGCUAUCUCUUUCUUCAUCUUAGUCCACCAAAAGUGAGAUCUUAGGUCUUGAUACAUCUUACUACUGCCAGGAUGAAUAGAAAGCUUGGAGAGAUGGGCUUCAUCUAUGAUGCGGUUCUUCAAUUCUCGAUUCUUCGGAACUACCAGCCGAUGCUGAAACCACAAUACCCCUUUUUCAUCAACUCUAAAUUGAGUCCUUAGGUCAUUUUUGAUCUUUUCUUUGAUAUGGAAAAUACCCUUGUCUGUUUUCUGGCCUUCGAUGACUUGACUCUCAAGUGAACAACUAAGUUAUAUGUGACAUAAGACUUCAGGAUGCAUGAGAUUGAAACCAUCUUCAAACAACGGUUGAAUCACUUGAUAGUGCGGUUUGCGACUCAAUGCAUCUGCUAGAAUGGCGUGCUACCUUCGGGAACGGCGUGGCCACGGAGAGGGUUCACGGCGGCGGUCUCGGCCGGAGUUGGAGGAGAACAGGGGAGCCCCGGCGAUUGAGUGGAGUAGGAAGUGAGCUCGGGGGUGCGAUGGGUUCACAAGGAGGUGGCGGAUGCUGUGGACUGGUCAAUUUGUCGCGAGGGGGACCGAGUACGGUGAAUUUUGAGGGAGAGGCUCGUCGGGAUUCUUCGGCUUGGAACGGGAAAACGCGCGGCGCCGCCCACACUGGUGCUCAAAGGGGAGGAGGAAGCGAGCCCGAGGUGUCCACGUCGCCUGGCGGCACUGGCAGCAAGCAGCUGCGUGCUUGCACGCAUGCGCGCGGCGCUGCUCGCGCGGCGGCUGCGUUGGACAGGGGCCGGUGAUCCUCAUCGGAUCACUGUAGCUGGCCCUUAUCCUCCCCCUUUCUGUCUUUUGUGAAAUUCGCCCAAAAUUUGAAUUAAAGUCCUAAAUCCGUUAAAACAAAAGUUGUGCAGAAUUUUAUAAUCUACAAAAGAUAUUUUAGUGUCCAAAGCUGAUUCCAAGUGGAAAAGGGUGAAUUUGACAAAACAGUUUGAACUUCAAAUCUCAAAUUGGGGAAAAUUCCAAUUUUUGAAUUGGGGCAGAUCAGAAUUUCCAAAAAUUACUUUUGAUUUUUCCAAACAACUUGAAAAACUCCCAACAUGAAAGUUGUUCAACUUUUUGAGCUCUACAACUUUCAUGUUGGUCACUUUUCAAAAUCCCAAAUAGAUUUUGAAUUGGAGGUUCAAAUUGGAAAAGGGGACACUUUCUGGAAAUCUGUAUUUUCAAAAUUACUUUGAAUUUUGUAUUGAAACUUCAAAAACUCAAAACACCAAAGUUGUACAUCUUGACAAGAUCUACAACUUUGCUUCUGAUCUCAACCUCAAAUUUUGCUUGGUUUUUAAAUUGCACAAAAGGGGGCAAAUCUGGGGUUCAAAAUCAAGGUUCCCCCCCCCUAGGCCUUCGGAAAACCUUUACCCUAGGGUUUUAGCAACCAACUCAAGCAUCAAUGUACAAGAUAAACACACUUUAGUUUCCUAAGCACAUUCAACCAAAUUAAACUCAUUUUAAGUUGAUGCAUCAAGUUGUGCUUAACAACUAUGCUGUGCAAUGCUGAUGAUGCCAUGAUCCGAAUUUUAGUAACCGUAACAUUGAGGAUGUUACAGCCCUUCCCCCUUAAAGAAAUCUCGUCCCCGAGAUUUAAAGCCUUAGGGUAAGUAAUGGAAAAGGAAAUUUGUCAAAACUCUUUCAUCUUUAAUUUUCCCAUAAAGCAAGAAGUUGGGGAAGAUUACUCAAUUAUAAAUGUACACUGAGUACAUGGCUUUGGCUACUCUUUUCCUUCACUAGAGUACAUUCCCUAUUCAUCAGAUGUUGUCCUGAAGAGAAGCGUGGAACUCAAGAAAAUUCUCCAACAGAUAAUCUUCAGAUUCCCACGUAGCUUCCCCUUCAGAGUGCUGGCUCCACUGUACCUUGUACCACUUGGUAGUUGUUCUUCGAGUAACUCUAUUUCUUUGGUCCAGUACUCGGAUAGGAUACUCCGAGUAAGUUAGAUCCGGUUUAAGUUCCACAUCUUCAAUAUCCUGAACUUGGUCUGGUACUCGAAGACACUUUUUCAGUUGAGACACAUGGAAUACAUUGUGUAUCCCGGAUAAUCGUUCGGGCAGUUUAAGGCGGUAAGCUACCUGUCCACAUCGGUCAACGAUUGGAAAUGGACCAAUGUAACGGGGUGCUAAUUUGCCUUUAACACCAAAACGAUUUACUCCUUUCAUUGGGGACACUUUCAAAUAUACAUGAUCACCUUUGGCGAACCUUAAUGGUCGACGUCUUUUAUCGGCGUAGCUUUUCUGUCGGGACUGAGCAACUUUCAAGUUAUUUUGGAUUUGUCUAACUUUGUUCUCAGUCUCUUUCACUAAGUCAACCCCGAAGAACCAUCUUUCUCCGGGUUCCGACCAGUGUAACGGAGUUCGACAUCGACGGCCAUAUAGUGCCUCAAAGGGAGCCAUCUUGAUACUCUCUUGGUAGCUAUUGUUUCAAGAAAAUUCUGCCAGAGGCAAGCAGUCAUCCCACUUAUCUGGAAAAUUCAGGGCACAAGAUCUUAAUAGAUCUUCUAGGGUUUGAUUCACGCUUUCAAUUUGCCCACCGGUUUGAGGGUGGUAGGCUGUGCUGUAUAAAAGUUUGGUGCCCAAGGAUUCAUGUAAGCAUUUCCAGAACUGGGAGACAAAUUGUGUGCCUCUAUCUGACACUAUUGUCUUUGGCACCCCAUGAAGACUUAGUAUGUGAUCAAAAUAAAUCUGAGCAUAGGUGGAAGUAUGAUACGAUGUCUUUACAGGUAAGAAGUGUGCUGUUUUCGUGAGACGAUCCACAAUGACCCAAAUAGAAUCAAAGCCUUUGGCCGUCUUGGGCAAUCCUACUAUGAAAUCCAUACUAAUAUCAUGCCAUUUCCAAGCUGGAAUAGGCAAGGGUUGCAACUCUCCAGCGGAUUUGAGAUGAAUAGCUUUGACUUUUCGGCAGGUGUCACAUUGGGCCACAUAGCGGGCUAUUUCUAUCUUCAUUUUUGUCCACCAAAACCUUUGCUUUAGGUCCUGAUACAUCUUAUUGCUUCCCGGAUGAAUAGAAUACCUCGUGGUAUGAGCUUCAUCCAGGAUUUGUUGACGUAGCUCAUGUACCUUUGGAACCACUAACCGGUUCUUGAACCAGAUUACUCCUGCAUCAUCCACCUUAAAGUCUGUGGGUGCUCUAUUAGAAAUUUUCUCUUUAGGAUGUUUCAUGCCGUUGUCUUCCUUUUGUGCCUCUAUGAUUUGAGCUUCGAGAUUAAACUCAAUCUUUAGAUUGGCAAGGCUUCCUUGGGAAAUCAUUUCUAUCCCCAAGUUCUCUAGCUCUUGGCACAAAGAUAAUCUCUAGGCGUCACUGUUAAGCAAUUACAGUGAGCCUUACGACUGAGGGCACCAGCUACUACAUUUGCCUUGCCAGGAUGAUAAUGCACCUCAAGGUCGUAAUCUUUGAUUAAUUCUAGCCACCUUCGUUGGCGCAUAUUAAGCUCGGCUUGAGUAAAAAUAUACUUCAAGCUUUUGUGAUCGGUGUAUAAAUGACAUGUAUUCCCCAACAGAUAAUGGCGCCAGAUCUUUAAUGCAUGUACCACGGCGGCUAGUUCAAGAUUAUGGGUCGGGUAAUUCUCCUCAUGUGGUUUAAGCUGUCGGGAAGCAUAUGCAAUUACGCGACCCUCCUGCAUUAGCACACAGCCUAUCCCAAUCCCUGAUGCAUCACAAUACACAUCAAAGGAUUUUUCAAUAUCUGGCUGAGCUAAGAUAGGUGCAGUUGUCAAUAACCUUUUCAGAGUCUGAAAGGCUUGCUCACAUUGGGAUGACCAAACAAAUUUUGUUUGAUUUUUGAGCAAGGUCGUGAUUGGUUUGGCGACUCUUGAAAAGUCCGAGAUAAAACGACGGUAAUAUCCCACCAUACCCAGAAAACUACGGACCUCAUGUACCGUAGUCGGGGGUUUCCAGUUCAACACAUCUUCUACCUUGCCUGGGUCUACAGCGACUCCUUCCGCCGAUAAUACAUGACCUAGGAAAUGAACUUUGUCCAGCUAGAACUCACAUUUGCUGAACUUGGCAUAUAGUUGAUGCUCCCUAAGGCGGGUCAGCACGAUUCUCAAAUGUUCAGCAUGUUCUUUCUUAGUCUUGGAGUAGAUUAAGAUGUCAUCAAUAAAGACGACUACAAAUUUGUCUAGUUCUGGCAUGAAGACAGAGUUCAUCAGGUACAUGAAAUGGGCCGGUGCAUUGGUCAACCCAAAAGACAUUACCAAAUAUUCAUACAGCCCGUAACGGGUUGUAAAAGCUGUCUUGGGCACAUCUUCCGGCCUAAUUUUAAUUUGGUGGUACCCUGAUCUCAAAUCAAUUUUUGAGAAUACUUUGGCCCCGGCUAGCUGGUCAAAUAAUAAGUCAAUACGGGGCAAUGGGUACUUGUUCUUAAUCGUCACCUCAUUUAGGGGACGAUAGUCGACACACAGCCUUAACGUUUGAUCUUUCUUUUUCACAAACAAGGCUGGGCAACCCCAUGGAGAAGAACUGGACUGAAUAAAACCUUUCUGCAACAGCUCUUGUAGUUGGGUUUUUAAUUCGGCCAGCUCUUUUGGUGCCAUUCUAUAGGCCCUUCGAGAUAUUGGGGCUGUCCCUGGUUUCAAUUCUAUACUGAAUUGUACAUCCUGGUCCGGUGGCAGACCUGGUAGGUCUUCAGGAAAUACAUCCGGAAAAUCUCGAACUACUAGGAUAUCUUUGACUGCAGACACAUUAGUGGCAUGAACUUGCCCAAUUGCCCGCUUGGGAGUAACUAAUUGAAUUAGCAGAUAGGAAUUCUCAAUGGGCAAUGGGAUUUUCAUGGUUCGGUACAAAGUGUCUAGCACAACCCCUCGUUGUGCCAUCCAGUUCAUGCCUAGUAUGACAUCAAUCUCUUGGUCUUUAAGAACAAUCAUGCUAGUGGGAAAAUUAUGCCCACCAAAUUCGAUGGGUAUCUGGUGAACCAUCUCUUUAGAACUCAGCCGUCCUCCUAGCGACUGUAUAUAAAAAUGAUCUUGUGUUUCCCCAAUGGGUAUGCCAUGCUUUAACACAAAGGUGCGAUUGAUGAAUGUAUGAGGUGCACCAGAAUCGAAAAGCGUUAAAGCAGGAUGUUUCGUGAUAGGAAACGUACCCAUCAUUACUGGUUCACCCUCCGGGAUCGUCUCCACCUCCGUAUGGAAGACUUGUCCCACUUUCUUCGCUGGUUUUUCCCUUUGCACAUUUUGUCCUUUCUGAACCCCAGUCCUGAAUUGGCCCGGCUGGGGUUGGCCCAUAGGUGGCCUUUGGAAGGUGGGGUUGGUUUGGCGGGGGUAAGGGCAUUCUUUAGAAAAAUGCCCAGGCUUACCACAAUUAAAACAAGGGUAAUUGUGGUUGGGUGGAGCAGUGGGGCGAACACCUGGGGCGUUCGGCUGGCGUGGUGCAAGGGCGAUGGCAGUAGGUCGAGGGUAUACCUGCUGCCCUGGUCUAUAUUGUGGUGGGGAAAAGGGACCACGAUAAGGUGACGGCGCCUGAAAGCGUCCGUGGCCCUGCGGAUGAUAAAUGAUUCUCUGGCGCUUUUGACCGCGACCAGAGAAGGAAGAAGAAGCAGCCUUUUUCUUGGCUUCUUUGUGCUUUCUAUUCUUUUCUUCUGAGGCGAUGGCAAUAUUUACCGCCUCGUAGAAGGUAGCAUUUUGGCAGGUGGUCAUCAUGGUCUGAAGUUUAGUAUUUAGACCACGCAUGAAGCAGGCUUUCUUCUUUCUGUCCGUGUUCACAUGGUCUGUGGCAUAUUGAGAGAGAUGAUUAAACUUUGCCACGUACUCCAUGACACUUUUACCGCCUUGCUGCAAGGCGAGAAAUUCUUCGGCCUUCAUGGCCAUAAGCCCUUCAGGGAUGUAAUGGGUGUGGAACGCGUCCCUAAACUCGGCCCAGGUGACCUGGUGUCCCGGAGCUUGGAUAGCUAGGAAGUUCUCCCACCAGGCACCUGCAGCUCCCCGAAGCUGCUGAGCUGCGAACAGGGGCUUCUGAGUUUCUGAACACUGAAUCAAACUGAACUUGUGCUCCAUGGUCCGGAGCCAAUCAUCUGCUUCUAACGGCUCAUCAGCCUUAGUGAAUACCGGGGGCCUUGUCUCGGUAAAGUCCACGUACCGAGCUUCUCCGUCCCCAUUGUGCUGUGCUCUGAAGUUUGGGGCGGGGUGUGGUUGACGUUGUGCUAACUCGCGCAGCAAGCGAGCAUUGUCGGUAGUGGCACUCAAAAGAACAGCAAUGGCAUCAGCCAAAGAAGGUGGAGCAGGUGGAGGGUUGGGGAUAUCAUCCCCUCCCUGAGAUGUCCCAGCUCCAUCAGAUCCGCGUGUACGCAUCGGCAUCUGCUACAAGAGUCAUAUAUAUACUUGUUACCACAUGAAAUUCAUAACUUAGAACAUAUCUUACAUACUUCCAUUUAUUUAUUAAACAUCAGUUCGACACACCAGGAACAAACAGGUACAACUUCUCAAACUGAAAGAGAACUUUAUAUUACAAACCCGACCCCACUACGGUAAACUAGGAAUCCUACAACGACAUUGCCCGCGGCUUCACCGAACUAGUCGGUGUGGCCAGAGCUGUAGCCCGGGUCGUCAUUGCCAUCAUCCUGAUUAACCCCCGGGUUGUUGUCAUCUGGGUCGGACUCCUCUUCAUCACUGAGGCCUUGAUCGGGUUCCCCAUCGUCCGCCAAUUCUCCAUCCGUAUCCAUCUCUCCUUCGCCUGGAGGUGGAUGGAGCUGAUGAUAUAUGUCAAAUGCAAUAUCAUGAUAUUGCAUUGCCAAGUCAUUGACAGUAUCUAAAUGAUGUGCCAGCUCCAGCUUCUCCAACUGGAGCUGGUCCUCCCGCUGCCACGCGACAUCCCGCUGCGCGGUGACCGUGGCCGCCAUCUUCACGUACAGAUCUUUGAGCUACCUGGCCUUGCCCAGCUUCGCAUUUGUUGACGGUGGAUAUACCAUAGAAAUCCACAUACAAAACACCGUCAACAUGCCUCGGUUGCAAGGGGAAAUGACAUGACAUGAACAUAUUUUAUCCAUAACUAGUUCCACUUGUACUCUUAGCUUGUUUAUGCAGGAACAACAAAUUCAAGACAUUAUUUGACAAAGCCAACAUCAGAAUCAUCAAGAGGAGAUCGAGGGGACAACAGGUGACACCCUGGGUCCACAGGGAGGGGGUCGCCCGACCCCUCUUUGGUGGGACCCAGGUGUGCCACCUAGUCCACCGACAUAAGGGACCCCUGUGGACACUGCUGGUGGGCCCAGAGGCCCAGAAGUGGGGUCGCCCGACCCCACAUCAAAGGCGGUUCCCGGGUCGGUGGCCUCCCACCGACCUUCCCCACAUGUCCCACAUGUUGAUUUGCCCCUGCCGUUGAUCAAAUGGCGGUUGUGAGGUCGGUUUGGUCCAAGGGUGGAGAGAAGAUGUCACGCGGAUCGAUGACAUGGCGAUGGAGUAACCCCUACUCCAUCUCCCUCUAUAAAAGGCAGCCUCCAUCCUUCAUUUCAAGUGUGCAAUUCCAAGGCCAAGUGCAUUACAAGUUCCAAGCAUACAAGUAGAGUAGUAGUUAGUCUAGAGUGGGAGUUAGAGUCGAGUCGAGCGAAGCUCGGGGUCUCCGGAGUCGUCUUCUGUAGAGUCUGGUAUAGACCUUGGAUUCACCACUACCCUUCGUAUUCGUCAUUUACCACCCUUAUUCACUAGUUGAUACUAGACAACUCAAGGAAUCUCAUUCCCCUUUUUGUUAAACACACUUAGCCGCUUUCCCUUGGGAAAAUAUAAAUUACGAUACCUUGGAAUACUCCUUGGUGAAGUGCUACAGCGGUACAUUCUGUGCGCUUGCGGAAUUAUCCAAUAGUAAAUAGAGUUACCCUACCAGGGCACUUCUGGCGCCGUCGCCGAUAUCCGGUGGUUGCGUUAAGAAGUGUCAACAAGCAUUUCUGGCGCCGUUGCCGGGGAGAGCGUCUGUCUAAGAGUUUUAACAAAAGGAGAAUCCAGAGUUUGCUAGUUAUCAAGUAGUGAUAGGGAUAACCCAUCACUUGUCUUGUCUUCCUUUAUUGUGAAGCCUGACAGUGUAUGAGCGGUUUCCAAUUGCCGUCAAACUUCGUUGAAGAUCCUGAGCAACUGUUGAGGAGAACUAGACGUCGUCAAGUUCCACCUCAAAGGUUCAUCUCGAACCUGAAUCCGUUAGAGGAAGGAGUAUCUGCACCGGUUAUCAAAGAAGCUAUGGCCCAGAAGACCAUCUCUGAGUACUCUGCGCCGUCGGCUGACAAUGUCGCCACGGGUCCGCAGCUUAACUUGGGGGAUGCGACUUUUGAGUUGAAGCCUGCACUUAUCAAUAUGGUGCAAGCCAAUCCCUUCUAUGGAAAGUCACACGAGGAUGCCAAUGCCCAUCUCCAACACUUCUUGGAGGUGUGCGGCACCUUCACCAUCAAGAAUGUCGCCGCAGACGCCAUCCGUCUUCGCCUCUUCCCAUUCUCGUUAUUGGGGAAGGCGAAGCAAUGGUUCUACGCCAACAAGGGUGAAGUGACCACGUGGGAGAGGUGCGCCAAUGCAUUUCUCAAGAAGUUCUUUCCGAUGGGCAAGACCAGCGCCCUUCGUGGAAAGAUUUCCAGCUUCCAACAGCAAGCGGAUGAGACGAUUCCCGAAGCAUGGGAACGUCUGCAGGAGUACAUUCGCGCCUGUCCUCAUCAUGGGAUAGAGGAGUGGCUCCUAAUCCAAGGUUUCUACCAUGGCCUGACCGGUUUGGCCCGUAGUCACCUUGAUGCUGCCGCUGGAGGAGCAUUCUUGCAACACAAUGUCAAGGAUGCCAAGGACCUCAUUGAAAAGAUGGUUAUAAACCAAGGAUGGAAUGAGGAACGCCUCCAACCCAAGAGAAGAGGUGUCCAUGCCUUGAAUGAGGUGGACAUGCUCUCUGCUAAGAUGGACCUCUUAAUGAAGAAGAUGGAAGAAAGUUCCAAGCAAGAGGCCAUUCAACCUUACGCCACUACACGGGCCAUUGAAUCUGAUUCAUGGUGCGAAGUGUGCGGAGGAGAUGAUCAUUCGGGAAACAAUUGUCCCGAAACAAAGGAGGAAGUGAGCUUCAUCAACAACAACAACAAUGGGUACCGGCCCCAACAACAGCAAUGGAACUCGCGCCCCUUCUACCAAGGUAAUCAAGGUAAUGGUUACAAUCAAAAUUUCAAUAAUUCUUUUGGUAACCAACCUUCUCUUAGAGAUCUUGUCUUAGGCCAAUCUAAAAUCAAUGACAGCAUUAACAAGAAAAUGAUGGCUAAUGAUAAGAUCCUUGAAAACUUAAGUGAAAAGUUGGAUAGCUUUAACUCUGCUAUGAAAAAUCAGUUGAGCUUCAACAAAAUGCUAGAAACACAAUUAGCUCAAUUAGCAGCAGCUAUCCCAUCCUUCGAGCAAGGUAAGAUCCCAGGGAAACCUGAGGACCCAAUUGAAGGAGUUAAACUAGUUACUACGAGGUUCGGUAAGCCUCCGGUACAAUCCAACUGGAGCUAUCUUCUGGAUUCGCCCUUCAUCACCAAGAAGGACGACCCAGGCCUGCCGACCAUCACCUGUGAGAUCGGACCGCAAAUCUUCCACAACGCCUUCUGCGACCUUGGAUCGGGUGUCAACAUCAUGGCCAAGGUAACUUAUGAUAAUUUGCUAGGAGGGCCUUUGCACCCCACAUUUGUUCGUUUGCAGAUGGCAGAUCAGACGAUCAGGUUCCCUGAGGGGUUGGCAAGGGACAUACUGGUAAAAGUUCAAGACGACUACGUCCCUGCCGACUUCAUCAUUCUAGAUAUGGGAUCCAAUAAUGAUGUCUCGAUCAUCUUGGGAAGGCCAUUCCUCAACACGGUCAAUGAAGUCAUCUAUGUGGGGUCCGGCCAGAUUCACCUCCAAUUCCCAGGAUGGAAGGUAAAAUGUCCAUUCAAUGGUUAUAAAGCUAACAUGCAGGUGAAGGACAAAGAACCUCCGACUAAGCCUCGCCACAUCCGACGCCGAAGGGACAAGAGAGGUAAGUCGGCCAAAAGGGCCGAAAAGAAAGAAGAGGAACCCGCUGAACCAAAAAUCAAUACCAAGCAAGUAUGGCGGGAGAAAGAGGUGCAAUCAAGGUCCACGUCUCCGGGACCAUCUGAUGCACCCGAAGAAUGAACAAGAUGGAGAGGUCCUGCUCUACGGACCUAAAACAUGGAGCCCUUGCUGAUAAGGUAAAUCAGUAGUUAUCCCAUAUUUAUUUUCUGCAUUUCAAUUUCUACUAUUCACUUUUCAAUUGCAUUCUUACUUUGAAUUUUGCAUAUCUUAUUUCGACAAAAUGUUUAGCCAUAAUAAAUAAAAUCUUGAGAAUAACUUGUCAUAAAAAUUUGAGCUGCUGGAGCUCCCAAAGGGGGGUCGCCCGACCCCACCUUGGGGCCCACUUCACCCCAUUUCAACCUUGCUAGUCAUAGAGGUUCCAACCCAGCACUUGGAUGCUCUGGGAGCUCCAAUGUGGGGGUCGGCCGACCCCCAUAUUGGCCCCACUUGCCUCCUGCUGGCCACCAUUUGAAUCACAAUGGAGUCCUAUGCUUGUAACACUAGCUAAAGUUUGAAAAAGAGUGGUCCCUUGAUCCUUUACUUUAGUCAUAAGAUGCUCCUUUCAUCUUUGAUUCUUUUGGGACCACUCCACUAGCUUAAAUUCUGCAAAGUGGUCACCUAGGCAUGCUUGAGUGCUCCCAUGGUCCAUAGGAAUCACUUUAGACAUGUAUCCACUUUUGCCAUUCAUCUUUUACCUUUCACAAAGCACUAAAACAGGGAAUCUCAGAAACAAUUUGAAAACUUUUGGUCCACACCUAGCCUUUACUUUUCUGGACAAUCAAUGACACAAUGUUUAAAGUGGAGGAGGGGCUAGGAUGGGGGUCGGCCGACCCCCAUUUUUGGACCAUCUCUGCAAAAUCUUGAAAGCAUGCAGAAUGGUUCCCUGUAUAAAGCUAAAUUCAAAUUCAAAGUGCUUCUAGGGGGGGUCGGCCGACCCCUAUAUUGUGGGUCCACUACUUGCCCUUCUUCCCCUAUAAAUACCACAACAUUGUGAGCUCAACUCCACACCCAAAACCACCAGAACCAUUUCGAGCUCACAAUCCUUUCUCUUCUCUCUUUGUUACAAGCCAUUUCUCAAGUUUAGUUUAGAAAUAGUCAUCAAAACAAAAACCCAAAAAGAUUCCCCUUGCAUAGUAGUAGUAGUAGGAGCUUGGUUUGCCUCACUUGUGUAGGAGGAUGAAGAAGCAUAUCUUCGGCAAGUUCAAGAAAGCAAAGGGUGAGAGCUCUUCUCAAGGCUCUCACCAUGCUCAUGGAAGGGAGGAAGAAGAAGGUUACCAUGGGAUGGUACCCUAUGAGCCUCCAUCAAGGAUGAGAGAGCCCGAGAGCGGCCUCAUGUUAAGCCAAGAAGAGUUGCAAAGGUACUACAUCAUCCGAGAGAGUCUCUUCCUACACACUAGCAUCAUCGAUCCGGACCUUUUGGCCCGCACAGGUAUGGAUGUUGAAUUCGAUAAGGUGUUUAGAGCAAUUGGUUGGAGUAGUUUUUGGCAAGUGCCUGAAUUUGGAAAAGAAUUGCUUGCUAAGGAAUUUCUAUGCACCCUAAAACUCACAAAUAAUGGAAUAUCUUUUCGCGUGUGUGAGCAAGAACAUCAAUUAAAUUGGAGUUUGCUAAACACUGCUUUAGGGUGUGAACAUGAAUGUGAACUUGAUCUAGAUCAUGCCACUAGAAUGUUCGAUAAAUUUAGAUUCUGGAAAGCAAUUUUUGGCUCUAAUGAUUGUUCAAAUCCUACUCCCAUUGAAAUCCAUAAUCCAACCUUGCGCUUUCUUCACUUCUGGAUCAUGUGCACUCUAUAUCCUGGCAUGGGAACUGAUACUUUAAUUGAUGAUGAACUUAAAAUUCUCUAUGCCAUGGUUAGUAAAAUCAAGGUCUCCCCUGUGAAACUGCUAGUGAACUAUUGGCUUAACUCUAUUGAGUAUGGGAAGCCCAUCUAUUUCACAUCCUUUAUUACUCGAAUAGCCGAUACUUUUGGAUUACUUGAAUCACAUUAUUUUGAAGACAUUGGCUAUGUUAGAGGAGUGGUAGAUGAGAACUUCUUCAUCAAUGCUAACAUGCUCAUAAGAGAUCCAAAUGGUGAACUUAAAAUGAUUUAUCCGGGCUAUACAACCGAAAUUCCUCUCCCAUGUGCGAGGCGCCGGUUGUAUGGGGUCCGCACACUUACCAUUAGACUAGCCCGAGUGGCAAGUCCAGAUGUUGCAGGGACACGCAGGGUGACAAGAAGGAUGAUGCAAGCCGCCCAGAUGGAGCAAGGAGGAUCCUCGCACCAUGACGUUGAAGAGGGCGAUGAAGCGAUGUCAGUGGACGCUUCAGACUCCAUGGGUCUACCUCCACAACGCACUCCACGCCCAAGGGGCAGGGCUAGGCGUCACCAGCCCACAGGUAUGGACAGUCUCAUUAAUGACAUGGGCGAAUUGCAGAUUGGGCAAGAAGCAACAUUGCAACUGGCGUUACAAAACGGCCAACAUAUCCGACGUGUGCGAGAGGAAGACGCACAACGCUGGGCUGGAUGGUACCAGAAUUUCCCGCCACCACAGUGAGCGAAGAUCUAGCUUGGGGGAGAUCCUCUCCCCCACUAAGGUAAGUAUUCUAUCCUAUUUAUUUUCAUGCAUUUUAUCAUUCUUACUUAAAAAAUAAAUAUUUAUUAGCAUUUCCCUUUAGCAUAUAUGCUUCAUGUAUGUUUAUAUCCCUCAUGGAAAUGAUGACUAGUUGCUUGUUAAUGUUUCUCUAGUGCCUAGUAUACAACUUAGUAUUUCUCUAAGUAUGGAUCACUUAGCUCACUUAAACUGCCAUGAACCUAAAAACUUUGUGGGUUGCAAGUGCUAGAACUAAGUCUAAGUUGUUGUGGGACAUGAGAUAGUAAGACAAGAGCUACUAUAAUAUUUUUCUAAGCAUGCAUGAUUAUCAGAGAUUUAUUCUUAAAAUGAUCAAAACCUUAAUUGUUCCUCAAUGGUGAUGAAUUCCUACCACAGCCAUAUCUACUUUACAUAAUUGCAAUCUUUCCACAUAAGCUAUUUGCUUUGUGUUGAGUGUCGUCAAGUCUUGUUGACCCUUGUUAAGAGACUUUUCAUGCUCCUAAGAUCAAGAUCACGUACACACCACAUAUAUACAUGCUACUUCUACACUGGAAGUACGCAACCACAUGUAUUUCGCAUCCACUAAAUAGGUUGCUCCAUACUGUAAAUGUUAGAACAUCUCUCUAAGCAUUAUUUGGUAAAUGAGACAUCAAAAGGCUUGGCAAAAUAAAAGAAAAAUAAAAAGAUGGACAUGUGCAAGUCCACAGAAAAAGAAAAUUGAGCACAUGAAAGCUCGAAAAAAAAAAUGCUAGCCAUGUCUCAAUACAUAGAGAGUCUAUCAAAUAAAGGAGCAACCUAGUCCACCAUAUAUCACACUUGCACAUCUUGAUCUGGGAGUAUGACACUUCUCUUCAAGGAUCCGAGCUUUGACUUCGCAAUACAUGCAAAGUAAGUAUGCUAUCUCCUUUCAUCCCUACCUUGAACUCCACAUAAGCCUUUUAGAAAUAGGAUGAAAUAGAGAAGGCAACUCUUACCAUAUGCCUUGGUGAGGAAUCAUACACCAUUUGAGUGACAUGAGAGAACCAUAAGAGGAACAUUUAAGCUUUCUUUUGAAAAUAUCACAAAACCUCUGAUAUGAAACUUGCUAAGAAUGAGAAAGUUAGUGCUCAAGUCAAACUGUUCUGUCUCUCAACCACCUAAGACAAAGGAAAAGCCAUAAGCCCCAUAAGGGACUAAGGUAAUAGGGGUAAGUUUACAUAGCUAAAUUUUUCAUGCAAAGAGAAGAACUUUGUUGUACACAUGGUACUCUUGAAAUGUGAACAUAGUAACAAUACCUGAUCCACCGAGGCUAAGUUUGAUUGUUUGCUCGGGACGAGCAAAGGUUAAGCUUGGGGGAUCUUGUUGAUGGUGGAUAUACCAUAGAAAUCCACAUACAAAACACCGUCAACAUGCCUCGGUUGCAAGGGGAAAUGACAUGACAUGAACAUAUUUUAUCCAUAACUAGUUCCACUUGUACUCUUAGCUUGUUUAUGCAGGAACAACAAAUUCAAGACAUUAUUUGACAAAGCCAACAUCAGAAUCAUCAAGAGGAGAUCGAGGGGACAACAGGUGACACCCUGGGUCCACAGGGAGGGGGUCGCCCGACCCCUCUUUGGUGGGACCCAGGUGUGCCACCUAGUCCACCGACAUAAGGGACCCCUGUGGACACUGCUGGUGGGCCCAGAGGCCCAGAAGUGGGGUCGCCCGACCCCACAUCAAAGGCGGUUCCAGGGUCGGUGGCCUCCCACCGACCUUCCCCACAUGUCCCACAUGUUGAUUUGCCCCUGCCGUUGAUCAAAUGGCGGUUGUGAGGUUGGUUUGGUCCAAGGGUGGAGAGAAGAUGUCACGCGGAUCGAUGACGUGGCGAUGGAGUAACCCCUACUCCAUCUCCCUCUAUAAAAGGCAGCCUCCAUCCUUCAUUUCAAGUGUGCAAUUCCAAGGCCAAGUGCAUUACAAGUUCCAAGCAUACAAGUAGAGUAGUAGUUAGUCUAGAGUGGGAGUUAGAGUCGAGUCGAGCGAAGCUCGGGGUCUCCGGAGUCGUCUUCUGGAGAGUCUGGUAUAGCUCUUGUACCUUUCUACUUUUGUAAGACUUUCCUUUUAUUAAUAUAUUAUUCUUACUUUACUUUACUGAGUUCUUACUUAGUGCAAGUCUUUUAGUCUUGUUGUGCAUUUACUUUAGUAAUAUAGUUGUCUUAGUGAAGUUAGUGACCUGUAACCACUCCUGUGUGUGCAUCAUCGUCCUAUCUUGUAUAGGAGCUCUAGCUAGCUGCAACUAGUUAGAGUUGUAGGAUUAAGUGUGAGCGUGGUGCUCAUACUUAAGAUUACCUUUGAUUACCGCUGGCUUGAACGGAAAGUAGGAGCGCACUCCCUAGUAGGUGACAGAUCGUGGGCGGCAUUAGGUUCUCCUCACGUACAGGCUAGUUCUUAAAAGGUAAGGCGUCCAUAAGCCCAAUAGUCGCUUUCGGUAAGGGGUUAGGUGAAAAACCUUCUAAGCGUCUUACCAGCUCGGCUAUCCCUCGCACACAGUUAGUAAGGCUCUAGCGUAGUUAAGGCAAUUAUCUAUUAAAGUAAGUCACAGAAGUCAAGUUAGAUACAUAGGAGUCCUUUACUCACUCGUUGUCCUCCCACCUAGCUAACUCUACCAUUUACCUUUAGCAUAGGACCUUGGAUUCACCACUACCCUUCCUAUUCGUCAUUUACCACCCUUAUUCACUAGUUGAUACUAGACAACUCAAGGAAUCUCAUUCCCCUUUUUGUUAAACACACUUAGCCGCUUUCCCUUGGGAAAAUAUAAAUUACGAUACCUUGGAAUACUCCUUGGUGAAGUGCUACAGCGGUACAUUCUGUGCGCUUGCGGAAUUAUCCAAUAGUAAAUAGAGUUACCCUACCAGGGCACUUCUGGCGCCAUCGCCGAUAUCCGGUGGUUGCGUUAAGAAGUGUCAACAGCAUUCAUCCUAGUCAGCUCGUGCCUGUGUGCGCUCCUGGCCUCUUCUUCUCGGGCAAUAGCGGCAUUCCUCUCCUCCACCAUACGGGACAACAUGGCCUCACAGUUCUCGGUAGCUUGUUUUUCUUUGGCUAGUUGAGCUUUAAGUUCGCCGAUCUCCAUGACGUUGUACAUCCUUUCUCUCAUCACUUCGGUCAACUCGGCGGACAACCUGUCCACCUCCUGCUGAGGCGGUGAACGGCUACUGCUUGCUUGAUCGCUGCGCGGGGCCAACUGAUGUGUGGGGACCCCUUUUGGACCUGUCCUCUUGCGCGGGGUCUGUUUCCAACGGGCCAUCCUGUAGAGGGUAAGUUUGGAUUAGUAAGAUAGACCUUAAAGGUUAGCAAGAAUAGGAUUGAUUCUAUCCACCCAACCCAAACAAGGAGGAAGGAACUUAACCAAUUAAUACAUCAUGAUGCAUGCACGAACUUACGAUUCCAACUAACGAUUCACAAUGAUAAUACCUUAAACUUAACAAUAUAGGGCAAUACUUUAUGUUGCUCCUCCAUACCACUUCAAAAUUCUAAAAAAAAAGCCUACAGACAGGGGUAAGUUAGGACUAAAGCACUUGGACUCAAAUUAGGCCAGUUUAUAGCAUUAGAUCCAAAUGAUUUUGAAGUUUUUCAAAGGAUACAACAGUCAUCUUAGCAACGAAUGGCUCCGAUACCAGCUGUGGCAGAACCCCCUAAGUGUUUGGGCCCACCGACACCUGUCAUUGUCCUAAGGACCUCUGACGGUGAUGCCGAGGAUCCUCCCACUUUAGAAGUCCGAUGAGCAUCGCUGGAUGCUCAUUCCACUGCUUCCUGUGGCGUACUAAGCAGGCUCGUCCUGACCACUGGUGAUGGUCAAUUAACGAGAACUUCUUCUUCUCGCCCUUACAGGAUAGCAAGUGGCCACCUUAACACCAGGAUCAUUCGUUGUGAAGACAUUGCAGUAUCACAAACGACAUACGACCAAAAUAAUAUUUCAGAGUAAAACAGCAGAAGUAUUACAUAACCUAUUUUACAAAAGGAGUUCUUCCAAAUAGCAGAGUGUUAUUACAAACCAGGUCCAGCGGAGCAACUUAAACUUUAGUAUACAGAUUACAAAUUUACAGACCCUGCCCAUGGGUCACGCUCACUCUUCUUCGUCGUCAACCUCGACGACGGUCACACAACAGGGUCCGAAACAAGUCGGCUCCUGAGCUUCACCUGCAACAGGGGUUAUGGAACCCUGAGUACGGGAGUACUCAACAAGACUUACCCGGUGGAAAAAGAGGAGAAAUCAGGAAUGCAGGCUUAGGGUAGACAAGGAGUGGCUGAGCCAGGAGCCAAAAUGUUUUGCGGAAAUGCUUACUAAUAGUGCAUCCUUACUUUCAAGUUUUACCCGCGAAUUCCUCUCCUUAAGUGGCCGAGGAGUUCGAGGACAAGCUAACUAGUUGUCUCCCACAGACAAGUCUGUGAGUUCCUAGUCCUAAAUUAAAGUGUUAUUUAUUCAACGGCCAUAGCUUCAUGUCACUCUGGGUUCGGGAAUUGGGAUCCGAACCUCAUGAGACAUUUUCCCUUCUCUCAUUUUAUCACUUAGUUGCAUAAUUAACUACGAUGAGGGUCAGUGGAUUGAGUCUCCCAAUCGGGGAGCAACGACAAUUCAAACCGCUUAGCAAUCCAGCUGGAGUCCUAACCACCCGACAUAUGUAGAACCAAAUCUUGCAUACGUCAACCCAAAUCAAGCUCUCCCCAAAUUUGACCAGGUUCGCGGCACCCGAGAGCACAGUACUCCACCAUCCUACAGCCGAUCUAGAUGUUUUUUGGUCAUCUCAGAUCCGUAAGGUGGGUACACACUACUCUCUCCAUUGCUCCACGCCCAGUGCGCGAGUAGCUGUUCGCGUCGAGGGAUCACAAGACCGAGCUUACCGAGGGCAAGUGGCUAGUACUAUAAAUUCUCAACCCAGUGGGCCAUCAACGGAUCGGUCCUUAACCGACACAGUUGGAGACACUACUUUAAGACUCCAUUCUUAAAGCAAGUCCACCGACCGGUCUCAAGUUGAAACAUCAUUGAUCAUAAGUGUAUUCCACAACAACCCUUCAAACUUUGUUUGAAAACCAAUCUAGUAGCAGGGCUAAGCAUUACUACGCAGUUUUACAAUAAAGCAGGUGUCAAGGUCAAGAUAACAAGUAUCCAGGUAGUAAAUGCAGCAAAUAGGUUAGCCCAAUUCUCAACUACCUAAUGCAUCAUUUUCAAUUCAUAAGUGAUAAAAGAUUUAAAACAUUCAAGGAGGGGUUAAUGCAUCCGGGGCUUGCCUUGGUUGCAGGGCAGAGAGGGUCCCUCGGAGACUUCCCAAGUCUCGGGUCCUACUUCCUCGAACGGAGCACCGACCUCGGGGUUCGGUUCAACGGUCGCUCCUUCGGUCACGUGCACUAUACGCAAAAUGAUGAAUGCUCAUGAUAUGCGUAUGACCAAUAUAUCAGAGGGACCGAAUUAAGUAUAACUGGCCUCCUCGGUGCAACAUAGAUUAGACAAUAACUAAAGUUGUUUAACAUCUUAGUGUCUUUACCCAAGAGGUUGCAUCUGUAAAUUAAGACUUCUCUUAAUUCAUAAUUAUCUUAAAUUAAUUAAUUAUUAAUCCUAUUUACCUUAAUUAAUUCUUAAUUAAUUACUAAUGACAGUAAUUAAGCAUUAAGGCCAAACAAUAAUUAUAUGCCAAAGGUCAUUAGGGUUAAUGACCUCAGGUCAUCACAUAAUCCCAAAAUCACUCAAAUCCUAACUUUGAGCAAUUACUAAUUAUUAUUUAAUUAUUCUAGAAUUAUUAAUUAAUUACUAACUAAGGGUUUAAUAAUAUUUUAUUCAAACAUCAUCCAAAUGCCACCAAAUUUUGUGUGGAGCCAAGGAAUGCUAAACAGAGACUCCCUACAAAUUUUGGUGAUUUUUUGAUAUAUAAAUAAAUUACAAAAAUUCAUAGAAGUUUUAUUUGCUAAAUAAAAGAGGCAAUUUUUAUACACUUGCAAACUAUCAGAAAACAGAUCCUAAUAUUUUUCUUGUGUUCUACUCAUUUUAUGGAACCAAUACGAAAAUUUUCAUGAUUUUUGAAUCAGCAUAUAAUUUAAUACAUAAAUUCAAAUAUAAAUCAAAAACUGCAUAAAAAGAAAAAGAAAAACACUACAGCGAGCGGCCGGAAAUUGGCCCGCAGGCCGGCCCACUCCCGCACGGCCCACGCGGGUGCUGCGCGCGCUGCCCUCCUCUCUGCGCGGUCACUGACGAGCGGGUCCCACUCGUCAGGCCCUCCUCUCCCCUCUCUCUGCGGGACGCUGACGGUGUGACCCCACCCGUCAGCUCCUUCUCUGUCACGCACGGCGGCUCGGUCACGACUCCAGCCGCCGUUGGUGAGGGUCUUGGCCCACGCGCGCGUGCGCAUUAGCACCGCCUCACCUUCGCGAACCGAUUGCUGCCACUCACUCGCGCUCUACCGCCUUCUCUCUACUUCAACCGCAUCACUGGCGGACGGCCGCCAUGACUGACCGCAGACCGGCCGCUAGGGCUCGGUAGAGCAUAAACUAGUUGAACAGGGAGGUUUGGGGAGGGCUAAGAAGUACGGUGCUCACGUUGCAAGGCCCGAGGAGGUAGCCGAGGUUGUUGGCGACGGAGACGGUGUCGUUGGGCGGGCGCCCUGGCUCGACGGAGUUAUUCCGGUGAACCUGCUCGCGUCCAAGGCAAAGCAGCAAGCGCAUGAGCAUUAGAGUGACAAAGAGAGGUAGGAACACCAGCUAGAAUGGCGUGCUACCUUCGAGAACGGCGUGGCCACAGAGAGGGCUCACGGCGGCGGUCUCGGACGGAGUUGGAGGAGAACAGGGGAGCCCCGACGAUUGAGUGGAGUAGGAUGUGAGCUCGGGGGUGCGAUGGGUUCGCAAGGAGGUGGCGGAUGCUGUGGACUGGUCAAUUUGGUGCGAGGGGGACCGAGUACGGUGAAUUUUGAGGGAGAGGCUCGUCGGGAUUCUUCGGCUUGGAACGGGAAAACGCGCGGCGCCGCCCACACUGGUGCUCAAAGGGGAGGAGGAAGCGAGCCCGAGGUGUCCACGUCGCCUGGCGGCACUGGCAGCAAGCAGCUGCGUGCUUGCACGCAUGCGCACGGCGCUGCUCGCGCGGCGGCUGCGUUGGACAGGGGCCGGUGAUCCUCAUCGGAUCACUGUAGCUGGCCCUUAUCCUCCCCCUUUCUGUCUUUUGUGAAAUUUGCCCAAAAUUUGAAUUAAAGUCCAAAAUCCGUUAAAACAAAAGUUGUGUAGAAUUUUAUAAGCUACAAAAGAUAUUUUAGUGUCCAAAGCUGAUUCCAUGUGGAAAAGGGUGAAUUUGACAAAACAGUUUGAACUUCAAAUCUCAAAUUGGGGAAAAUUCAAAUUUUUGAAUUGGGGCAGAUCAGAAUUUCCAAAAAUUUCUUUUGAUUUUUCCAAACAACUUGAAAAACUCCCAACAUGAAAGUUGUUCAACUUUUUGAGCUCUACAACUUUCAUGUUGGUCACUUUUCAAAAUCCCAAAUAGAUUUUGAAUUGGAGGUUCAAAUUGGAAAAGGGGACACUUUUUGGAAAUCUGUAUUUUCAAAAUUACUUUGAAUUUUGUAUUGAAACUUCAAAAACUCAAAACACCAAAGUUGUACAUCUUGACAAGAUCUACAACUUUGCUUCUAAUCUCAACCUCAAAUUUUGCUUGGUUUUUAAAUUGCACAAAAGGGGGCAAAUCUGGGGUUCCAAAUCAGGGUUCCCCCCCCUAAGCCUUCGGAAAACCUUUACCCUAGGGUUUUAGCAACCAACUCAAGCAUCAAUGUACAAGAUAAACACACUUUAGUUUCCUAAGCACAUUCAACCAAAUUAAACUCAUUUUAAGUUGAUGCAUCAAGUUGUGCUUAACAACUAUGCUGUGCAAUGCUGAUGAUGCCAUGAUCCGAAUUUUAGUAACAGUAACAUCGGGGAUGUUACAGACUGGUGGUUUGGUGUCCAUGAAGUCCUUGAAAGAGCUGUACUGGUUGACUUCACGGCCACCCUGGUUAUCCCCACAGCGGGUAUUGUCAGCGAUAUUGCGCAGAGCUUCUUCCAUCUUGCGCUGCAUCUGUUCCAUAUUGCGUUGGCUCCCCAGAAACUGCGCGAAAAACACGUCCGCAGUGUACGGAGGAGGCGGUGGUGGUGGCGGUGAUGGUGCCCUAUCCUCAUUCCGUCGAGCCCCACCUCCGGAGGUACCUGCACCAAGACCGGGGUUGCUGUUACCCCCGCCACGUGUUUGCACCAUCUGCAUGCGUCAAUGACAAGCAAUCGUUAGGAGUUGCCAUCAACGGUAGACAUGUGUAGAAUUAUGCCGUACUGAAUUUAAUGAGGGAAUAAAUUCGCAGAAAAAACAAAGGCACAACAAUUCAUCAUCCACACACAACAUCACUAACAAAUUACUUAACUUUCAAGCAUCAAGGUUCGCAUACAUUCAAAAUUGCCAGCAUACAUACACUGGACUUUCAGCGUCAUCACAUAAAGUUUUACACAGCCCAGAUCCGAAAGUAUAAGACAUGCCAUGCAACAGCAACAACAAAAGAAGAAGGACUAGCUCUAGAGCCCUAGCAUCUACUCGCUAUGGUCACUGUCCAUGCCAUAGCCCUCCUCGUCCUCAUCUCCACUAGCAGCUGCGUCGAUCUCUGGAUCCUCAUCCAUCUCGUCCCCAAAGUCUAGCUCAGCUGCUCCAGGCAGGUGGUGAGAGUGGAGCUGGUUAUGCAGCUGGUGGAUCGACUCAUGCAAGUUUUCAUUGUACUCCUCAGCAUUAGCUAGCUACUGCUCAAGCUCUAGCUGUCGGGCCCUCAAGGUGUCCUCCUCGUGCCAGGCGUCAUUCCUCUGACCAAGCACAUGAACUAGCAUGCGCUCGCAGUUCCUGUGAGCAGUAGUCACCCUGUCUCUCUGCUCCCUAACUGCAAGCAGGUCCUGACUCAGCUCACUGCUCUUCUGGACUGCCUGAUCCCUCUCUCGGGUCACACGGGCCAACUCUGCCUGCAACCUCUCAACCUCAGUGUCGAACUCACGCUGCAGCAGGCGCUUCUCAUCCUGGACUAUGAGAAGAGACCCGGACAAGUGCACCAAACAACGCUCCAGGCCCCCAUAGGUCUUCAUCAAGGCGUACAUAGCACUCAUAGCUGCGUUGUCACUGUGCUGGUCCUCAUUCGCACUCCUCUCUAGAGUGUUCACCUCGGACUGAUCCCACACUGAAGUGUAGGGGUCACCCCAGGGAAACACCCCAGCGAAGGCGUGGGCCAGCUCCUGUGGAAACCUCUCCAUGAGGUCCCUCAGAACUGCGAAAGCUGCCCUGCUGGCACCAUGGAAAGGCGUGGCACCUCAGGACUCGUACACCCAGCCGCCCUAGGCGGGGUCACCUCCACUGGUAGGGACCACUGCCUCGAUCCCCACCAGGGUCCCGUCACCGAGCUGCUCCUUGUCCCAGUAGUAGCGAGGUUCCCUUCCUUCGGGAUACCCCAUCGAACUGAGCACCCUCCAAAGCAAGGUGGGCAUCCCAAACUCCUCCAAGAACUUGCUCUUGUGACGCGAGCUCCUGGCUACCAACUGAUGGCGAGGGGCCCGCCCACCAGUGGGCUUGCGAGCGGUGAGCCUAGUGCGUGCCAUCUGCUGCAAAUGGAAUACCUUGGGUAAGAUUGAGGAUCAUCUUUUAUUAUUAUAUUUGGAAUUGGGACAGAUUAAAUUAAGGGGAGAAGGUAAGCAUUGAUUAUGAAAUGAACAUGAUGCAUGCACAGGCUUAUGAUCUCACAAACUUAGAAACAAAGGUUAACACUAAUCGGUAUAUGCGGUGGCACACAACGUUCUCUCAUAACGUAACUAGCGUGCUAGGCGGGAACGUGGUUAGUGUACCUGCAGAAAACUCAUUUCAGCCCCACCACAGUAUGAACAUGCAGAACAAGAAUUUAAAGCUAUACACCCCACAUACACAGACACCCCGUCCAUGCAUAUGACGUGUUACUACCCACAUCAUCGCCCUAGUGACGGCAUCGCCUCUCAGGACAGAAUCUCCCAACAUACGGUACUGUUCCCAAGCACACCAAACAUGUGUGCAUGACACAACACCUAACAACAAUCCCCUAGAUCGGCAGUGUAUCCGAUCAUGCUCUCACAGCUCCCAGUUACCGAGGCGUAGAGGAAGAAUUGAUCCAUACAUUACCACUCAAAUGAAUUGUACUCAUACUAUUGCACGCCGUAUGAGCGACGAAAUAGAAAUAUGAUGCAUAAUCCCACCAAGUCAGUACUUAACUAGCCACCUUAGAGUCCUUAACUGGGCAUAGAGGAUAUGACCAUGGCACACUAGAUAGUUUUUCCAAAAACUUAGUUUGACACCUUGAUUAUCAUUAAUAAAUAAAAAUCUUUUAUUAAACCGGUUUAAAUUUAGUUUAGAACGUACUUAUGAACAGUAACUCGCUAAACCUUGCUCCGAUGCCAGCUAUAACAGAACCGCCCAAAUUAUAAGAGAUUAAGCCUAAUGGUGACCAUUUGCAUAGUCAUCCCAUCGAGCUUAAACCCAUAUAAUCUCGGUAGUCCGUGAAAUCUCGAAGGAUUUCAAACCACAUAUCGUACAUACAGCCAAGAUCGUAAUAAGUUUAGCGGUCACCUUCCACAAUUACAUCCAGUUCAUAAACAACCAUCAAAUACAUCGGAGUGCUUAAAAUUAUUAGAAACCAAGUUCUCAAGUAGCGGAAGCUUCAUAGUUCGAAAAUAACACACUCAUACUUAGUCUGGUACAGUGCCAUAGUUCAGUCAUUCCCACAAAAGCAAAAGAGGAGGUAGAGUGACCAUCGCCCUUGGUCUAGUAAUCGCCCAUUGCUGGGUACAAGCAGAUGAUGCAAUAACCAUAGUACAUUUAACCAUCUACAAAACAACAUGGCAGUAGAACCCUGAGUACGAGAACGUACUCAGCUAGACUUACCCGUCAUAAACCAAAAAUAAAGACUCUUCAAGGAUCAUGAAGGCUAUAUGGUGGGGGUAGCUGAUGACUUUUUUGCGUAAAAGCACUAUUCUAUUAAACAUAUCCUAUAGGAAUCCUCUUUCUUUUAAUUAGCUCAGGUUGAAAGUAUCAUUACCUAUUAUCUAGGUUUGCUCUUGCACUAUGGCAAACAAAUAUAAUAAUAUGAUGGUACCUCAUCAUAGCAUUCAUGCAAUUUUUUAUCAUAUAACCCAAGUGUUCCAUAGUCCUUACUACGAGGACGAAGCUCAUGUCAAGUGCUCACUAUCUAGGAGCGAUGGCGAUUCGAAUCGAUUUCUAACCAGCUGGCGAGUUAUUCCCCACACAAACCACACUCAUUGAUCAAGUGAGCUACAGAUCACCGUGUUGCACUAUCUAGGACCAAUUCGCGGGUUCGACAGGCACCGCCCGUACCCGAGGACCGUUCCGGCGACCGAGGUAUCCAAGGUAUACCAAGGUUGCGCGCCGCGCCCUCGUCAUUCUCCUCAACCCUCACCAAUACAGCGCGUACAUCGGGUCGAUUCCCGGCCCGGAUAGUGCUCAGGCUUCGCGGUCGGAACGACUUAUCCUUCCAGCUAAGUGUGGGGCAUGCGUUCAACAUGACAAGAGGGCCGUCAACGAUCGGUCCUUAAACGACACACGUAGGGGCACUACAGCCAAAACCCACCAUAAGACCCUGCCCGGUCUCAAAUUCCAUUCCACACUUGGUUAUUCUUUCCCAAAGCAAUCACCGCUUAAUCAAGCAGGUAUCCACCUAUAUCUCGCAGGUGACAGGAAAUCACCCGACUUCUACCGGACUAAGCAAGCUAAGCAUAGACUCCGUGCCUAUCUACAUAGGACAAGGUAGAUAAACAAAUGAUGAUAUCAAGGAGUACAUAUGCAUCAACGGUAUCAAGCAAUUCCUAUCACUUAAAUGCAACAUAGUAAAACAAGCAUAAUAUAUCGUUUAUGUUAGCGAGAAUAGGGAGACUUAGAAUGCUCCGGGGCUUGCCUUUGUCAAACGUGCUCGGCUUGUGAUCCGGGCACUCUUGCAGCUCUUCUCCGGGUUCUGACACUACCAGAGGUUCCUCCUCCUAUGCUUCCUCCUCCUCCUCGGGUCCCACCUCGUUCUCCUGCGAGCCUGUAUGAUGCAUGGAUGCUCAUGAGUGGAGUGCGAGAUGCCCGGGGUGCAAUGCUCAUACGAGAGGAUACCAAAUGACCAUGACAUGAUGCAUAGAUGAUUUAGGUGGUCAUUUUUACAAGGUAGUCAACAUCAUUCAAGAACAUGCAAUUACACUAAGCAUCUAUUUCCUUCUCUUCUAUAAAUUGUCCUCAAGUGAAACCAGCAAACUCACAAGAUGCUUCAAAGAUACACCAAACCCCUUUUAUUCUACUUAAUCUAUAUAUAACAAUUCAUAAUUUCUUUAUCCAUUUUUAGGCCUACCAAACUAGCAUACAUUUCUGUUUAUCAAUAAAUUCCACAAAAAUUACAGUAGACUACCAGUCAAUCGUAAAGUCUACCGUAAAUUUUUCAUAAUAUUUGGACACUUAUUUUGAGCUACAAAAAUCACAAGAUUAAUUUACAAAAGCAAGUAUAAAUACUCUACUCUGGUAUAAGUGUCAAACAGCAGAUUUCAUAUUUUUAUAAUUUGCUUAUUAUCCUAAGAAAUACACACAAAAAUUCUCAGAUUAAUUGCAUGAUCCUAUUAUUUAUUAAAAAUCAUAAACCACUGCCAUGCAAGCAUUUAAAUCACCAUAAAUUAAUUCACACAGCAAAUAAUGUGUAACAUAUUUUUCUUAGAGCCUAAUCAUCCAUGCAGAGCCAACAAAAUAAAUUUCAUAUUUUUCUGAGCUUUAUUUUAAUUACUAUGCAUUUUCCAAUCCCAGCAAAACAUGGAUUAAAUAUAUUUAUAAAAAAAGUUGUUCAAACAUGACAUGCAACCACACCAGGCUAUAGAUCUGAGAAUAGGGAACACACCAAAAUUUGUUUCACCAAUUUUGGAGCUAUACAACUCAAGAUAUGGAUUUUACAUCAUUUAAAUCAAUUUCUGGAAAACCUUUAUUUAAGAAAACCGACGGAAAACGUUAGAUUCACCCGGAUCCACGCCCGGAGAGGCGCUGACAGGUGGGAUCCAGGGGUCGCGGCCCCACGGGUCGGCCAUGCAGCACUCCGGCCAACUUCGGCCGGCUGGCUCUUGCCGACGGAGAGGUCUCCGGCCACGGGGUGAGCACCAGCGUGCUCCCCGCAGCGAGGCGCACCCAAGGGUGCCCUUGGAUCGGCUGGGGGAUGCCCGGAGCACCCCCGACGAGCAUGCAUGGCGGCACGGCGGCACUGCUCGCCGUGGCCAGGCCGCUCCGGUGCGGUAGAGCUUGCGCGAGUGCUCCUCCGAGCUUCCUCACCGAACUAUGGACCUAACGCACCCAAAAACGAGCGAAAAGAUGCAGGGACUAGCGAGAUUCGACGCGGCGGAGCUCUCCGGCGAGGUCGGAGCAACUCUGGCGAGCGAUUCACGGCGCACGACGGGCUCUCACCUCGGUAGAGCGUUCGCAGGGGCUUACCGCGGCGACGACAAGUGCGCUGGUGGUCUUGGCAUCGACGUUGGGGCACUGGCGUGGCCGGCGGUGAGCAGCGGAGCCCUCCGGCAAUGGCGCUGCGGCGGAGCUGCUAUGGAUGCGACGCUCGCGAGCGGAGGAGGAAGAAGGAGAGAGGAGCGGGGUGACAGAGUGGAGCCUGGGGGCGGCGUCCCGACCAGGUUAUAGCCGGUCGGCCGCGGCGCGUCCAACGCCGGCGUACGGCCGCCACGUGGCCGGCGCCGGGUGGAGCGAGGCGGGCGCCGCGCGCGGGAGAGAGAGAGGGGAGGGGAAGCGGGCCGUGCUGUUUGGCUGGGCCGAAAGGGAGGCGGGUCGGCCCAGCAGCGCCUGUCCCCUUUUCUUUUUUUUGAAUUUCUUUUCUCCAAAAAGAUUAAAUGAGACUUUUGAAGCUUUUACAAAACUUUUCAGGGGUUGGAGUAAAAAGAAGAAUUGUUGCCAAAUUCCAAUUAGAAUUUGAAUCACAGAUUAAAACUAGUUCUAGAUUUUUAAAUAAAUUCAUUUUAGGAAUUUUUGUAUAAAUUCCAUUUCUCAAAUCCUAUGGCUCCAAAAAUUUCACAAAAUUACUCUUAAACCUUUUUAACACACAAUUCAACCUAAUUUGAAUAUUUCACAAUUUUAGAAGAAGCAUAAUAUUUUUAAUCAUAUUUAAUCCACCAAAAUAAAGCACACAUAAAAUCACACUUGAAUUACUAUUAUGCUCAUGGGAUGUGAUGCUUAUGCUAUGCUUGAUGAGAAUGCUUAUGAAUGUUUAUGAGACUAAGUGCAUGCUUAAUACCUAGAGUGUUACAGAUGUGGUAACUGUUCGCACGAUAAUCAAGGGAUUGCGCAAGUGAUUUGACAGGAAGCGGUCGUGAUCUGGAGAUAUUUCGCCGUGCGAGAUUUCUUGGUCGGUCCAUCGGUAGUUCCCUCUAACGGUAAUAUUGCCGAUGGGCGCAUAAAGUGGAGAGAUCCGUUUCGGAAGGUUGAGGAUUUCAAGGAACCUACAGGAGAAUCGGGCCAAGGUUGUUCAGAUUUAAACGGUCGGUUACCAAAUUGGGAGAAUUAAUUGCGGAAAGGCAUCAUUACUACAGAGAAUUUCGGAGCAUUAAUGAUUUCAUAUUCCGAAAUUGGGGGGCAUGUGUUGACACCGUUUUUGGACACAUACCCAGAGACCAAGAUCGGCAGGUGGAGCAACGGUAACUAGCCUACAGAAGAGUUACCGAUGAGGAUAGUUGCCGAUGAAGAGACGAUUGAAUAUGACUAAGUCCAGAGGUGGUGACGUGUUCUUGCCGAUGCUUAAUAUUGGUGUUUACCGAUGGCUAUAACAGGAAGACUGCCGAUGACUCUGAAGGAAAGCGUGGAGGUUGCCGAUUGAUCUCUGGCGGUGUCCCGAUCGGUUACGAGGCGGUGGUUCUAUGUUUUCCUUAGUUAUUUAAAAUCUUUUUGUAUACGGAUUCUAUUUAAUUUGGAAUUCGAGUCCUAGUUGUGUCUGAUUAUAGCUCUUUGAGCAGGGUAUAAAUGUAGACCCUAGGGCCUUGUAAUGAGAUAUCUAUCAACAAUCAAAUACAAGUUUUUACUCAUAUUCCAGAAUCUACUUUUUCGAUGACUUCGUCAUAUUUUCCUUUUUAUUAUGAGUUUUUAGGAGUUCGUCGACUUAAGCUCGGCGUAUUCUCGAGUUCCGCAUGAAUACCUCUUGGCCGUGACAUCCGGGCGCAUCGCUGUUGUCGGGACCAAAGUAUUCGAAUUAUCACCUUUGCCGAUAGUAAGGUCAAAUCGGCUGGUACGCCUUAACGUUUAAAUCGGGAAUUAGCCCUUUGUGUUUGCAAAUCAGCUUUUGCAUCAACAAGUCAAUAUUAUAUGCUCUCCAUCCAUUGAUCUAUGCUGCUUCUGUCCUCAGAAGUACGCCCCCAUUCAUAAGUCACUACGCUGCAUUAACUCUGUGCUACUUUUCUUCCUAGAGGUACCACCCACAUAUAUACACACUGCAUGCAUCUUAUGUUGUUUCUACCUUGGAAACAUGCACCUAUGCUGCUCCCACCCUAGGAGUACACAUUCCUCUAUUCACAUGUGUUGACGGUCCUUAAGUACCAAAUAUAAUCAUCAAGUAAACAAAGAAAAGGAUCCAAAUGCAACCAACACCCAGACUUAGGGUUUUAUUUGAAAGAAUUCCACGAGUUUUGGUGUUUGUCUAUUUCUGCAGGGGGUUAUCAGGAAAUAUGGAAGAAAGGCCCACACGUUAGGUUUACAUAGAGAUAUUAACGUGCCGCGCAAUUUUCUAUCCUCUAGAAGACUCUAGAAGCCAUGGGAACGAACAGGAAGGCGAUCAGGCCCGGGGGCAGGGCGCCCGCCCUCCCCCCUUGGGCGCCCGCCCUAUUGCAGAGACCAAUCAGGUCCCGUCUCGCGGAUUACACUCCACCGACCUAAAGGAUCAAGGAUAACUGUUCAAUCAAUGUCGGUUUGAUAGGACGGCCCACGUUCACCUGAGGGAACUAUAUAAGCAGACCCCCUGGCCCCUGGAGGAGAACAAGUUCAUUAUAGAGUUGAGAGGUGCCCUCGAAGGAUAACCUUUCCUCUACAUAGACUUAGGGCUUAGCAUCCAGUGUGAGAGUAGACUUGUUCUACUAGAUUGAGAGAGAUAGAGUGUAGGUGUAGAUCGGAGGAAGCCCGGCUUGUCGGUGUCUACUCCGAGGUUGUACCUGUGGGAUCAAGUCUUCUAACCCGAGGCUUGCUCCUAGGAUUCUUCAGUAUUUCGACUUCUAAAUUCUAGUAAGUUCUUUGUUUUAUUGUUCUUUGGUUUAUGAGUUUACUUUGAUCUCUUCGCGUAGAGUUUAGAGUAAUCAUCUCUAGCAUAAACGUGGUGUUUGGGCUAGGAUACUCAUAGAUAUCCCCUGACUAGCUGGACCGUGGUAGUAGCGAGGAACGUGACAUUUUCGAGUUAACUUUGUAGCCCAUAUCCCGUUAGUAGGAUCGAUAGGGUUUAUAGGUGCAGGUCGAACAUCCUCUGUGGUGUCUAGAUUCCGUGAGCCUCCCCAAUAGAACAGUAGAUCAUCCUUACCAGGGUUAGAACGAGAGUGCAGUUGUAGUCUUCUCUAUACGUCACUCACAUCGAGUCACAUUCUUUGUAGCCUAAAGGGUAGUAGCAAUAGAUUUGGUUAGUCAGAUGCACGCUUUCUCCCAAUGAUAAAAAUAUAAAUACGAUACUCUGGAUAAUCUCCCGGGUGAAGUGCUCACCGAUCUCCGUGCGCUUGUGGAUCAAUUCCUGAUGGCGUUACCAAAUAUCAACAAGCAUUUCUGGCGCCGUUGCCAGGGAGAAAGACGGUUUGCUGAGAUAACUUUAAGUCUUGCUAUUAUCUUGUAUUAUACUUUUAUACUUUUAUUCUUUUAUCUUUUUACUUUUUCCAUCUUUAUGGAUAAAUCAAAUUCCAUUAUUAAAUUUUUUGCACCUUCAAAGACCAGCCAUAGACCAUGGGAGUCAACAAGUCUUUUCUUUGCCCCUAAUUAUGAUCUGUGUCAGGAGUUGAUUGCAAUAGGUCAAAACCAACCCUUUUUUAUAGCUAAGGUCCUAUCUUUUAAUCAAAAAGAUAAUGAACUUUUAGCUACACCUAGGGAAUCUGUUAAUCUUUCUAUAAAUUCUGGUUUAAACCUAGCCCUACAUGACCAUGUUUUUUCUUGAUAUUUUCAAAUUGGUCUUAAUCAUAUAACCUUUGGUAGAAUCUUUCUUUCUUUAUCUAUUAGUAAAGGAAGGUAUGUCUUCAUUCGUGGACAUCCUUCUUGCACUAGUCUUCAUAAAAAAUUCCUACAGAUAGAGAAGGAAUCAUCUCCCAGACAAGAAAAGGAAGUUUCAAUAGACGAUUUCCAAACAUUUCAAUCCCAUGAUUCGGCUAUCCAACCCAUCCUUGAGCUUAAUAAUUUCUACUAUGCUCUUUCCCUUGAACCUCCCGAUGAUCCUAUGAAUCUCUCUAGACAUCCCAUGUAUAAGUGUCACCAAGACCAUAAGGAGGAUCGAGAAGAGCAGCAUCAAUGGCUAGAAGGCAUUAAAAAUCCAUGUGCUAUCACCAUUGAAUGGAUGGACAAGGAAGAAGUCCUAAUGGAUUUUGACUUUGGCUCAAUUUCAAAUGCUGAGUUCUUAACUCCCUUUGAAGAUGAGAUUCAUCCAACUACAGAAAAGUGGCGGAGCUAGAAUUUUAAACUUGGGUAUUCCUACUUCCACAAAGUUAAUCUAUAGGUUGAAAAUAUAGUCAAUUAUACUGCAAGUUAGGAACUUUAAACUAAUAUUUGCUUUCUAGAAUAUAGACUUCUAAUUGAAAUGCUAGUUUUUUACAUGUUUUGAGCUCAAAUGUGCAAAAUACUAUAUAUUAUAGCAUUAUACAAUUAUAUAUAUAAGUAUAUACACAUAUUUACAUAAAAGUGUACCAAAAUAGUUGGGUAUUCCCGGGAAUACUGGGGAAUACCCCUAGAUCCGCCACUGCUACAGAAGAGGACAUAGACGAGACCAAUCUAGGAGAAACUCCAAACAUUCAGAUUGGAGACGAAGAUAACAUUAAUGAGCAUGGAAUUUAUUUCAUAGCCACUUCGUUUACUCCAUGCUCAUAUACAACAUCUUCCCAAUCUAUUGGUCUCUCCAACAUCACCACAUUUGAGAUCUCCAGCCCCCUCUUCCUUUCUAUUUAUAAAAACUUUAAAAGGGUGGUUGUCGAUGCAUAUGUCUAUAAUAAAUAUUGCAGAUCUCGUUGAGUUGAUCUUCAUAUAGGUCAGCGUUGGAGAGGGAACCACUUCACCGACAUAAAUUGAUGGUUUCCCAACGACAAGCUUAGUGUCCUAAAACAAGCACUGAUCAGAUCGUAACAUGAGCUUUUAAUUAUUUACAACAUUACCUUGUGUAUUGAGCAUAUAAGGAUAAUUGUAAAAAUAUUCCUUUAGGUAUUCUUGUCACUAACCUUUCUAGGAUUGGAGCAAGAAGAUCGGAUGAAUGACAAGCACAAGGUAUGUCCAACCUUGAAUUAAAUUCAUCCAAACUUGAAUUUUGCAAAAUUCAAGCUUGGGGGAGUACUUUACAUAAAAACAUCCUUUGCCAUGUUGCUAUGUUGGUUGUCCAUACCUUUGAGACAUGAUCAAUUUGUUAAAUACUAAUCACACUACUUCAUCUCCACUUGAGUAGAUCUCUAUAAAUGCUCUCAUGCUACCUUUAUUUGCUUUAGUAUAUGUCUAGGUUUGGAGUAGUUUGAGUUACCUCUUAAUUAAGCAUGGUGCUUAGUUUAGGAAUUGUAACAGAACCGCCCAAUUUACAAGAGAUCAACUAUGAAAAACUCCCGCCAAAGCAGAUGCUUUAACAUAAUCGAACUCUCAUAAACCCGGUAGUCCGUGAAAUCACGAGGGAUUUCAAACCAACCAUCUUACAAGCCAAGAUCGUAGUGAUUCAACAUAACAAGUCACAUGUUACAUCCAUUUCGCAAAUAGUUUGACAUACAUUGGAGUUUAAUAUAGUUAUUACAAGUUGAGUUGAAAAGUUGCGGAAGCAAAGUAUUUUAAAACUAAUAUUGCCCUCAUUUCAAAUACAUGCCAGUAUCUAGGUCAACUCCAACAAAAGCAACAUAGAUGAGGUAACUAAGAAGGAUCAUGCCCAUGAUCUUACUCCUCUAUUAUGGUAGGAGUCAUCCAACUCUUGCAGUAGCCAUGAUACAUCACAACCUGCAACAAGUGGGAAUAAACCCUGAGUACGAGAAGGUACUCAGCUAGACUUACCCGUCAUAAACCAGAAAUAAUAUGACACCAAGGAGUAUACAAGGCUUUAUUGGUGGGGCUAGCUUGACAACACUUUUUGCAUAAAAAGUUUAAGUUGCAACUAAGUAACCUUUCAGGUAUUUAGCUCAAGUUAAUAAUCAUUAACCUAUCAUCUAGAUUAGCACCUGUACUAAAGCAAUCACUUGAUUAAUAUACAACAAUAGUACCCAUAUUUGAUGUGGCAUUUCCAACAUCAUCAUACCAUAACCAUCCAAGUGUUCCAUAAACAUUACUACGAUGACGAAGCUCAAGUCAAGUGCUCACUGUCCAGGAGCGAUGGCGAUUCGAAUCGAUUUCUAACCAGCUGGCGAUUUUAUUCCAUACACAAACCACACUCACUGAUCAAGUGAGCUACAGGUCACCAUAUUACACUAUCCAGGACCAAUUCGCGGGUUCGACAGGCACCGCCCGUACCCGAGGACCGUUCUGGCGACCGAGGUAUCCAAGGUAUAACAAGGUUGCGCGCCGCGCCCUCGUCGUUCUCCUCAACCCUCACCAAUACAGCGCGUACAUCGGGCCGAUUCCCGGCCCGGAUAGUGUUCAGGCUUCGCGGUCGGAAUGACUUAUCCUUCCAGCUAAGUGUGGGGCAUGCGUUCAACAUGACAAGAGGGCCGUCAACGAUCGGUCCUUAAUCGACACAGGCGGGGAUAGAUAGGCACCCAAGACCUCCAUGUCUUGUUACUUCUCUAUCAUCGUCCCGCCCGGUCUCCAAUUAUUCAUCCUCAUCACUUGGUUAUUUCCAUGAUAGCAUAUAUAGCCAACCCUUUUCAGGUAUCCACCUAUCUCGCUCAGGUGACAGGACAUCACCUGGCUUCUACCAGUCUAAGCUUGACUAAGCAUUUAGAUUCGAUCUUGAAUCUACAUAGGGUUAUAGGUAAAUUUGCUGGACAAGGAGUGUUAUAUGCAUCAAGGGUUUCACCCAACUCCUAUACUUAAUGCAACAACAUAUAUAUAACAUAUAUUCUCAAUUGCAUUCAAAAGUAGUGGGAGACUUAUAAUGCUCCGGGGCUUGUCUGGGAUCAACACUGAGUCAGUUCAGUUAGUUGCUCCGUCUCGGUGACAUCUAAGGUCACAACGCUUGCUUAGUCCUUUCACCUUCGUGAUCCACCCAACACCAUCUUUGGGUUUGUUUCCACACCAUCACCUUCACAUGAUUCAUCUAGCGCACCUAGAUGAGAUGCAAGAUGCAAGUGCAUGAAUAUGAAGAAUAGUAACACAACAUGCAUCACAUAAAAGUAUUCAAAACACAUGCAUCUAAAGUUUUUUAACUAGCAUCACACAACCAAAUAUGGAUAGCAACAUAUCAAGCAUGACACACAUUUUACAAGGUCACAAGUAUAUUAUUUAAUCACCACUAAAGACAUGUGUCACACUUAGUAUACACAAAGUAAGCAAUUAAGCAUUCAUGUAUUUCAGCAAUUCUGGACAUACAUGCAGCAACUCAGUAAAUAAAUCCUAACUAGAGCUACACAGCUCCAAAAACUAUGAAAUAGGACAUUCUGGAAAGACUAUCAAAUUAUCUACAAUUCAUCUUUAAUCAUAUUAGCAUGAUUAACAAGUUAACCAAGUCAAACAUGCAUGACCAUAUAAUCUGCUCUAGGAAUUUCCAGAGAACAAGCAUUUCAAAGGAUGAACUUCAUACUACUGUAACUCAUAAACCACUUAGCCAAAUGAUAUGCAACUUUACCACAAGAUAUGUUAAUAAAUUAUCUACAUCUUUUAUAUAUACAAGUUGCACAGCAAACAUCAUUUAUAUCAUGGAAUUAGUUGCAUAAAUAAAACUGCUCAUGCUGCCAAACAGUAGAGGUACAAUUACACACAGAAAACGGAUUGGCACUUCAAAGCAGCAUAACUGGAGUUGUAGACCUCCAGAAAACAUGAUUCUUAUAUUUUCGGAAAGCUUAUAAAGUUACCUACAAGUUUCUUAUGAUCAUCUAAACAUGAAUCUACAGUUAACAAGGUCAAUUAACCCCAUAAAGACAUCUCUGUCCAAAACUUGGACAGAAUCUGUCAUGCCAUAUUAAACAGCUAUAACUUGAGGUUCACAUGUCCAUAGUUCAUGGUUGUCUACUUUCUAGAAAGCUUAUGAAAUUGUGAACAACUUUGUUAUAGACAUCUAGAGCUAAAUCUACCACUAACAAGGUCUUACAUUACAAACAAUGCAACCCUGUCUGGGUUUAGACAGAAACUGGAACAGUACUUUAAACCACUAUAACUAAACAUGUGCUUAACUAAAAAUUGUGCUAUUUAUCUUUUUAGAAAGCUUAUGAAAAUUACUAAAACUUAUAUAUUUUCAUCUUGGCAUGAUUCAUAACUUAACUGAGCCAAACAAUACAAACAUGCAGACCUACUCAGAAUAGGAGCAAAGCAACAAAAGGGCAUUUGUUAUUUUUAUAACUCUUACUCUAUAAAUCCUAAAAUCAUGAAACCAUUACCAGACAUCAAGAAUCAUAUUAAACGCAUUUAACAAUAUUUGCACAUUUAUUUGGGCAAUAACACAGCAGUUAUGAAAAAGACAAAUAUAACAAGCAAUUAAAACCUAACUGCAUAAAUCUAUUUUUACGACUAAAACUUCAAACUAAACCAUGCCAUAUUAUAGAUCUACUGCAUAGAGAAUUUCAUAAGUAUUCCAAAAAGUUCACAUUUGCUAUUUUACGACUUUUCUAUGAAUUACUAUGCAUUACCAAAGUUCAUACAAGAAAUCUGCAAAAACAAAAGAUAAAGGGAAACGACUUUGCAUCUGGAACCCUGAACUUUCUCCGAAUCAACCCGACGUCGAGAGCACUAUUCAUAUGAGUCUUGGCUUCGCAUAACGACCCCUGCUCUCCUUCGAAUUUGAGCCAGAGGUCCCUGGUCGCGAACAGAGCAGAGGAGACGGAGGGGGGAUCACCGGUUCCGGCCAGCAGGGACGGCAGGGAAGUUGAUGGGGAGACUCAGGGGGCCCGUGCGCACUCGUUGGUUGCCUCACAUGGCUAGGAGAGGGCCGGUGGCAGCCUUGCCCUGUACCGCAAAGGUAUGCAGAGGCGGCGGCUCACCGACGGCGGCGCUCCGGUGGCUGGAAGCUUGGGCGAGCGUGUGCACGAGGUGUAGCAGGACGAGGCAACGACGAUGGCGUACGAGGCGGUGGCCGUGGUGGCUUGGAGUGGCGAGAACGCGGACGGAGGUGGUGCUCACCUCGCCGGCAAUGGCGGCUGGCUCUGCGCGGAUGAGUGGCCGAGGGGCGAGGGGUGAGUAAGAGAGAGUGCGCCUGGGAGUUCUGGAGCUGGGCGUCCACUUCUUGAGGGGAUAGAGGCGUUGGGCACGCGGUAGCAGUGCUCAGCUAUGGUGGAGACGCGCUCUGCUGCAUGGAGGACGCGUCGGCAUUUCGUCGAGCACGUGGCGCGCAUCGGAGUAUGCAAGGUGGGACGCGAUUUUGGGCUUGUUCUGGGCCGAAUUUGGAGAUGGGCCCAAAACGAAGUUUGCUCAGCCCCUCGUGCACUACAACUUUGGUUAAGGGUGCACAGUCAUUAGACCAACAGUUUACGAGAUAACUUGAUGCCAAAUCACGAGUGUCAACGUAUUGACGGUGAUUAGCAAAACCAAGAAUUGAUGGUCCAAACCAUGUCAAACUUGAUGCAUCUUUUUGCAUGCUCUUCUCCAAACAGUUAUCCACAACUUUUAUUCUUGGACCAACUUGAGUUGCUUAACAAAAACACGAGAACGCGGCAUGCCAACGGGUCGAUGUCCGUUUAGCGAUAAAAUAACCUUUUGCUGUUUUGGGAGCUACUUUUAGAUAUCCAAAUGAACUCCAAAUCUGAUAAUACUUGAUCCAUUGUUUCCACAAAAAAAGGUACUCCAACUCAUAUUAAGGAAUCCAAUUGAGUUACCAUAUGAAUUUGGAUAAUAAAAUGCCACAAAGAAGCUAACUUGCUGCUGUCACUUUCCAGGGACUUAGAAUUAUUUCUCAGGAAUAAAACGCAGCAGCUGAUUCGAAAUUGGAGCCUUUGUUUGAACUCUUUGCAAGCUGAUUUGGUUCUUGACCCUUGAAUUAAGUUUCUUCUACAGAAGCAAAACUACAACUUUCAUUUAGGGUCAAACCUCAUAACUACAACAGAAGUCAAUCUUUCAAUUUGGUCAAAGCAGUAACCCGAUAAAGCUCCAAACAGGGUUUUAGGGCAAUUGAAGCAUUUCUUUGGCAUAAGCUCAACAUGAACCCUUCCUGAAUUUUGUUGUAUAAUUCAUCUAGAGUCAUAUGAGCAAGUUUGUAAGGGUUGGUUCAUGACCCAUGUUUCUAUUUCCUUAAUAGAGCCAUUCCAACAAGGAUAUAACUUAUCAUUUUAUGUGACUUCUUGAUUCCAAACUUCACCAAACUUUUCCAGGGACCAAUAUAGAUUGGGUUGGAUAUGAGACACAUGGAAAAUGUUCCACUAGCCUCAGCCAUGUAUACCUUUUAAAAGGGCCUAUAUGUAAGUAAAGGUGCACCAUCCAAGUCUAAGUUAGAGCUUACUUUCAUAAGUUGGUUGUGACCUCUUUGUUACCAUUGAGCUUGUCAUGUUUGAGCUCAAACCUAGUACUUAGCAAGUGACAAACACCUGGGGUGUUAUAGGAAUGAUGAUCUUACUUCCAAGGGUUUUUAAAUUAAGCAUGGUGCUUAGGUUAAAACGCCCUCCUAAAUAAAAUUAGACAUGGUGUCUAGGUUGAUUUUUGAGCCGAUAGUAUGCUAUAGUAGAUAUAGGAUAUUUUGUUGGACUAACCCCUGCGAGAAACUUUCAAUAUCGACCUGAGAAGUCCUGAGAUAAACUCACAUUGGAGACAAAGAGAGAGACACAUGAAGGUUAACAAUUUAUACAAGGAAGGCAUAGAUCACAAGAGAUGAUCCAUGGAGGGUACCACAAACACGAUGCACAACCGCUAAGAAAGGAAAGCUUCCACAAGGUGAUACUAUACCAUCACUCUUCAAGUAAGGUAACAUCUUAAAGUACUUGACUAUCACUUUUAUAAGCUUCUCCUUGGUUCUGGCGUACACAUAAAUAGAGAGACAAACAUGUAUGAUUUGUAACUCCAAAUUAACCAACCUAAUUAAUUCAACAUGUUUAGUCCUUUAAUCUUUGUUCUUAGUACUACCUUCAUGAUCCCACACUCCUAAUCAUAUAAGCUAAAAUGUGCACAUUCAAUCUUUGGAAGAUAUAAACAAAACAUAAAUAUGGAUAGAUUAUCUUUCCAUUAGGUCGAGCGAUCUGAUUUGACAAAUGUUUCGAAUGCUACACUGAUGAUCCAUCAACUUUGUCUUUCUCACUAUGCUUAAGGUUAGAGAAGAACAAAUACACUUUUGGUUUUGUUGGUGUUUUCCACCAACAGGGCCCAUGCACUUGAUCUCUACCUUGUCUCUAUGAACAGGUACACUUCAAGCAAAACAUGGAGGAGUUUUACAACUCCCAGACUCCACCAAGUGAAGGACCUGGAUCUACGAGCACAAACACAAUGAGCAGGAUAUUGCCAGCACCGCACUUCGAACUGCUGGGCAAACGAAAAACAUGGGUGACACCGUAUCAAGAGGUGUAGACAUCAAGGUCCACACCAAAUCAAAUGAUGCACCUAAAGGAUGAAGACGGUGAGAAGUCUUGUCAAGAAGACUUAAAACAUUGGAUCCUCGUUGGAAGAGCUCAAGAUCGUCGACUCAAGUCGCCUUUCCUGAUCAAGAAGGACGACCCUGGUGUUCCAAGUAUCGAGUGCACAAUCAACAGAUACUCCUUUCAGAAGACAUUCUACGACACCGGAUCUGACGUCAACAUAAUGGCCGCAGUCACUUAUCAGCUCCUGCAUGGAACCAUGCCCCUACAACCAAUAUACAUUCAGCUCUAGAUGAUUUUCAGGUAAUUGACAUGGGAGAAGACGAGUACGAUCCAUCCAUCAUCCUAGGGAGGCCAUUCCUGAACACCUCAAGAGCUGUCAUCUACGCUAGUGCUGCCAAGUUCAGUUUCUACAUCAAGGGGAAGAAGGAGACUUUCCUUCAAGAACAAGACUACACAAAUUUCAGAGCAAUCCCGACAUGAACCAAGGAAGACGACGCAACCGCAACCAGAGGAGGCAAAUCAUCAACGACGGAUGGGCAGACUACGAAGGAGAAGUGGUAAGGUCUGAAGACAUACAGCUUGAAUAGAAUUGUCCUGAGGAGACCGUAGCACCGAGUCAGGUGUGGAGAGCACUACUAGAUUCGCCCAGAAUUUCAACGUGCCUAAACUGUGGCAAAAGCACCACAAACGUUGUAAUAACAGGAAUGGCAACGCGCGAAAAACAUUGCGGGGUGUUGCAAGACAAACUGUGGCAAGACGCUGUCGCAACGCUUUUUUGGUUAGUGUUGCAAAUGCAGUAGUUAUAUCGCAACACUUGUGGCGUUGUAACCUGUAUUGUUGCUACGUUUUCUAGUGUGGUAACAGCAGCUAAUACAAUGCUUGAGGUGUUGCUGGAACAUGUAAUUGCAACAUGGCCAUGUCGUAGCAACUGGUGCAAUAGCAAUGAUUAGUGCGGGUUGCAAAACAAUUUAUUGCCACACUCGACAUUUCAUUGUUAUACUUAACUUUGGUAUUGCUACGUAGAACUGGUGUGGCAAGUGAGGGUUUAUCACAACACCAUGAAAUGGUGGCAACAUGUUGAUUUUCCACGCUCUAGAUGUCAUUGAUAUAAGUGAGUUUGCUAUUGCUACGUAGAACUGGUGUGGCAAGUCAAGUUGUAUAACAACACCAACAAAUGGUUGCAACAUGUUGAUUUGCCAUGCUCUGGAUUUCAUUGCAAUAACUGUCUUCGUUAUUGCUACACAAAAAAUUGGUGGCUACAUGGGCAUAUGCUAUUACAACGAUUAGUAUGCGUUGCUAUAGUAUGUGUGUUUCCUCAUUAAAUCUGGUUGCAAAUACUCAAUUUAACAACGCUGUUUGUUUGGUAGCACCAUGAAUUAUUCUUGCACCAUUUAAUAAUUCAAAAAACAAUAUUAAAAAUAAGUAGAUCAUGAGAUUACAGCCACUUAAUGACAAAAACAACCAUUCAUUAAAUACACAACCCAAUGUAAAGUAUAUAGUAUCACAAAGAUAAAUGGUCUCGUCAGUACUUUCGAAGAUAACAAAACAAAGUUUAAAUUUGCUUCGUUCAUGACAUCUCAAACUUGAAGCACCACAUUGUCUAUCAGCUUGCUACUAGAAGUGGUAGAACACAACUUCUUGGCGAUAUAGAAGCAGUAGCACAGAACUUCUUGGCGAUGUAGAAAUGCUCCAUCUCAAAAUGUCAUGACCCCAACCACUCCAUCAACUUCCAUCUUCCUGCAUAUUAUGUUACUGUCAUCAUAAAUGAAGGGCUUUUAUUAUUAGAAUGUGAAAUAUUUGUGACAAUUAUAGCAUUGAAUCUUACAUUCAGUCUUUCCUUGGAACUGCACCUCGCUUCUUUUUUGUAGAUUGCAGCAAUUGUUGUGAAGUCAUAUAUUGGGUACUGACGUUCCUGUCUUUAUUCUGUGAUUGACUUCUAUUAAAACUCCUGGUGCUGCGCACACUGGCCGCUGCAACUGUCGUAGCAGCACAUAGUUCAUUUUGGUUAACUACCUGGUUAUUCUGCAAAACCAAAUAAAUACAUGCCAAGUAUUAAACAUACAACUCAUAACAUGCACUAGUUCAUGAACAAUGUAACAUUUUUUAAUCAUUAAUUACCUGUGGAUGUAAGUGUGUCUCAUCCACUUAUGUUCCAGCAACUGCUAUUUCAUUUGUAUUUUGGUUAACCAGCAUUAAAAUCUCAUGGUUUCUGCUUUUUAAAUUUCUGGUGCCUUCUUUAUUCAUCUUGUGUAGGCAUAUGCUAGGGUCAUGUAAGGGAGAUGAUUAGACGACAAGAAAUGUAUGAUAACAGCAGGAACAUACUAACUACAUAAACAUGCAAGUAAAAACACCGAGCCUUAUUAUAGCCUAUGUCGAUGCUCCAUGCAUUUUUGCUUGUAUCAGUGCUUGAAACUCUUUCCUAAGCUGUUCUUUGUCAGCCUCCCUAGCUUUCUGUAGUGCUUCCAUCUCUUGCUUCUGUUGUUCCAUCAAACGCUUGUGUUCUUCCUUCUCAGCUUCCAUUUGAGCAACUUGGCUCUGGAGUUGUCCUUGGACCUUCUCUAGUUGAGCCUUCAGCUCUUCUUUUUCUUUGUGUGCUGCUGUUUCAGAAUGGGCCCAUUCCUCAGAUUGCUCUAGCAUUAAUUUCCUUCUACUUGGAUACCUUGCCAUAUACCCAUUACCAUGAACCUUGGACGACUGGCAUCUAGUAGUUUCCUGGUAUACUUUCUGGAAAAUAUGGUUUCUCUCUGUUGAAGGAACAAAGUUCUCUGUUGAGUCUCUUUCCUUGUUUCUAAUUUCAGUGCAAGCAAUUUCCUCACAGAUGUAAGACAUUUGAAAGUGCUUAAUCUGGUUAGAAAUUUAGGAGGAUGACUACGAUACAAUUAAUUAACAAGGUUUCUACAAUUGAAGUAGAUUAUUAUACUUACAUAGACAGCUUUAGCUGCAUCAUUUGACCAUUUCUCUCCCUUACUGUGUGUUAUCGCCCAUAGAUCACAAUCAUUUGGCUCUCCAAGAGUGUCUGGGUCCAUCUAAUUUUGCCUAGAAAGAAACAAAUGAACUCUUCAACAAGUACUAAAUCAAAACAAUUCAUGCAUGCAUGUACUUCUCUAAAGUACUUACCAUUUCAUAGCUAAUCUGAGAGAAAGGCUUUGAUCCCAUCAUAUGUUGUGUUUGUUGCAUUGCACGGUUUUCAGAAUUCAUUCUGCUAAUUUUCUGCAUACAAGUUUUGUAUUAAAAAAUAUAUUGUUCAAAACAACUAAUUUAUUUGUACAACUGCUGUUGCAAACAAUGAUGCGAAAUGCAUCAAACCUGGAAUUCUGAAGUGCCAAAAUACACUAUGAGAUAGUGCCAUUCAACAAUGUGGAGGUCUUCUGGCUUAUGCCUCAUUCUGAUAUCAUAACUGUCGUAUAUCCUAUAUGUAGCACUGAAUGUUGACCGCCAACCUUUAUAGCGUUUGUUAGCUAUGGUCCACAUAAGUUUCUUGUUUUCAUCAUUCCUCUCAAUGUCCCAAUGGUUCUGUUUAAAAGACAGUUACACACAAAGAAUCAAUUCGUAUACAGAUUCAUAUGUAAGAUCAAGUAAGAUGGGUAUGGAAGAAAAAUGUUAAAGCUUAUUACCAAUACAUCACUGGCUAUCUCGUCUUUAACUGCAUCAUCAAUUUCUUUCCAUUUUUUGAUACCAAUGAGUGGAGCAUGCAAUCUUGUGAACACAACGAUUUCGUCAACAAAAGACCGUUGGUUACCACCUACAGGUCCUCCUAGUCUUUUUGAGAAUUUGAUUUUCAUUUUCUUGUUUUUUCCUUGCCUAUGCCUCUUGUUGGAUGCAGCAUAACCUUUCAAAGUCCCACGUGCUAUGUACUUCCUCUUUCCACUUCCUACUUGUGCAACAUACAGUGAAUUGGAAAAUAUGUUAAAGUAAACUUAGUGAAAAAACAUAAGUUCGAAGAUAGGGUGUACAAAAACAUUGUCUUACCUUGAUUAUCGCCCGCAUGUUUUAAACACCGAGCAUGACUUGGCCACUCUGUUGGCGGUGUUGGAUUGCUGGUUUCACUUUCUUGAACAUCUUCAUAUGCCUCUGCACAAUAUAAUACUUAAGGUAAAUUUGGUAAAUUCAAUGUCUGAGAAAUUGGAGAGAGGUAUUAAAUUACCGAUUUCUUCUAAUUGUCCUAGUUCUCGUAGCCACGCUCUGUAUACUUGGAUCGUUUGGUCCCUGAAGAUAUCCUUGAAUUCUACAACCAUGUAUACAUAAAUAAUCGAGUUGGAUAACAAUGAAUUAAUUGUGAUGCAAGUUGUGGACACAAUUAUAUGAUUUUUACUUGCCUUUGCCAUCGCCCAUCUCUCGCAGUUCUACAAGCCAUGUCUUAUAUUCAUAAACAUUCUCAUCUGAAAAGUCUUCAUAAAAUGUUGUACCCACAGGUACUUUCCUUGGUGUUAUGUUAACAGUCAGGUCAGUAAUUUUAGUACGGGUUAGAACUAAUCUAACUUCGCACUCCUCAUGGUUGUCCAUUAUCAUAUUUUCUGCAUCCUUCUUUGAUUCAAUCUCUACAAGUUUUGCCAUAUUUUUACGAUCUCAUUUCUUAUAGUAUAAGAAAUCCCUCAAAGUGUACCCUAAAUGUCCUUUGAUUGUUACCAAUUUUCCAAAGCUGAGAUCGAUCCUUUUUAUCCGAACUGUUUCAAAAUCCCGUCCAACUGGUGCCCCUACGAGAUCGAUAUACAGAGACCAAAUUUCUCCUUGUUCUUGGGUUAAAUCAGCCCUGACAUAUGAAUUAGAAUUGAAAGAAUCUGAAUCUAUAUGCGAUCAUGAAAAAAUGAAAGACAAAACAACACCAGGGUAUUUCUCUUUGAGACAUGCUCACUAUAUCGUACACAAUUUGAAGAAUGAAAGGAUGGGUGCGAGCAAUAGUCAGUGGUUACGUACCGGUUUUGUGACACGUCGAAUCGCAUAAGCCUUGUAGUAUGAGAAGAACGGCCAUGGCUGCCGGAAUCUUGACUACCCACGUCUGCUGCCGCGGCGUCGUCGGGAGAGGCAAGGGUCGGCGGCGUCCUACAAGCGUCGCUGAAAAGUGACGCUGAGACCCUGUGAGGAUGAUUCAUCGUCGUAUUUGCUCCAGUUGGCCUCGUGUACGCUGGGGUCACCGUCGACGAGGAUGGACGCCACCGCUCCGUCAACGUCGGCUCCUCAGCUGUCGGAGAGGUCUCCAUCUCGUUGCCUUCUAAACCCUAACUGGCGGCUGCUUAGUCUGGGAUUAGAUUAGUCUAAGCGGCAAUUUGGAGGGAUAAGUGCACAAGUCACGGUGAUGAAAGGGCCUUCGAUAAAAUUUCGGAUCUCACACACGAGAAAUUAUCCUCGGCAAAAAAAGAGCCCGCCAGUACGUAAGUGUUUGGCCUUCUUGAAAUUUUGAAAUUUGAUUGAGCCAACAAAUAUUGAGGAAACCAAUAAAUAAUUGCAGUAAUAGGUAAACAUGGAUAGAAAAUUCCACAGAUGCACACAACAUCAUGGUACACCUACAAUAACAUCCCAAAAAAUUCUCACAGGGUUUUGAGAAAGUUGUGCCUUUGUAAGCAUGUGUAUCACAACCUUAUCAGAAUAAGUUGAAAAUUUUUCCUCAACACUAUACAUCUAAAUGAGGUGUCCAUGCAAGUUUUUAGAUUUUUCUAGGUAGCUUUGGUUAUUCAUGAGGAAACCAACAAAUAAUUACAGUAAUAGGUAACACAUGGAAAAAAAAUUCCAUAGAUGCACACAACAUCAUGGUACACCUACAAUAACAUCCCAAAAAAUUCUCACACGGUUUUGAGAAAGUUGUACUACAGACCCCCCUAACGGCUGAGCAUCUCUCACUUAGUGACAAGGUAUGUGUGUGAGAGAUGUGUGCCUUUGUAAGCAUGUGCAUCACAACCUUAUCAGAAUCAAAUGAAAAUUUUUCCUCAAAACUAUACACCUAAAUGUGGUGUCCAUGCAAGUUUUUAGAUUUUUCUAGGUAGCUUUAGUUAUUUUAGCAUUUAUUCUUGAGGCAACCAACAAAUAAUUGCAGUAAUAGGUAAAAAUGGAUAGAAAAUUCCACAGAUGCACACAACAUCAUGGUACACCUACAAUAACAUCCCAAAAAUUUCUCACACGGUUUUGAGAAAGUUGUACUACACACCCCCCUAACGGCUGAGCAUCUCUCACUUAUUGACAAGGUAUGUGUGUGAGAGAUGUGUGCCUUUGUAAGCAUGUGCAUCACAACCUUAUCAGAAUUAGUUGAAACUUUUUCCUCAACACUAUACACCUAAAUGUGGUGUCCAUGCAAGUUUUUAGAUUUUUCUAGGUAGCUUUGGUUAUUUUAGCAUUUAUUCUUGAGGAAACCAACAAAUAAUUACAGUAAUAGGUAAACAUGCAUAGAAAAUUCCACAGAUGCACACAACAUCAUGGUACACCUACAAUAACAUCCCAAAAAAUUCUCACACGGUUUUGAGAAAGUUGUACUACACACACCACUAAUGGCUGAGCAUCUCUCACUUAGUGACAAGGUAUGUGUGUGAGAGAUAUGUGCCUUUGUAAGCAUGUGCAUCACAACCUUAUCAGAAUCAGUUGAAAAUUUUUCCUCAACACUAUACACCUAAAUGAGGUGUCCAUGCAAGUUUUUAGAUUUUUGUAGAUAGCUUUGGUUAUUUUAGCAUUUAUUCUUGAGGAAACCAACAAAUAAUUGUAGUAAUAGGUAAGCAUGGACAGAAAAUUCCACAGAUGCACACAACAUCAUGGUACACCUACAAUAACAUCCCAAAAAAUUCUCACACGGUUUUGAGAAAGUUGUACUACACACCCCCCUAACGGCUGAGCAUCUCUCACUUAGUGACAAGGUAUGUGUGUGAGAGAUGUGUGCCUUUGUAAGCAUGUACAUCACAACCUUAUUAGAAUCAGUUGAAAAUUUUCCCUCAACACUAUACACCUAAAUGAGGUGUCCAUGCAAGUUUUUAGAUUUUUCUAGGUAGCUUUGGUUAUUUUAGCAUUUAUUCUUGAGGAAACCAACAAAUAAUUGUAGUAAUAGGUAAACAUGGACAGAAAAUUCCACAGAUGCACACAACAUCAUGGUACACCUACAAUAACAUCCCAAAAAAUUCUCGCACGGUUUUGAGAAAGUUGUACUAUGCAAGUUUUUAGAUUUUUCUAGGUAGCUUUGGUUAUUUUAGCAUUUAUUCUUGAGUCAACGAACCGUCAAUGACGCGUCCAAACUGUCUCCGGCGGUUCACUUCCUACGUCUCCGCCCGCGCCUCCCCAAACUGUCUCAUCAACUCCCGCUCCUUGCCAUUCUCGCCGCCUGCGACUCCCGCCGCGUGCCAUCCUCCAUGGCAGCAAUGGCCACCGCAAGCUCGUCCUCCUCCUGCUCCAGGAACGCCGCCUCCGACUCCUCACGACAGCCGCACCCGCAGUGCAGCACCUCUCGUCCCUACCGAGGGGCGAUAGGAGGGGAAGGUUCCCACCGACGCCGAGGCGGCCGAAGACGAAGGUGACCCCGCGGCGCAGCAUUCAGGCCGAGGCGGGAGCGAUGGCCAUUCCCGAUGUGCCGCCUGGCUACUCUGAACACCAUCGCCACCAGAACCCUGUCGAAGCGGCGGAGCUUCCAGCCCCGGAGGUUAUGGUUUUCUAGUGCUACUGUUUACAAUGCUUUUCUAGUGUACACUGUGCUUCAAUUUUGGAUUGGGGAUUUUUAAUUUUUCAUGUUCGGAUAUUACUCCUGCCAAUUUGGCAAUUGCAAUCAUUCCCGAGUUCAUAUAGAGUAUGACAGGGAUUAUAAUUCUGUUUUGAAUUAAAUGAGAUUAAUUUAGAACUUGCAAUCAUUCAUGCUUAAUCUUUUCAAGAUUGAGUAUAUAUAGUAUGAAAUGAUUCAAAGUCUGGUUUUGGGGAUGCUGUGAAUUCAUCUAUAGUAUGAUAUGGUUUUAGCAUCUGUUUCGAAUUGAAUGAGAUUAGUUUAGAUCUUGCAAUCACUCAUGCUUAAUCUUUUCAAGAUUCAGUAUAUAUACUAUGAAAUGAUUCAAAGUCUGGUUUUGGGGAUGUUGUGAAUUCAUCUAUAGUAUGAUAUGGUUUUAGCAUCUGUUUUGAAUUGAAUGAGAUUAAUUUAGAACUUGCAAUCAUUCAUGCUUAAUCUUUUCAAGAUUGAGUAUAUAUAGUAUGAAAUGAUUCAAAGUCUAGUUUUGGGGAUGCUGUGAAUUCAUCUAUAGUAUGAUAUGGUUUUAGCAUCUGUUUCGAAUUGAAUGAGAUUAAUUUAGAACUUGCCAUCAUUCAUGCUUAAUCUUUUCAAGAUUGAGUACAUAUAGUAUGAAAUGAUUCAAAGUCUGGUUUUGGGGAUACUGUGAAUUCAUCUAUAGUAUGAUAUGGAUUCUAAUUCUGUUUCAAUUGAUUGAUAUUAAUUUAGCACCUAUAAUCGUUCAUGUUAAGUCUUAUUUGAUUUCAUUGAGAAUAAUUUUUCACAUGCAGUUCAUAUUAAACAUUCUAAGUCUGACUAUACACUUACCCUGAUUUUGUUAAUGAAGAUUCCCAAAUACACCCAUGUGUUCGUUGUAAGUCCUAAGAUCACAGUUCACUGCACAUUGACGCGUGACAGUGACGACGAGACAGAAGAUUGGCCGAUCGCGAUGAAUAGGGAGGUAAUAUAUGGCUUCUCUACCUUACGAUUCCUAAGUUUCAAUUAUACAUAUGCUAACUUGUCCCCUUGUGAAUUGACAAAUCAAGAAGAAAUGCGAGAAUAUUCGUGUCCUCCUCAAGCGCAAGUACUUUAAGCCGGCAUGGCUGGAAUCUUCCGACUCCUCCAGCGUCGCAAGGGACGACAAGUGAAGAAUGAAGUUGGUGGUUUGUAUAUAACCUUAGAUAUAUGCUGGUGUAAUCAGUGAAGUACUGGUUGUUGGCUGGUGGGUGUAAUCAAGUAAACUAUUAAGUCCUCCUUGUUGCCUGGUGUAAUCAAGUACACUGGUAAGUCCUGCUCUAUUUUCAGAUCUGACCUAUGCUGCUAGUUGUUGAUGCAAAAGUGGAUCUGCAAACACAAAGGGCUAAUACCCGAUUUCAAAUGUUAAGGCGUGCUAGUAGAUUUGACCUUACUAUCGGCAAAGGUGAUAACUCGAAUACUUUGGUCCUGACAACAGCGAUGCGCCCCGAUGUCACGGCCAAGAGGUAUUCACGCGGAACUCGAGAAUACGCCGAGCUUAAGUCGACGAACUCCUAAGAACUCGUAAUAAAAAGGAAAAUAUGAUGAAGUCGUCGAAAAAAAGUAGAUGCUGGAAUAUGAGUAAAAACUUGUGUUUGAUUGAUUGAUAGAUGUCUCAUUACAAGGCCCUAGGGUCUAUAUUUAUACCCUGCUCGAAGAGCUACAAUCAGACACGACUAGACUCGAAUUCCAAAUUAAACAGAAUCCGUAUACAAAACGAUUUAAAUAACUAAGGAAAGCACAAAACUAUCCUCCCAUGACAAACUGGGACACCACCAUGGACCAAUCGGCAACCUUCAUGUUCUCCUUCUGAGUCAUCGGCAGACUCCUCAUCGUAGCCAUCGACAAAAGCUAACGCUGAUCGUCGGCAUGAACACGUCACUACACAUGGACUUAGUCACAUUUAGCUGUCCCUUCAUCGGCAACCACCUUCAUCGGCAACUCCCCUACAGACCAGUUACUGUUGCCCUACCUUGCCGAUCUAUACUCUACCGAUCCUGGGUACGUGUCCAAAAAUGGUGUCAACACAUGCCCCCCAAUUUCGGAGUAUAAAAUCAUUAAUGCUCCGAAAUUCUCUGCAGUAAUGAUGCCUUUCCACAAUUAAUCCUCUUAAUUUGGUAACCGACCGUUGAAAUUGAACAACUCUGGCCCGAUUCUUCCGCAGAUUCCUCGAAUUUCUCAACCUCCCAAACUGGACAUCUCCACUUUAUUCGCCCAUCGGCAAUAUUACCGUUAGAAGGAGCUGCCGAUGGACCGACCAGGAAAUCCCACACAGUGAAAUAUCUCCAGAUUAUGACCGCUUCCUGUAAAAUCACCUGCGCAAUCUCUUGAUUACCGUGCGAACUGUUACCAUAUCCACCCGAGUAUCCUCGGAUUUCACGGAUGCGGCGAAGAGAUAAGUCAGAUUUGCCCUUGCCCGUUUUGUCCUAUAAAUAGUUCCUUCUCGGGUACUCCUUCUCCAUCGCAUCAUUCUACAGCCCCAACUCUGCUUUUCUGGCAGCGGCACCGUUCGAGAGCUCCAAGAACUUCAACAAGAACCUUCUCCAACAACCCCCAAGUUCUCAAUCUUCUCCCCUACUAGGAGAUGGCCGUCAACUUCACCGUGCCUGAGGUCAGUUCUACUUCUCUCUUGUAUUUUUACCGCACUCCUGUUCAUCCGCAGUUCAUCUUACUGAAUACUUUUUUUUCUUUUGCUCUUCUUUUUACCCCCAAAAAUCAUUAGGAUCUGUCCAAUAGAAUUGUCAUCCCUACCGAUCAACCACACCUCCAAUGUCUCGGUCCGCUAAGGAACCCAGAUCCUACCGAUCUGAUCAACGCAGAGACAAACAGAAUACCCUUUAGAGCCGAGAAUUUUUCUCUAGAUUUGUGGAAAGACGCCUUCCGUUCUUGGCCCAGUCCUACCAAGGGAUGGAAGGAUUGGUUCUUGAGAGUCAACCAUUCAAAUGAGGUUCAGUGGGGUGAGCGAAAACUAGAUCAAUGAAUCAGGUUGUCCCUUGCCGAUAUGGAUAGGAAUGAAUCAUUGUUGAUUGCUGCAUCGUAUUUCUAGUCAGACACACUCAAUGCUUUUGUGUUUGGUCAUGGUCCUGCUUCCCCCACACUUGCCAAUGUACUUAUGCUCACCCGUUUAGAUGUAUCUUCUGCCGAUAGCACCCACUUGUUUGACACCAAACCCAGUGCUAAGGUAGAAACAUGUUCCAUCGGCGGUUGGUCAGGGUACAUCUAGAAAUACCAACGAACAGGCCCUGUCAACAUAAAGGAGCAGACCACCUUCAUAAACAUGUGGCUGGACAAACUUGUAUUUUAUGGUCGAUCGGCACGACCAACUUCUGUCUACUUAGCAGCAGCAGAAAGAUUAGCUAAUGGUGGCCGAUUUCCCCUCAGCCGAUACUUGCUCGGCUCAGCUUACCACCUCCUCCAUCAAGCAGCCAGGAAACUCCUGCUCGGCCAACCCAUCGGCAACUUAGGGGGUCCCUGGUGGUUUAUCAAUAUGUGGCUUAGCCUCCAUAUGCACAAGCGUCUUGAGUUUGACCUCUUCGCACAACGCUUCCCCAGGGACAUAGUCGAGGAUUAUGAACAGGAUGAAGAAGAAUCGGCAACUCGUCCCCCUCUGAACUUUGGUGAGGCUGCCAUAGUUUUGCCUGGCACAGGUGGUAACGCAGACCAGGUUAGCCGAUUCUUUCAAACUCUGUACGAAGGCCUGACCAGGGAACAGCGAGCAUGGAUGCCUUAUGAAGAUCCGAACACAAGAUUUCCCUUGGUCUUCCAUCCGUUCAAUGAUGCUCUCAACAAGGAUCAUGAUGUGAUGAUGGCAAUCAUCACCCCAAGAGCUAUACCAGUUAACUUCUUUGGUGGUGGAAAAGCUUCCAUCUAGACCUACGAAUUCUACAACCCAUCGGCACUAGCUCGUCAACUAGCUUUUGGCCAACUGCCGACUGCACUCUGCUACGCUGAUGUGAUAAAGCCAAGGGAGACCAUCACCAAUUAUCUCGAGUGGAUCAGAGUAGCCCAACUCCCACCGAAUGCCGAUACAGAUGUCAAUCUAUCGGCUUGGGUCCCGACCCUCUUCAUUACUCAGGCAUACAAACAAUGGUGGGAAGAAUGGAAAGAGCAUUUGUUCUGCAAAUCGGCUCUCACGUACCGCGGCAUGAUCGACCCCCAGUACAGAGUCCCCGAUAAUACCGUAAGUAUUUCCAAACCGAUGUUUCAAUCCUUUCACUUUUACUUCCAUCGGUAACUCACUUUUUGUGUUAUAUUACAGGUUGAUAACACACCCCCAUCGGUCAGCAAGAGUGGUAAGUUUAUUGAGCUCCUUCCAUCGGGCCUGAUUUCUUUGAUCGGCAACAACUCUCCAUCCCUGGCCGAUUCCAUUCUACUUUAGCACAGGCUUUCAAGGUAAAUUUUCAAAUUCUUUUACCCAUACCGAUUCCAUUCUUACAUCUGUUACACUUGCACUCACAAAUUUUCAUUGUUGUAUCAGAAAACCGGGACAUCGGAAAAGACCAGAGGUGUGACUGCCGAUGCCCCCCAGUCCUGCCAACCAAAGAGGAAAAGCUCCAAGAGUACCAGAACCCAGGCGAAGAGCCAGAAGACAGCAAUACCUUCUCCUCCCCCAAGGUCACCGAUCCCGGUGGAAUCUUCUCCCUCUUCUCUAGAAGUUCAGAUACAGCAAGCACCAUCUCCUCCUCAACCACAAGAAGAACUCCGCACAGAAGAACCCCUGCCAGAGGAGCCUCAGCCAAAAGACACAUUGGCUGACGUGCACGAGGAAACUGCCGAUCCAGCAAGCCUGAUCAUAACAUCGGUAGUUUUCUCAAUCCAGACAAGCACUAUACCCCCUCAAGGUAACAUAUUCUCUAUGAAAUCAUUGCCAAUGAACCUUCUUCUCCCAUCUUAUAAUUACUUCUGUCAAUCUUUCAGCUAACAUAGUCUCAUCGGCAACCCCAGCCGAUCAGCCUGUGGUUCCAUCGGCAUCAUCUAGUCAGAGGCGAGAGAUAGCCCUGAAACAAGUAAGUCACCCAAUCUUUAUCUGUAUUGUUUAUCAGUGCUUGAUCAUAAAAUAACUUAUUUUAUGUUCCUUUUCAGGAACAGGACUCUCCUGACAGCUUGUUCUCCUUUGCCAUCGACAUCUCUGAGGAUGAAGGCGAAGAGGCAAGUUCUUCUCGAGCAGUUGGCAUCACAUCGGCAGAGAUCAGGGCAAAGUUAGAAGAAUUAUCGGCCCUCCUUCAUCAAGACACAGCCCAAUUGGUCGAUGACUCCGAUCCGGCCAAGGCCCUGUUCAAGACCCUAAGAGGCCAAAUUCCUGCCGAUGCCGAAGAAAUCCUUUUUCAAGCUGCACACCUAGAGAGUCGUCAGCUGCAGUAUCAAAAGGCUGCCCAGCGUCUUGCCGACAGAGCUGCUCACGCUCAGCUCUCUGAUGAGAUGAUGAAAAUAAGGCUCCUUGCCGAUGAGAAGCACAAGAGCAUCAGCAUCGUGACAUCCUCGGGAGACGUUUUGAAGCAAAAGAUUUCCGAUCUAUCGGUGAGAAGGGAAGCCCUGUUGGCAGAACUCAAACAGGUAGAAGAAGCCUUGUCUCAAGCCCAACAAGAAGAAAGCCAGCUGCCUGAAACGAUCAAACUUCUUGAACAAGAGCGAAAUAUCCAAGCCCGCCAAGCACUGCAGAUGAAGAUGAAGCUGAAACCAGUGGGAGGUUCUGUCGAUGAUGACGUGAAGGAAAUAGAAGAAGCCAACCAGAUCCGUCUGCACGCCAUAUCGACGAUCCAGGCGCUGUUGAACAUGUGAACUCUUCAUCGACGACAUACCCUGCUCUCUUCUUUCUAAUCCUCCUGAUAUUUUGGUCUAGCCGAUAGGACUGUUAUCGGCACCUUUUAAAAACAUUGAGUUUAGCCCCAGACACACUUUGAUUUAGCCGAUAGGAAUGUUAUCGGCAUUUUAAACUCUUAUGCAUCAACCCAUAUGCUUGGGUGAUACUUCUUUAAAUAUUUGCCAUUCAAUGCUCUGGGAAAUUCAACUCCUUCGAGAGUUUCUAAGAUAUAGGCAUUGCCAGGAGCAGACCGAUUUACACGAUACGGACCUUCCCAAUUGGGAGACCACUUCCCAAAUUUUGAACUUUUAGUCCCGAUUGGUAAGAUUAAUUUCCAUACUAAGUCUCCAUCGGCAAACUCAUUAGCUUUUACUUUCUUAUCAUACCAUCUGGCAACUCUCUUUUUAUUCUCUUCUAUACUCAUCAAAGCUCUUAGCCGAUGCCCUGCUAGGUCAUCCAACUCGUGUGUCAUCAAAGUAGCAUAAUCAUCGGCAGCCAAUUGAUCUUGAAAAGAUAAUCGCCUAGACCCAGUCUUAAUUUGCCAAUGUAACACUACAUCAUGUCCAUACACCAACUGAUAAGGUGAAACUUUGAUCGACCCAUGACAAGCCAUCCGAUACGACCAUAAAGCUUCAUUUAACAACGUGUGCCACCUCCUAUGAUUUUCUUCAAUCUUUCGUUUAAUGAGCUUCAUGAUUCCUUUGUUAGAUGCCUCGGCCUGCCCAUUAGGUUGCGCAUAAUAAGGAGAAGAAUUUAAUACUUUAAUUCCCAUACCGAUUGCAAACUCAUCAAACUCCCCUGACGUAAACAUAGUACCCUGAUCGGUAGUAAUUGUUUGAGGAAUUCCAAAUCGGUAGAUAAUAUGCUCUUUCACAAAAUCAAUCAUAUUGGAUGAUGUAAAUUUCUUCAAAGGAAUAGCUUCAACCCAUUUGGUGAAAUAAUCGGUGGCAAACAAAAUAAACUUAUGUCCUUUGCUGGAUGGCGGAUAAAUCUGGCCAAUCAAGUCAAUAGCCCAUCCUCGGAACGGCCAAGGUUUAAUAAUGGGAUUCAUGGCCAAUGCGGGUACCCUUUGAACAUUGCCAAACUUCUGACAUCCUUGACACCCUUUGAAAUACUUAAAACAACCCUGAAGUAUUGUCGGCCAAUAAUACCCAUUUCUUCUGAUCAUCCACUUCAUUUUAAAUGCUGACUGAUGUGCUCCACACACUCCAUCAUGGAUCUCUCCCAUCAAACUUCUAACCUCAUCAUCACCUAAGCACCUGAGAACUAUUCCAUCAAUAGUUCGAUAAUAUAACUCAUCUUCAAGGAGCACAUACUUGGUAGCUUGAAACCGAACACGUCUCUCAACUUUCUUAGAUGGAUCCUUUAAAUAAUCAAUGAUUUCUUUUCUCCAAUCGUCGACACUGAUUGCCGAUACUGCGUUUUUCAUGGGCUGAUAUCCCGAGGCAUGUUGAGCCAACCGAUUGGCCUCUUCAUUAUACAACCAAGGAACAUGCUCUAAUCGGAAAUCCUUGAAUUCCUUCAAUAGUUGCAUACUCCUUUCGUGAUAAGUUAUCAGGACUUCGCUUCGGCAUACAUAGCUUCCAGCCAAUUGAUUUAUAACCAGCAUAGAAUCCCCGAAGAUUUCAACAACAUCAGCAUAAACUUCUCUUAGCAAUUCUAACCCCUUUAUCAAGGCUUGAUACUCAGCUUGAUUAUUUGUUGACGUGGCAACAAUCGGCAAGGAAAACUCAUACUUUCUUCCCUGAGGGGAAAUUAACACUAUGUCGAUCCCUGCCCCCGGUCACACGUGGAUCCAUCAAAGAAGAGCGUCCAAGGCACAAUUUCCAAAGUCUCCACAGUACCGCAAUGUUGAGUUACAAAAUCAGCAAUAAUCUGUCCCUUAACCGCUUUAUCCGAUUCGUAACGCAAAUCGAAUUCCGAUAGUGCCAAAAUCCACUUACCGAUCCUGCCACUCAUAAUCGGCAUAGACAGCAUAUAUCAGACCACGUCAUCUUUGCAUACGACAGUGCAUUCGGCCGAUAACAAAUAGUUUCUCAACUUAAUACAUGAGAAAUAAAGACACAAACAUAACUUUUCAAUGGCCGAAUACCUGGUCUCAGCAUCAACCAAUCUCCUGCUUAAAUAGUAAAUCACACGUUCCUUCCCUUCAAAUUUUUGAAUUAAAGCCGAACUGAUGACCAUCCCAUCGGUAGACAAAUACAACCUGAAGGCCUUUCCUUGCUGAGGUGGAAUCAGAACUCAAGGAUUUACCAAAUAAUUCUUGAUUUCAUCUAAGGCCAAUUGUUGCUCUUUCCCCCAGACGAACUCUUGAUCGGCUCUCAACUUAAGUAAAGGACUGAAAGCACGAAUUUUACCAGACAAAUUAGAUAUAAACCUCCUGAUAAAAUUUACCGUGCCAAUCAAGGAUUGGAGCUCAGUCUUGUUGGUAGGAGCAACUAUUUUGUUGAUAGCAUCAAUGGAUCUUCUACUAAUUUCAAUCCCCCUUUGUUGCACCAUGAAACCAAGGAAUUGUCCAGCCGAUACACCAAAUGCACACUUAUUGGGAUUCAUCUUUAAACCAUGCUUCCUUGUGCAUUCUAACACCUUUCGCAAAUCGGCAAGAUGCUUUGUGAAGUCUCCAGACUUAACCACCACAUCAUCAAUAUAAAUUUCCAUCAGCUUGCCGAUGAACUCAUGAAAUAUAAAAUUCAUAGCCCUCUGAUAAGUAGCACCAGCAUUUUUCAUGCCAAAGGUCAUGACUAUCCAUUCAAACAACCCAACAUGACCAGGACAUCUAAAUGCAGUCUUUGGAAUAUCCUCUUCAGCCAUGAAUAUCUGAUUGUAUCCUGCAUUGCCAUCCAUAAAGCUGAUGAUCCGAUCUCCAGCCGCAGCAUCAACUAGUAGAUCGGCAACUGGCAUUGGGUAGCCAUCCAUCGGUGUAGCUUUAUUAAGAUUUCGGAAAUCAAUGUAGACCCGAAGCUUCCCAUUUUUCUUGUAAACCGGAACAACAUUGGAAAUCCACUCGGCAUACCGACACUGCUGAGUAAAUUGAGCUUCAAUAAAUUUGGUUAUUUCAGCCUUAAUAUCAGGAAGAAUAUUAGGAUUACAUCGACGAGCUGGCUGUUGAUAGGCAACUGAUGUUCAACAAUUGAUCGGUCCAGACCAGGCAUCUCAGUAUAAUCCCAAGCAAAGCAAUCUUUAUACUCUUUUAACAAAUCAGUUAACUGCUGCUUACACUCAGAAUUUAACUUAGCACUAAUAAAAUCUUAUCACCACUACCUAUAUCUACUUCUACCAAAUCAUCGGCCGAUGUGAAUCCCUGGCCUAACUUUCCAUCAUCGGCGAACCUAUCUAUUAAAACUCUUCAUCAGAACCGACUGCUUGGAUCGGUGGAAUUUUAUAAUCGGCAACUUUGAGGAAAUCCUUCUCCCAAAUCUCUCCCGAGAUACACCUAGUUCUUUCAUAGGUAUCUGCUUCUGCCGAUGCGAUGACAUAAGAAGAGUCUCCUGGGACAAUCUCAAUCUUGUCACCUACCCAUUGGACUAAGCACUGGUGCAUUGUAGACGGGAUGCAACAAUUGGCAUGAAUCCAAUCUCUCCCUAACAGCAAGUUAUAAGCACCUUUUCCACUGAUCACGAAGAAAGUUGUCGGCAAGGUUUUACUGCCGAUGGUCAACUCGACACAUAUUGCCCCCUUAACCGGAGAUACGUUUCCCUCAAAGUCCUUUAGCAUCAUAUCGGUCUUGGUCAGAUCCUGAUCUCCUUUUCCAAGCUUCUGAUAUACAGCAUACGGCAUGAUGUUGAUAGCGGCUCCACCAUCAAUUAAUAUCUUGGUCAUCGGCUGACCAUCAACCCUUCCUUUGACAAACAAAGCUUUAAAGUGCUGCCUUUCAUUGUCAGCAGGCUUUUCAAAGAUAGCCGUCAUCAGAUCUAGAGCCAACUGAGCUAUCUGGUCGGAAGACUCCAACUCUUCAUCAUCGCUGGACGGCGCAAGGAAUUCCAUCGGCAACAUAAAUACCAUGUUAACAUCUGCCGAUGGCCCUUUCCCCUUAGGAUCUGAUUGUUGCUAAUCCCCAGAUUGGCCAGAGUUCUCGCCCUUGCUUAGCUCUUCUCGUCUUUCACACUGCAGUCUUCUCUUCUGUGUUUUAGUCAACCCCUCUGCACACCAUGGGGGAAGUGGUGACUGCCUAGCCGAUGGACGAUGAUGCUCCCUUGACUCCAUCCGAUAAGUGUUAGCGUCCCUGCAAAAUAUGAACUCAUCGGAAACCCGUGCAUUAGCCAUCUCCUCAAGCUCUUCCUGAUUCCUGGGAAAAUAUUCAACUCGAUCACCAAGCCUAUCAUGCACACUGAGUCUGCCCCCCAGCCGAUCAUGAACGGGCGCUCUCCCACUAAUCGGCCCAUUAAAUCGCCGAUCAUCAUUGUGAUAGCGCCGAUCGGAUCGGUCAUACUGAUCAUAACCAUUGCACUCAGGGCAAUCUCUAACAGUAGGCAACUUGAUGUUCUACUCCCAACAAUGGAUAAAGAAUGGGCAAUUCCAGUGAUCCUUGUGCCGAUUCCACUCCUGUCGGCGUCUUUCUUCUUCCCAAUGAUAGUCUUCUUGCUGGCGCCGAUACCGAUCCUCACGCUGCUGCCAAAUUUCCUGAGGCCUUCUAUGAGUUAUCACAAUACCAGAUCGGGGAGGCCUUCCCAAAUUAGUUCCCUCCUGGAUCAAGCCUUUUCUUUUUGCAUCAGCAGUAGUGAUCUGAUGCUGAGGAUCCACCGAUGCACUUCUUUCAGCUGCUUCCGAUGUCAAGACCUUGGCCUUUCCCUUAGCAUCCAGCAUAUUUGUUGGGAAAGGAUGUUGAUCAAUCUUCAUCAGCUUCUGAGUUUUGGAGCUAUCAAAUUUGAUCCUCCCAGAUUCUAUAGCCGAUUGCAGCUGUUGCCUAAAAACUUUGCACUCAUUGGUGCUGUGAGAGGUUGCAUUAUACCACUUGUAGUAUUUCAUCUUCUUAAACUCUUCAGCCAAUGGAAUCACAUGAUUGGGUGACAACUUGAUCUGGCCUUCCUGAAGUAGAAAGACAAAUAUCCUAUCGGCUUUGGUGAUGUCAAAUGCGAACUUCUCUGGCUCUUUAUGCCCAAAAGGGCAAGACACCGGCUUCUUAUUCUUUACCCAUUUUGCCAAGCCGAUGACUGGCUCUUCGUCAGAAUCUGAGCUUGCUGCCUCAUCAAUAAAUGACACCUUUUUGUUUCAAGCUCUAUUGGGUUCAAAGGGUUUGAUAUCCUGGUCGGAAGUCCUCUGGACCAAGUGGUUCAGGCUCUCGAACUCUUGAGAAGCAUAUUUGUCCCUGAUAUGUGGCAACAAACCCUGGAAAGCCAAAUCGGCUAGCUGCCGAUCAUCCAAAACUAGACUAUAGCAUUUGUUCUUGACUUCCCGCAAUCUCUGUACAAAACUUUCAACCGAUUCACCAUUACGCUGUUUCAAUCUGACCAAAUCGGUAAUCUUCUUCUCAUGGACUCCAGAAAAGAAGUACUUGUGGAACUGCUUCUCUAGAUCGGCCCAAGUAAUCACUGAAUUAGGAGGCAAUGAUAUAAACCAAGUGAAAGCUGAUCCAGACAAAGAUGAUGAAAAUAGUCGAACUCUCAAUUCAUCCCUGUUAGCAGCUUCUCCACAUUGGAUGAUGAACCUGUUGACAUGUUCCAUGGUUGAUGUGUCAUCCUGUCCAGAAAACUUAGUGAAAUCUGGUACCUUGUACCGAUUUGGAAGUGGAAUCAAAUCAUAUGCAGGAGGAUACGGUGUCCGAUAAGAGUAAGUGUUGACUUUGGGUUUUAUCCCAAAUUGGUCUCUCAUUACUUCAGCAAUCUUAUCGGCCUAGUGAGCAUCGGCAUCUUACCGAUGGGGUGGUUGUGGAUCUGGUGCCUGCUGAUAUACUUCCAUGUGUCGUUGAGGCGCACGAUCUGCAUGGAACAUGGGGUUGAUUGUCUGACCACCAAACUGUUGACCAAGAUUCAUCGGCUAGUUGUGCAACCCUUGAUUCUGGAACCCGGGGUAGAUCUGGCCUUGUUGAAACCCUGUAGCCUGAUGAUUCUAUUGGGGCAUUUGUGGAAAGACUUGCUGCCCAGGCCAUCCACUAUUAGCAUUCAUCGGCAUAGACCCUGCCGAUGUCUCGUAAUUAGGCAUCAUCAUUGAAUUGACAUACCCUGACUGAGUCAUAAACCUCUGUUGCGUCGGCACUGAAUCUGCCGAUGCAUUAGGCAUCUGGAACAUUGGAGCAUGAGAAUUCCCAGUGUAAGGCCUUGCAGUAGUAGUUGUAGUAUACUAGGGACUCUGAUUCAUCCACAUAUUUGGAGGUGCCGAUGCCAUAGGAGCCCUGCCUCUCACAUCAGCCGUCUGAGAUACGCUAGGUGUCUUCAAUGUCAACUCUGGAGGCGUACCAUAACCCCACCAGUUAGGAGGAGGGACCGAUCUAUAGCAAGCUUGACCUGCUCAUUUGAAGUCAAUGGAUUGGUUGUCAUCGGCGUAGAUUGUGCGUUAGUGACUCCUAACGUGCUUGGAGGAACAGUAGUUUCUGUGCCCGCAGCGGCUGCUGCAGCCGAUGGAGCUGUGACCACCGGUGAUCCUGGCUGAUGAUGAGAAGGGCCCACAUAAUUCGGUGGCAAUUGUCCUUCUUUGAAAUUUCUAACCAUGGCAUUGAAAACCGUAUUGGACAGCACACCAGCUUGAUUGAUCAAGGCACGGUUAACAGCACCAUCAACCAUGUCUUGAAGUUUACUAGGAUUGGCUUCAAAAGUAACCUGCCGAGGUGCCGGCUGUGCUUCUUUCUGGAUCACCUCGCCACUCCUAUUGAUGCUGAAAGACUUCAAACAUCGCUGCUUGUAGUCCUCCAUGGCUUUUGCAAUAGCUUUCUUUUGCUCAUUUGUGAGAUUGGCUUCUGUCACGGGGAUGACGUUCUCCAAGUCGAACUCGGUAGUCGACAUGUUGAUCUUGAUCUUGAAUCUUGUCCCACUGGGCGUGCCAAAAGAUGUGUUGAUGCAAAAGUGGAUCUGCAAACACAAAGGGCUAAUACCCGAUUUGAAACGUUAAGGCGUGCCAGCCGAUUUGACCUUACUAUCGGCAAAGGUGAUAACUCAAAUACUUUGGUCGCGACAACAGCGAUGCGCCCGGAUGUCACGGCCAAGAGGUAUUCACACGGAACUCGAGAAUAUGCCGAGCUUAAGUCGACGAACUCCUAAGAACUCGUAAUAAAAAGGAAAAUAUGAUGAAGUCGUCGAAAAAAGUAGAUGCUGGAAUAUGAGUAAAAACUUGUGUUUGAUUGAUUGAUAGAUGUCUCAUUACAAGGCCCUAGGGUCUACAUUUAUACCCUGCUCGAAGAGCUACAAUCAGACAUGACUAGGACUCGAAUUCCAAAUUAAACAGAAUCCGUAUACAAAAUGAUUUAAAUAACUAAGAAAGCACAAAACUAUCCUCCCGUGACAAACUGGGACACCACCAUGGACCAAUCGGCAACCUUCAUGUUCUCCUUCUGAGUCAUCGGCAGACUCCUCAUCGUAGCCAUCGACAAAGGCUAACGCUGAUCGUCGGCAUGAACAUGUCACUACUCAUGGACUUAGUCACAUUCAGCUGUCCCUUCAUCGGCAACCACCUUCAUCGGCAACUCCCCUGCAGACCAGUUACUGUUGCCCUACCUUGCCGAUCUAUACUCUACCAAUCCUGGGUACGUGUCCAAAAAUGGUGUCAACACUAGUCUUCAAUCUCAUUCCCUUGCUGGGCUACCAGGGAACCCCCUAGUGCCAUCAUCGUUCCCUUAUUCCCCAUAUGAACUAUGGUUCACUACAUAUACAUAAAGGAUGAAACAUAUAUUAAUACAGUAUAAAUAAAGAAGAUGCAAUCUCAAGCUCAUGAAGAGGAUGAAACUUAUAUUACAACAGUUUAUAUAAUUAUGUAGACAUGCGGUCAAACAGGUUACACAAACAAAAUAAGUACUCAUAUAAUACACUUAAACAAAGAAAUAGUUGUCCUCGGGAUCGCCAACAUUUGAAGCUGGUGCAAUGACUCCAUCAUCAUUGUAUGUUUCAUCAUCGUCGUCGUCCUCUGCAUCAAGAAUUGUUGCUUGAUCUGGUUCAGGAACACAUUGGGCAAUCGCAAAUCUAAUAGCACUUGCAUGUCCACUAGAGCCUUCCACUCUUGGUCUCCUCCAACUAGACACAUCCAUACAUUGGCGUACGUCGUCACACAUGUCUUGCACACCCACUUCGAGCAAAGAUAUAUCCAUGUCACUAUCAUCUAUUGUACUUGAUUCUAGCAUGGCAAACAAAUUUCUAGGCUUCAUUGCGAUAACAGAACACCAAUGAGGCUUGUCUGGUAUGUCAGCGUACAAAACUAGUUCAGCUUGUGUUGCCAAAAUGUAGGGGUCACCAGAAUAUCGAUGUUGACGGUCCUUAAGUACCAAAUUUAAUUAUCAAAUAAACAAAGAAAAGGAUCCAAAUGCAACCAACACCCAGACUUAGGGUUUUAUCUGACAGAAUUCCACGAGUUUUGGUGUUUGUCUAUUUCUGCAGGGGGUUAUCAGGAAAUAUGGAGGAAAGGCCCACACGUCAGGUUUACAUAGAGAUAUUAACGUGCCGCGCAAUUUUCUAUCAUCUAGAAGACUCGAGAAGCCACGGGAACGAACGGGAAGCCGAGUGGGCUCGGGGACAGGGUGCCCGCCCUACUUUUUCCACCAAUCACAUUCUACUUUGUGGAUUAUGCUCCACUGACCUAAAGGAUCAAGGAGAACCGUUCAAUCAAUGUCAGUUUGAUCCAACGGCCUAGAUUCACUUGAGGGGACUAUAUAAGCAGGCCCCCUGGCCCCUGGUGGAGGCACCCCUUGAUCCCUAUUCAUUAUUCAUAGACAGAGCAAAAGCUAGGGUUUUGAGAUGAGAGCUCUCCUCUCUUCUCUAAACUAGAGUAGAUCUAGAUAGUAGCGAGAUGGAGAGCGAGGGAGGAUUGGAGGAGAGGCCGGCCUGUCGGUUCUUCCUCCGGUUGUACUUCGCCAUGAUCAAGCACUAAUCAAGCUUGCUCAAGGGAUGACUCUGGUAAUCUACUUCUAAUUUCAUUAUGCAAUUACUAUCCAUGUAUGUUCUGGUUCACAACUCUUUUGAGUACUUUAAUCUAUAGGACGCUAUAGGUGAGAGUUGUAGUUUAGGUGUAAGCCUGGUGCUUAGACCUAGAUUACUUGUGGAUAUCCCCUGUCUAGCCGGAUCGUGUGGUAGGCCACGUAGGUGACAGUUACGUUGGUCCACUGUAGUCCACCUCAUGUUAGCAGGACUGGUAGGGUUUAUCGGCCUAUGGAUAAGCAUCCUUUGUGGUGUAUUCUUAUCACGUGGUUCGUCCCAGACAUAGACAUACCCCUUUGAAGUUGAGAAACCAUAGUUAUCCUCUCUAUUCUCCUACCAUCGCCCAUAUAUUAUAUUGCUCUACUCUCUAUUCCUAUAUUAUCACCCAUUGUUAUCUUACCUUUAUUAUUGUUCUUAUUCAAUUCAACCAUCUUUCCUAUUUACACCUACCUAUCUAUCUAGGUUAAGUUAGAGCGUAGAUCAGUUCUCCCGUUGGAUACGAUAAAACCUUUAACCGGGUAAAAGCUACAACGGUAUCCGUACGCUUGCGGAUUUAUCUGUGUGCGUAUAAAUACCAUAGUACACUCUAGUGCCAUGAUGGGGAUGACAACCUAGUAUUCAAGUGGUGUUAGCAAGUGUCAACAAGCAUUUUUGGCGCCAUUGCCGGGGAAACGGUUGCUGAGUUGACUACGAACUAGCUUAAUCAUUUUCUAAAAAAAAUAUUUCCUUUUAUCCUUUGCCUCAUCUCUGCUAUUCUUUCUUCUUAUCUAAUCCUUAAUUUCUGGUCUAUCAUGAAUGCAAACAUGUCUAUCUAUCAGUUUCAUAGACCUACGGGCACACAUCUCGAACCACCAAAAUCUUCAAAGCCUAUCAUAGUAUCUAGUUUUGAGAUAGACCCCGAAUACAUAGAAUUUGUUAAAAAACAACCUUUCUCAGGAGAAGGUGAGGAAAACCCAUACACACACCUAAGAGAGUUUUAUCGAGUCUGUGACCUCCUUCGCAUAGAAGGCAUGUCCGAUGAGACCCUUAAAUGGAAGCUCUUUCCGUUCUCUUUAACAGGAAAAGCUAGACAUUGGUGCAAACUCAAAGUAGGGAGUGUUCAUGGAGAUUGGAAGGAGUUAUAUAAUAGUUUUCUUUUAAAAUAUUUUCCAAUCUCCAAAGUGGCGGAACUUCAGCAUGAGAUUAUUUCUUUUAGACAACUGGAAGAAGAAUCUCUUGGCAAAUCAUGGGACUGCUUUAUUAACCUUACUCUCACUGGCCCAAAGCUUUCUAUUCUAGGAGAAGUUCUUCUAAUUCACUUUUUUGAGGGCCUUAGUAGGGAAAAUAAGCAAACCUUGAAUACAGCCUCUAGAGGAUCCUUCUAUCACCUACGUGCUAUUGAAGCUAGGGAUUUAAUUGAUUCAUUGAGUGGAAAGUUUCCUAGCAUUUAUAUCCCUGAGAAAGAGAAAGAACUAGUUCCUAGACAAGAAAAGGAAGUUUCGAUACACAUAUCACAAACACUUCAAUCCCAAACUUUAGCUAUCGAUCCUAAACCAUCAAUACCCCAAAAUUCUCCAAGAGAGGAAGGAAUUCUGACCUUAAAUCUUUCAGAUGCUGAUGGUUUAGACUUCUGGUUCCAUAAGAGACCUUCAAGUAGGGAUAAUUCAAAUCCUUGCAAUAAUGGUUCUUUUAGAGAAUGUCCUGGUUCCUGUUAUGAAGAAGUCGAGGAGAGCUAAACCAUAUCAAGUGAAGGAGAGCUAAACCAUAUAGAAGAUUCCAUCUGCUCCCCUUCCAUGUUCACAAAUUCUAAAUCCAUCCUUGACCUUGGAGACCUCUCUUAUCCCUCUCCUUUUAAGUCUCAUGAUGAUCCUAACAAUCCAUCAAGACGAUCAAACCAUAGGAGUCAUAAAGACCAUGAGGAUGACAUGUCAAGUAAUGUCAUAGAAGGAAAGCUAAGCCAUAUAGAAAAUUCUAACACCUCCCCUUUCCUGAUCACAAGUUCUAAAUGGCUAGGAUGUGUAGAAUGGAUGGAUAAGGAAGAAGCCUUAAUGGAUUCUGACUUUGGCUCAAUUUCAAAUGGUGAGUUCUUGAAUCCCUUUGAAGAUGAGAUUCAUCCAACUACAGAAGAGGACAUAGGUGAGACCAAUCCAGGAGAAACUCUGAACAUUCAGAUGGAGACGAAGAUAACAUUAAUGAGCUUGGAAUUUAUUUCAUAGCCACUUCAUUUACUCCAUGCUCAUAUGCAACAUCUUCCCAAUCUAUUGGUCUCUCCAACAUCACCACAUUUGAGAUCUCCAUCCCCCUCUUCCUUUAUAUUCAUAAAAACUUUAAAAGGGCGGUUGUCGAUGCAUAUGUCUAUAAUAAAUAUUGCAGAUCUCAUUGAGUUGAUCUUGAUAUAGGUCAGCGUUGGAAGGGAAACCACUUCGCCGACAUAAAUUGAUGGUUUCCCAAGGACAAGCUUAGUGUCCUAAAAUAAGCACUGAUCAGAUCGUAACAUGAGCUUUUAAUUAUUUACAACAUUACAAUGUGUAUUGAGCAUAUAAGGAUAAUUGUAAAAAUAUUCCUUCGGGUAUUCUUGUCACUAACCUUUCCAGGAUUGGAGCAAGAAGAUUGGAUCAACGACAAGCACAAGGUAUGUCCAACCAAUCAUUAUGCAAUACUGAAUUAAAUUCAUCCAAACUUGAAUUUUGCAAAAUUCAAGCUUGGGGGAGUACCUUACAUAAAAACAUCCUUUGUCAUGUUGCUAUGUUGGUUGUCCCUACCUUUGAGACAUACUCAAUUUGUUAAACGCUAAUCAUUCUAUUUUCAUCUCCACUUGAGUAGAUCUCUAUAAUGCUGUCAUGCUACCUUUGUCUAUUCACAAGUAAGUGUUGGUUUGGAAGUACUCGACAUACUUCCAUUGGCAUUUAAAUUAAGCGUGGUGCUUAGGUUAAAUAGCCUUCCUUAAUCUGAUUAGACAUUGAGUCUAGUUUGGUUACUGAACUAAAAAACUGCUUGUGUAGACAAUGGUAUAUUUUGUCAGACUAACCCUUGCAGAAAAACUUUCAAUAUCGAUUUGGGAAGUCCUUAGAUAAACUCACAUUGGAGACAAAGAAAGAGACACAUCAAGUUUAACAAUUUACACAAGAAGGACGUUGCUCAUAAGAGAUGAUCCAUGGAUGGUGCCACAAACACGAUGCACAACCGCUAAGAAAGGAAAGCUUCCACAAGGUGAUAUUGUACCAUCACUCUUCAAGUAAGGUAACAUCUUAAGGUACUUGACUAUCACUUUUAUAAGCUUCUCCUUGGUUCUGGCGUUCAUAUGAAUAAAAGAGACAAACAUGUAUGAUUUACAACUCUAGAUUAACUAACCCAAUCGAUUCAACAUGUUUAGUCCUUCCACCUUUGUGAUCCCACACUCCUAAUUAUAUUUGCUAAAAUGUUGCACACUCAAUCUUUGGAAGAUAUAUAAAAAAACAUAAAUAUAGAUAGAUUAUCUUUCUAUUAGGUUGAGAGAUCUGAUCCGACAAAUGUUUUAAAUACUACACUCAUGAUCUUAUUAUCCAUCAAAUUUGUUUUGCUCACUAUGCUUAAUGUUAGAGAAGAACAAAUACACUUUUGGUUCUGUUGGUGUUUUCCACCAACAGGGCCAUGCACUUGAUCUCUGCCUUGUCUCUAUGAGUAGGUACACUUCGAGCAAAACAUGGAGGAGUUUUACAACUCCCAGACACCACCAAGUGAAGGACCUGGAUCUACGAGUGCAAACACACUGAGCAAGAUACUGGCAACGCCGCACUUCGAACUACUAGGCAAACGAAGAACAUGGGUGACACCGUAUCAAGAGGUGUAGAUGUUAAGGUCCACACCUGAAUCAAACGACGCACCUGAAGAAUGAACACGGUGAGAAGUCUUGUUAAGAAGACUUAAAACAUUGAACCCUUGCCGAAAGGUAAAAUCGGUAGUUAUCCAUAUUUUUCCUUUCUGCAUUCCCUUUUCCCUUAAAUUAUUUACUUUCCUUAAAUGGCUUGUUAGUUAAUCAUGCUAUCUUGAAAAGAAAAAAAAAAUGUUAAAAAUUGUAAGCUCCAUGUGAGUAUGCUCGUAGCAUAAAACCCAUAAGUACAUUCACUGUGGUGGCGUAAAAAUAAAACAAAUAUAUUCCUGUCCUAUAGAAAUGAAAAUAUAAAAAUAAAAUUAUGAUCCUACCAAAGAGAGUAAUAUUUAUUAGAGGAAGCUCAACAUGAUAAAGGCAAAGAGAUUUUAUGCUAACACUUAAUCAGUUUCACAAAGCUUUGUUGUCUAUUUGAGCUCCACAGAAUUCAAGGGUCAAAGAAGAAUGGCAGACCGAGGACAUCCUAAUCGCAGUUAGGGUGCUGCCGACAUUCAAAUACACCUCCACCACCUGCUAGCUACAUCAGAAGAAAUUACGUCAAAAUCCAGCUUGGGGGAGAGCACCCCCAUUUAUCCAGCUAAGUGUUUCUACUCGCGUUUAUACUUUACACAAAUAAUAAAAAGAUGCAUAAUCAUAAAAAACCAUAUAAAGAUUUUAUGCUUAUAUAUAUAUAUCUUUUCUUAGUUUGCUAAAUAAAUAAAUAAAUAUAUAAAGUUUGCUAUGAACCCUCAUAAUAAGCUCUCACAUGGAAAUGAUGAAUAGUUGCUCUGCCAUGACUAGUUCUCAAAAUUGAAUUCUCUCUCAAGUUUAGGCAUGACUGUUAUGAAUUAAGAUUUGCUCUAAGCCUAAACUUGUGGGAAGAGUACUUCAUCUAAAGUCUAAGUUGUUAACAUAUAUGAUAUGGGAAGGUUGAGCUGCUGUUUAUCUGUUCCUAGAGAUGCUAGAAUUCUAGAGAAUUUUAUCUUUGAAAAUCUUUAAAAUGUUGCAUGAUGAGUUCCUGUAUGAUGAAAGUUUAAAAUCGUACCACAUCCAUAUGUACAUGCUUAUUAGACUAUGAACCAUACAUUUACUUUUUACUACUUAUGAGCAUUGAGCGUGGUCAAGCUGUGUAGACCCUUAGGAACUUGUCAUGCGGUUAAAAUCAAGAUUCACUUGCACAUUCACUCAUACAUGCUACUUCUACUCCGGAAGUACGCAUCCACAUACAUCCACUCCUUUCCUUCUCCAGAUUCACGCAAAAUUAUUCUACUCCUAUCCAGGAGAGAAUAACCAAAAACAUUCUCCUAUCCCUGUUAUUCCCAAUGAAAUAAAUGCUCGAGAUAUUUUGGUUACUACCACUUGCUACAUUAUUCCAGGAGGGUGAGUGCUCUGAAAAAAAGUGAAAACGAGGAAUUAAAAAGGGGCAAGUGCCCGGAACCUCGAAAAAAAGAAAAAGUGAGACGAGAGGUAAAAAUGGACAAGUAUCCGACAGUAGAUUUAGGGGUACAAGAUACCCACCUGAGAGGAAUGAAAAAAAAUAAAAAUAUAGAGCAUCCCAUUGUCCACAAAAAGUUUCAAAAGUGCAAGAAAGGUAUGUAUCCCUUCAAAAGAGCAAAAGUAGAAUUAGACUUUGACCAUUGUUUUCACCAUCAUCACCAUACACCAUUCAUUCGCCACACAUGCACAUCUUGAUUUGACUUAUUGACUUGUUUCUCUGGAUCCAUGGUUUGACUAUGCAAUAAAUGUCUUGUAAGUAUGUAUGCUUUAUCUCCCACCUAUGAGCUCCAGAUAUCGAAACCUUAUUAGAGUAGGGUGAGACAGAAGGCAAUGUCACUAUGCCUCAUACAAAAAUACCAUAUACUUUGAGAGAAGGCAUACACCAUUACUGCCUUGGUAAGGAUCCAGAAAUACCACAAAAGAGAGACUACAGAGAGUCAUACAAGGAAUCUCUGAGUUUUAUUUGAAAAUCUGCAAAAACUCCAGAGCUAUAGUUGAUCAAGAACAAGUGACAUGGCGCUUGACUUGACCGUUCUAUCCUUUAAUUACUCAAGACACGUAUGACGAUUGCAAGCCCCAUGGUGAAAGGUAAAAUGAGUAAGUUUUAAGUCUUAACAGUUUACUCUAACUCAGAGAUGAGAUCUUGUUUGAACGCAUGUGUACCUUUAAGGCAUGAAACCACUGCAGAAACUCUU